RNAcentral lists this long non-coding RNA (115417 nucleotides) under Triticum aestivum (bread wheat). RNAcentral's name for it is "long non-coding RNA (TAES_LNC020145)". Lineage: Eukaryota; Viridiplantae; Streptophyta; Magnoliopsida; Poales; Poaceae. The record is from RNAcentral.
UUGCCACAGUUUGAGACUUGCAGGCGCAAUCUUACCCUUCUAGAUUCAUUAGAAAGUGGCUAAGAUUGAGGGAGGGUGUUAGACUGUAUUUACAUGUGUAUAUUGUAACGUUGUAUAUCACCUCAUUAUAUAUAUAUGUGAUAGGCCACCCCUAGAGGGUUGUGCCGGUUCCCCCCAAAGCCUAUUGUCUUACACUGUGCAUGCGUAUUUCAUUGUUUUUACGUAUCACGAAGGUCCUUUAUUGUUACGUAACUUGUCAUUACACACACAAGCACAACAGCUCCGUUAUUCUGCGGGGUAGGUAGCGAGAGACGCAUGCAUGUUGUCUAUCCGGGACGGUCCACAUGACAUCGUUUCUUCAGUAGAUACGUACGUACGCAUGUGUGGAUAUCUCGAUCUCCCCGCGUACGUGCACGAGCCAUGCAUGGCGCGCGCUGGCUGGCUGGCUCAGUAGUACGGCUGGAGCUUCCAGCGCUGGUUGUCGCCCUCGCACCACUUCCAGAGCACGACCUCGGUGCCGUCGCGCACGCCGCCGUGGUACUUGUCGCCGUUGAGGGCGUCGAAGUUGAGGUAGAUGUUGUUCACCAUGCGCACGCACCUGAACCCGUUGCCCACGUCCCUGCUCUCCGUCCACAGCACCGACUCGUCCAGGUAGUCUGGGUUGUACGGCACCAGACGCACCUGCAUGCACACCAAGAUGAUUCUAGAUUUCAGUUUAUGAAAACACAAAUGAAUGAAGGCAGCAGAGACUACUUACAGGGUGUGACUGGCCGAGGGAGUGCUUGAUGGCCUGCCCGGUGGCCUUGUUCACCAUGGCGAAGGCGGGGUAGCCCUCCUCGUCCUUGAUGCUGGUGCUCCACCUCAUGUCCUUGAUCCAGUGCUGGUAGUCGUCCUUGGGGUUGGCCGGCGCCAGCACCACCUUGCCGUUGCGCACGGACAUGGCGUAGUUGGGGUUGGCGCGGCAGUAGAUCUUCACCGUGGGCUGCGGCGGCAUCGGCCGCCCGCCGCAGUUGCCGUCGAUGUUCACCUGCGACAUGCCGUACGGCACCGGCGCCGCGUACCCGGGCGUCGCCAUCCCGUACCCGCCGUAGGUCUCGCGGUAGUAGUCCAUGGCUAUAUGCUCGAUCUCCUGAUCGACCUGCGCAAUGCAUGGCGACGGGACGGAGGAAUUUAUAGGGGCGACGGGACGAUCAUAUUCCAUUGGUGUGCUCUAAUACAUGGCGUUGGCCUCACGCUGCCUGUCAUGGUGAUAAGCGAUGUGGAUGUGCGGGGUGGUGGUGGGAUUCCAUGGAGCGAUUCCGUGGGAUAGACAGAUGAUGCCAUGGGACACUAGCUAGCUAGGUGGUGAGAUGUGGGUGUGCCGGACCAAGCUAGAGCCUGAGCUGGCUAGCUUUGCGUGAUUCGAUUUCUUUCUGGUAGUUUUGGGAAGAAGAAUCCCUCUCGUACGUACGUCCUCUAUUAUUGCUGGGGAGAUAGCUAGGGGAAGCCGAAUUUUACUAUGUGCUGUGCUUUGUCGCCGCACCGAUACAUUCCCGGUGUGCUCAUGAUGUGCUCGUUUCAAAAGUGAAGAUUUUUCUCCCGAAGAAAACUCUAAAGAAAAGAAAAGGAAAUAUUCGCGAUAGAAAUGGUAAGGUAAAGCGUCAAGACGGAACGGCCCAUUUCUGGAAUCUGGAUCAAUAAUUCAAUAUACUACCCCCCGCAGCACCAGAGAGAGGCGGGCCGGACUUGAUUUCGUUAUUAUGUAAAUUAAACAAUUGUACGUGGCCCGGCAAGACAUAUGGCAUUGGAUUCGUAUAAUCAUGGCCCGGUCUACCAGCAUGGCCCAGCGCAAGACAAGAUCUCAAAAAACAAAACUUACCGGGGCAUGCGGAUUAACUGAGCUCCAGCUCGGGUGAACAGUAAAAUCCAAAAGAAUUUAAAACAAAUUAAAUAAUUCUAAAAAAACUGUGGCAACAUUUGACAAAUGUUUAAAUGCCUGCAAAGUUUCACCAUAAAAUGAGAUCCGUGCAAGUUGUAGCAAAACAAAACCCCAAAAUCAAUGCUCCAAAAAGUUUUUUUCUAAGUGACUAUUUUUUUUUGCCACGACUUCAUGAAACAUUGCAAACAUUGAAAAUAUUUGUCAAAGUUUGUCACACAAAAAUUUCAGAAUUUUUUGCUUUUGUUUUCAUUUUUUUUUGGAUUUUACUGUUCACCCGAGUUCAUAUGAGUUCGAGCUGAGAACGGCACUUUCGCUUAUGAGGUUGUAUAGUUCAAUCAAUUUUUCAAGACCUUCAAGAUUAGUUUAGUUUGAGCUGAUAUGGUCUUCUGGCAAAGGGCAUCUUCAACGCUGAAAGGGCAUUUUCAACGCUGACUCCCAAAUCGGACAUACCAAAUUCGUCCGUGGACUGGUGGGUAUCAUUCUGUGGAAAGUGAUGCGGGAGCCAGUCAUUCAACCGUGCCCGCAUACAUCUCAAACCGGAUUUCAACAAACCGAAGGAAGUACACGCAAAUCAAAUGAUUUUCAUCUAAAUUGGAGCACAUUCAUUACAUUUUCGUCAUAUUUUCAUUAAACUAGCAUUUACAUGUCAAUGCCUCUUCUUAUUCCCUUUUUUUGGAGUCCUUUUCAACAUGUUUUGUGUAUUUUAUUCUCACGGUGGCAACUGAAUUUUGAAGGAAAUUUGUAGAUUGCUUAAGUGGCAAUAGUAUGGAAACAAAAUCUAGGACUUUUCAUGACCAAUUGCCCUAGUUCUUUAGAAUGGCAUCAUUUUAUUUCUUCGGGAGCUUUCGAAUGGUAUCAUGGUGUAAUGUAAAGGCUAGUAUCACUACAAGGAGGUUGCUAUACAUGGCAUACUCAUUGCAAAGAGCACUUUCCCUGCAUUUGUUCCUGUGGAAAACUUGUCUUGCAAAUCGUUAAGGCCUUGUUCGGUUCCAUGAUAAAUGAGAGGGAUUGACAUGUAUCGGCAGGGAUUAAAUCCCAUCUAGUUCAAANNNNNNNNNNNNNNNNNNNNNNNNNNNNNNNNNNNNNNNNNNNNNNNNNNNNNNNNNNNNNNNNNNNNNNNNNNNNNNNNNNNNNNNNNNNNNNNNNNNNNNNNNNNNNNNNNNNNNNNNNNNNNNNNNNNNNNNNNNNNNNNNNNNNNNNNNNNNNNNNNNNNNNNNNNNNNNNNNNNNNNNNNNNNNNNNNNNNNNNNNNNNNNNNNNNNNNNNNNNNNNNNNNNNNNNNNNNNNNNNNNNNNNNNNNNNNNNCAAAUCCCCUCCAUUCCACUCCAAUCCACUUGGGGAGUGGCUUAACCAAGGCCUAAAGGGAAAAUUUAACGGACUAGUUCUCACAUUUCAACUCCAUGUUAGAGGCACAACUUGAGCUUACAGUAUGAUUUUCAAGUAUGGAAUUUAGAUACAGUAUUUCUAAGGAGAGUACACAUUUCCCCUCGCAAAAUCAAGCCUGUUUGAUCUGAGAAAUUGGGCAUGGCAGAAGCUGAUGAACAAGCAAGGCCCCAACGGGUACAACAAACGUAGUACGAGGAGGGUGGAAGAUAGGUGAGCCCAUUGAUUAGAUCGCAGAAAAACGGAGACAAUGCAGGUCACAGAGUAGCACAGUACAGGGCCCAGUACCAAGAAAACACAGACGAGUUACAUCAAAGUUCAGACUUCGGAAUCAUGGUCCCUCUCCUCACUCUCUCCAACACUCUCUUCUUCCUCGCAGAAACGCCGGCUCAAUCAUUCAAUCACAAGGCGACACACGCACACAGACACCAUUGCCACACAUCGCACACGGUUUUAUUUGGACACAGCAACAUUAUUCGCUACCAGCGGCAGAGGACUACGACGACGACGGACGGACGGACGGACGGACGGCGACUAGGACGACUUGGGGGGCUUGUCCCCGGACUAAUCCAUGGCGAUGUGUCGAUGGCAAUGCGGCAGCUCAUCUCUGCACGAAGCAACAAUUCACUGGUCAGAACACAGAUGCAAGCAAGAUGUAUCAGGUUGAACUGCAGAGCAGUACGACUAUAGUACUUACACCAGGGGAGGAUCUUCCAGCGCUGGUUGUCGCCCUCGCACCACUUCCAGAGCACGAUCUCGGUGCCGUCGUGGACGCCGCCGUGGGCCUUGUCGCCGUGGAAGGCGUCGAAGUUGAGGUAGAUGUUGUUCACCAUGCGCACGCAGCGGAAGCCCUUGCCCACGUCUCGGCUCUCCGUCCACAGCACCGACUCGUCCUGGUACGCCGGGUUGUACGGCACCAGCUUCACCUGCACAUGCACGCACCAUCAAUUACAGAUCUUCAGUAAGAACUGCCGCCAGAUGCUUCUCUGCUCAAAUCAUGCACAAUCUUUAUGUGUGUGGGUGCUUACGGGGUGGCCCUGGCCGGUGGAGUGCUUGAUGCAUUCGCCGGUGACCAUGUUCACCAGUGCGAACGCAGGGUACCCUUCCUCGUCCCUGAUCUUGUUGCUGUGCCUCAUGUCCUUGAUCCAGUGCUGCACAAAGAUCCGGUAAUUUCAGUUUCAUUUACAGAUCGCCACACGGCACGACAGGUAAAAAGAAAGGACUCUGUUUAAUUUGGUCAAGUAGCGGCAGCAGAACUGACCUGGUAGUCGUCCCUGGGGUUGGUGGGGGCGAGGCAGACGGUGCCGUUGCGGGCGGUGAGGCUGUAGUCCUCCCCGGCCUUGCAGAAGACGCGCACGGCGUGCACGGGGGGCCCGCCGCCCAUGGCGUGGGCGUUGUUGCCCAUGGUGGCGCCGGACUCGACGGCGGCGUGCGCCUCGGCCCAGGGCCAGAUCUUCCAGCACUGGUUGUCCCCCUUGCACCACUCCCAGAGCACGACGGUGGUGCCGUCGUGCACGCCGCCGUGGUCCUUGUCGCCGUUGAGGGCGUCGAAGCCGAGGCGGGUGUUGUUGACCAUGCGGAUGCAGCGGAAGCCCUUGCCCAUGUCCUUGCUCUCCGUCCACAGCACCGACGCGUCCUCGUACGCCGGGUUGAACGGCACCAGCUUCACCUGCAACGCCACCGUCCCCCAUGGACGCAUAUGUCAAAGAUCAAUCCAACCAACCAACCGAACCGAAGGAGGAGAUGGACGGACGACUUACGGGGUGGGACUGGCCGAUGGAGUGCUUGACGGCGAGGCCGGUGGCCUUGUUGACGAGCGCGAAGGCCGGCAUGCCCUCCUCGUCCUUGACGGUGGUGCUGAAGCGCAUGUCCUUGAGCCAGUGCUGGGUCUCGUCCUUGGGGUUGACGGGGGCGAGCACCACCUCGCCGUCGCGGACGGCGAGGCAGUAGUCCUCGGAGGCGCGGCAGUAGAUCUUGAAGAUCUGGUUGGGGCCCGACGCCGGCGGCGCCUGGUCCUUGUGGUGGUGCCCGAACCCGAACAUCUCGGCGGCGAGGAGAGCGUGCGUGAUCGACUGGAGAACGGUGGGAGCUGUGGGAGUGAGGAGAGAGCGCUGCCCCAUGGCCCCGUUAUAUAGAGCCGGGAGCAGAGCAAACCAGGAGCAUAUCUCCACUCAUCACGCGCUGUAAAAUCUUGAAAAUCUUUGGAGCAUAUCUCCAGCGGCCUGGACUAAAUGGUAAAAAGUAAUUACAGGAUACGCUCGCUCGAUCGAUCGCUGCCAGUGCAGCACUAGCACUAGCCGUUUGGCGUGAAUGUACUACCGGAAGAUUUUGGUUCGAUUAGCAGGAUUUUGGCUCGAUUCACAGCAGCAGCCAGCCGGUUGCUGCCAGUGAAAAGUCUUGAUCAGCAUUGGCUGGACGCAUGCAAAUGUAUGCAAUGGCCAAAAAUGCCAGCAGCAUACAGUAUGAGUUGUUGUAUUGGUGGAGUGCAGUUAGUGUAUUUUGUAUUUUGCACAUCAUCCGUUGUCUAAUCCUAGCUGCUAGCAGUGUCUUCUUCUGGUGGGAGUAUCAUCCUUAGAGGCUAAGUAUCCUGGUAAUUAAAGACUAAAUAUUUUUCUCUGCUCUUGGAUUGUUUUGGUCCUGCAGCAGUACUGGUGUCAGAUUUCAGCUGACACUUGGCACUGCCUUGCAACAUAGGAGUACUACUACUAGCCGUUUGGUGUGAAUGUACUGGAAGGUUCUGGUUCGGUUUACCUACUACUUCAGUGUUUUCCAUGGCAUUAACUUUGCAUUAGCUGUAUGCAUGCAAACACGCAAUGGCCAGCGUAUUUUGGAUUAGUGGAGUACAGUUAAUGUUUUUUGUAUUUUGUACUCUAUCCAUUGUCUUAUCUCAGCAGCGUUUUCUUCUAGUAUACUCUUUUUUUUAGAAAAUCUAGUGUACUCAUCCUUAGAGGCUAAGUAUCUAUGUAAUUUGGUCGAUUUCAACAGGCCGACGCAAACGGACGCGGAUUUGAUCCGUUUUGUGUCCAUUUGGAUCGGCCGAGCGCACGAAGAUGCUCGGUUCUGUUCAAUGGGUCAUAGGUGCAUCCAAUGCGGCCAAUGCAUUUCAAAUUUGCGUAUUAAAAAAUAGUAAUCCAAGUAAAUCGUUAAAAAAAAUAUAAACUUCAUAGCUAAAACGCCAGUCAAAGUCUACUUACAUAAACUAAAUUUUAAAAAAACAAUAAACAUAGAAACUUUUAUAAAAAUGCAGCCGUUGGCCCUAGGUUGCGUCCUCGUUCUCCUCGUUGGUCUGAUCGAUGAACGUUCGUGUCUACACCCACAGGAAGGCCCGCAGUAGGCUACCUGCGCCAUGUCUGGCUGGGUAGUCUGCACCUCUUACACCACCUAGGCCGCUAGCUGCUUGGCCGCCUCCGUCGUCUACUCCACUUGGCGUUCGGCCGCCUCCCACUUGGCCGCCAAUGCACCCCACCCGGGCGUGCACGACAUGUAGAGAGGCAAGGUGCUCGUCUAUGACCACGUUUGGAGUGGCGAUGGAGCGGGCGGCGCGUUGGCCUCCACCCCGGCCGCAGAUUCGACCAUCACGAAAGCAAGGCCAGGUCAAUGCGCCAUCUCCUCGUGCUCGGAUUCCUCGAGCGUCCGCCUAGUCGCCUCCUCUAGAGCCGUGAGGUACCCGGCCUCCUUCUUAACGACCACAGGUGGUGGUGCAACACGGGCCUCCAUCAUGACGCUCCUAAGGCGGCCCACAUUGUGCUUCGUGGUGAACCACACAUCCCACAUCGGGGAGUUCAGCGCGUAGUCCGGGUCACAAUAGAGCGCGGGCAGGAGGGCAGCACGACGGUUGUGAAUGCCGGUCGCACGCGUGCGGUCAGACGGCGACACCGUCGACACCGGAACCCUGUCAGGGUUGAGGUGCGAGCCGUGUGGGAGGUUGACGUCCGGCCAUGGCAGAAGCAAGUGGUGCUCCCAAUGGUAGAGCAUCCAGUGCACAUGGAUGUACAACCUAUUGCAUUCGCGUGCCUGUCACCUCCAAGGGGCAUGCGACACCAAAGUGAAGUGGGCGGGGCGGCCUCGUGGUCAUGCUUGCCACACUUGCUAAAGAUGUCCAUGGCGACGACAUCGUGUCAGCCGGCAGGGGAGCAAGCUAGAUGUGGACUGGUAGACUGGUGGGGAUGGAAGUGGAUGAGGCGGCCCCCAUCGCACGCUUGCCAUCUAAAUAGGACGGGCGAGGAUGCUUCAUGUGGCUGACGUGUGGGCCCGAACGUGCGCGUGGUAUUUACUUGGACCGAAGGUGGUGGUUGGGCGGCCGACACGCGGGCCCGAGGUAGACAUAAAGCGAACGGGAGGUGCUUCCUUCUUGUGUCCGUGUGGACACAAAUCAUGCAUAGAAUUUGGGCUGAAAGUGCUUCCAGACGAACACCAAGCAGACAUAAUUUGUGUGUGCCGGCGCGUCGAGCCAUGUUUUCUGUCCGCGCGGACCCAAACAGGCACGGCCGGAUUGAAGGGAAUAUGCCCUAGAGGCAAUAAUAAAGUUAUUAUUUAUUUCCUUAUAUCAUGAUAAAUAUUUAUUAUUCAUGCUAGAAUUGUAUUAACCGGAAACAUGAUACAUGUGUGAAUACAUAGACAAACAGAGUGUCACUAGUAUGGCUCUACUUGACUAGCUCGUUUAUCAAAGAUGGUUAUGUUUUCUAGCAAUAGACAUGAGUUGUCAUUUGAUUAACGGGAUCACAUCAUUAGGAGAAUGAUGUGAUUGACUUGACCCAUUCCGUUAGCUUAGCACUUGAUCGUUUAGUUUGUUGCUAUUGCUUUCUUCAUGACUUAUACAUGUUCCUAUGACUAUGAGAUUAUGCAACUCCCGUUUACCGGAGGAACACUUUGUGUGCUACCAAACGUCACAACGUAACUGAGUGAUUAUAAAGGUGCUCUACAGGUGUCUCCGAAGGUACUUGUUGAGUUGGCAUAUUUCGGGAUUAGGAUUUGUCACUCCGAUUGUCGGAGAGGUAUCUCUGGGCCCACUCGGUAAUGCACAUCACUAUAAGCCUUGCAAGCAUUGUAACCAAUGAGUUAGUUGCGGGAUGAUGUAUUACGGAAUGAGUAAAGAGACUUGCCGGUAACGAGAUUGAACUAGGUAUUGAGAUACCGACGAUCGAAUCUCGGGCAAGUAACAUACCGAUGACAAAGGGAACAACGUAUGUUGUUAUGCGGUUCGACCGAUAAAGAUCUUCAUAGAAUAUGUAGGAACCAAUAUGAGAAUCCAGGUUCCGCUAUUGGUUAUUGACCGGAGACGUGUCUCGGUCAUGUCUACAUAGUUCUCGAACCCGUAGGGUCCGCACGCUUACAGUUCGGUGACAAUCGGUAUUAUGAGUUUUUGUGUUUUGAUGUACCGAAGGUAGUUCGGAGUCCUGGAUAUGAUCAUGAUCACGGACAUGAUGAGGAGUCUCGAAAUGGUCGAGACAUAAAGAUCGAUAUAUUGGACGACUAUAUUUGGAUACCGGAAUGGUUCCGGGUGAGAUCGGGAAUAUACCGGAGCACCGGGAGAUUUUCGGAACCCCCCGGGAAGUAUAUGGGCCUUAUUGGGCUUUAGUGGAAAGGAGGGGAAAGGAGCAAGGGAGGUGCACGCCCCCAAGCCCAAUUCGAAUUGGGAAGGGGGCCGGGCCCCCCUUUCCUUCCUCCCUCUCUGCUCUUCCUUCCCUCUCCUACUCCAAGUUGGAAAGGGGGAAUCCUACUCCCAGUGGGAGUAGGACUCCCCGUGGCGCGCCUCUCCUGGCCGGCCGCCUCCUCCCCCUUGCUCCUUUAUAUACAGGGGCAAGGGGCACCCCAUAGACACACAAUUGAUCAUUGAUCCCUUAGCCAUGCACGGUGCCCCCCUCCACCAUAAUCCACCUCGAUCAUAUCGUAGCAGUGCUUAGGCGCAUCCCUGCGUCGGUAGCAUCAUCAUCACCGUCACCACGCCGUCGUGCUGACGAAACUCUCCUGUGAAGCUUUGCUGGAUCGGAGCUCGUGGGACGUCAUCGAGUUGAACGUGUGCAGAACUCGGAGGUGCCGUGCGUUCAGUACUUGGAUCGGUCGGAUCGUGAAGACGUACGACUACAUCAACCGCGUUGUGCUAACGCUUCCGCUUUCGGUCUACGAGGGUACGCGGACACACUCUCCCCUCUCAUUGCUAUGCAUCACCAUGAUCCCGCGUGUGCGUAGGAUUUUUUUUGAAAUUACUAUGUUCCCCAACAGUGGCAUCCGAGCUAGGUUUUAUGCGUAGAUGUUAUAUGCACGAGUACAACACAAGUGAGUUGUGGGCGAUACAAGUCAUACUGCUUACCAGCAUGUCAUACUUUGGUUCGGCGGUAUUGUUGGAUGAAGCGGCUCGGACCGACAUUACGCGUACGCUUACGCGAGACUGGUUCUACCGACGUGCUUUGCACAUAGGUGGCUGGCGGGUGUCAGUUUCUCCAACUUUAGUUGAACCGAGUGUGGCUACGCCCGGUCCUUGAGAAGUUUAAAACAACACUAACUUGACGAACUAUCGUUGUGGUUUUGAUGCGUAGGUAAGAACGGCUUUUGGCAUCCCAUAGCAGCCACGUAAAAUUUACAACAACAAAGUAGAGGACAUCUAACUUGUUUUUGCAGGGCAUGUUGUGAUGUGAUAUGGUCAAGACAUGAUGCUAUAUUUUGUUGUAUGAGAUGAUCAUGUUUUGUAACCGAGUUAUCGGCAACUGGCAUGAGCCAUAUGGUUGUCGCUUUGUUGUAUGCAAUGCAAUCGCCUGCUUUACUUUAUCACUAAGCGGUAGCGAUAGUCGUAGAAGCAAUAGUUGGCGAAACGACAACCAUGCUACGAUGGAGAUCAAGGUGUCGCGCCGGUGACGAUGGUGAUCAUGACGGUGCUUCGGAGAUAGAGAUCACAAGCACAAGAUGAUGAUGGCCAUAUCAUAUCACUUAUAUUGAUUGCAUGUGAUGUUUAUCCUUUAUGCAUCUUAUUCAGCUUUGUUUGACGGCAGCAUUAUAAGAUGAUCUCUCACUAAAUUUCAAGGUAAAUGUGUUCUCCCUGAGUAUGCACCGUUGCCAAAGUUUCUCGUGCCGAGACACCACAUGAUGAUCGGGUGUGAUAAGCUCUACGUUCAUCUACAAUGGGUGCAAGCCAGUUUUGCACACGCGGAAUACUCAGGUUAAACUUGACGAGCCUAGCAUAUGCAGAUAUGGCCUCGGAACAAUGAGACCGAAAGGUCGAGCGUGAAUCAUAUAGUAGACAUGAUCAACAUAGUCAUGUUCACCAUUGAAAACUACUCCAUCUCACGUGAUGAUCGGACAUGGUUUAGUUGAUUUGGAUCACGUGAUCACUUAGAUGAUUAGAGGGAUGUCUAUAUAAGUGGGAGUUCUUAAGUAAUAUGAUUAAUUGAACUUAAAUUUAUCAUGAACUUAGUACAUGAUAGUAUUUUGCUUGUCUAUGUUGAUUGUAGAUAGAUGGCCCGUGCUAUUGUUCCGUUGAAUUUUAAUGCGUUCCUUGAGAAAGAAAAGUUGAAAGAUGAUGGUAGCAAUUACACGGACUGGGUCUGUAACUUGAGGAUUAUCCUCAUUGCUGCACAGAAGAAUUACGUCCUGGAAGCACCGCUGGGUGCCAGGCCUGCUACAGAUGCUACUAAUGAUGUUAAGAACGUUUGGCAGAGUAAAGCUGAUGACUACUCGAUGGUUCAGUGUGCCAUGCUUUACGGCUUAGAACCGGGACUUCAACGAUGUUUUGAACGUCAUGGAGCAUAUGAGAUGUUUCAGGAGUUGAAGUUAAUAUUUCAAGCAAAUGCCUGGAUUAGGAGAUAUGAAGUCUCCAAUAAGUUCUAUAGCUGCAAGAUGGAGGAGAAUAGUUUUGUUAGUGAACAUAUACUCAAAAUGUCUGGGUAUCAUAAUCACUUGACUCAACUGGGAGUUAAUCUUCCUGUUGAUAGUGUCAUUGACAGAGUUCUUCAAUCACUGCCACCAAGCUACAAAAGCUUCGUGAUGAACUAUAAUAUGCAAGGGAUGAACAAGACAAUUCCCGAGCUCUUCGCAAUGCUAAAGGCAGCAUAGGUAGAAAUAAAAAAGGAGCAUCAAGUGUUGAUGGUCAACAAGACCACCAGUUUUAAGAAAAAGGGCAAAGGGAAUAAGAAGGGGAACUUCAAGAACAACAACAAACAAGUUGCUGCUCAGGAGAAGAAACCCAAGUCUGGACCUAAGCCUGAGAUCGAGUGCUUCUACUGCAAACAGACUGGUCACUGGAAGCAGAACUGCCCCAAGUAUUUGGCGGAUAAGAAGGAUGGCAAGGUGAACAAAGGUAUGUGAUAUACAUGUUAUUGAUGUGUACCUUACCAGAGCUCGCAGUAGCACCUGGGUAUUUGAUACUGGUUCUGUUGCUAAUAUUUGCAACUCAAAACAGGGACUACGGAUUAAGCAAAGACUGGCUAAGGACGAGGUGACGAUGCGCGUGGGAAAUGGUUCCAAAUUCUAUGUGAUCGCCGUCGGCACGCUACCUCUACAUCUACCUUCGGGAUUAGUUUUAGACCUAAAUAAUUGUUAUUUAGUGCCAGUGUUAAGCAUGAACAUUAUAUCUGGAUUUUGUUUGAUGCGAUAUAGUUAUUCAUUUAAAUAUGAGAAUAAUGGUUGUUCUAUUUAUAUCAGUAAUAUCUUUUAUGGUCAUGCACCCUUGAAGAGUGGUCUAUUUUUUGUUGAAUCUCGAUAGUAGUGAUACACAUAUUCAUAAUGUUGAAGCCAAAAUAUGCAGAGUUGAUAAUGAUAGUGCAACUUAUUUGUGGCACAGCCGUUUGGGUCAUAUUGGUAUAAAGCGCAUGAAGAAACUCCAUACUGAUGGAUUUUUGGAAUCACUUGAUUAUGAAUCACUUGGUACUUGCGAACCAUGCCUUAUGGGCAAGAUGACUAAAACACCGUUCUCCGGAACUAUGGAGCGAGCAACAGAUUUGUUGGAAAUCAUACAUACUGAUGUAUGUGGUCCGAUGAAUAUUGAGGCUCACGGCGGGUAUCGUUGUUUUCUCACCUUCACAGAUGAUUUGAGCAGAUAUGGGUGUAUCUACUUAAUGAAACAUAAGUCUGAAACAUUUGAAAAGUUCAAAGAAUUUCAGAGUGAAGUGGAAAAUCAUCGUAACAAGAAAAUAAAGUUUCUAUGAUCUGAUCGUGGAGGAGAAUAUUUGAGUUACGAGUUUGGUCUACAUUUGAAAUAAUGCGGAAUAGUUUCGCAACUCACGCCACCUGGAACACCACAGCGUAAUGGUGUGUCCGAACGUCGUAAUCGUACUUUACUAGAUAUGGUGCGAUCUAUGAUGUCUCUUACUGAUUUACUGCUAUCGUUUUGGGGUUAUGCUUUAGAGAUGGCUGCAUUCACGUUAAAUAGGGCACCAUCAAAAUCCGUCGAGACGACGCCUUAUAAACUAUGGUUUGGCAAGAAACCAAAGUUGUCGUUUCUUAAAGUUUGAGACUGCGAUGCUUAUGUGAAAAAGCUUCAACCUGAUAAGCUCGAACCCAAAUUGGAGAAAUGUGUAUUCAUAGGAUACCCAAAGGAAACUAUUGGGUACACCUUCUAUCACAGAUCCGAAGGCAAGACAUUCGUUGCUAAGAAUGGAUCCUUUCUAGAGAAGGAGUUUCUCUCGAAAGAAGUGAGUGGGAGGAAAGUAGAACUUGAUGAGGUAACUAUACCUACUCCCUUAUUGAAAAGUAGUUCAUCACAGAAACUGGUUCCUGUGACACCUACACCAAUUAGUGAGGAAACCAGUGUUGAUGAUCAUGAAACUUCAGAUCAAGUUACUACUGAACCUCGUAGGUCAACCAGAGCAAGAUCCGCAACAGAGUGGUACGGUAAUCCUGUUCUGGAGGUCAUGUUACUUGACCAUGAUGAACCUACGAACUAUGAGGAAGCGAUGAUGAGCCCAGAUUCCACAAAAUGGCUUGAGGCCAUGAAAUCUGAGAUGGGAUCCAUGUAUGAGAACAAAGUGUGGACUUUGGUUGACUUGCCUAAUGAUCGGAAGGCCAUCGAAAAUAAAUGGAUCUUCAAGAAGAAGACAAAUGCUAAUGGUAAUGUUACUGUCUACAAAGCUCGACUUGUUGCGAAAGGUUUUUGACAAGUUCAAGGAGUUGACUACGAUGAGACCUCACCAGUAGUGAUGCUUAAGUCCAUCCAAAUCAUGUUCGCUAUUGCCGCAUUUUAUGAUUAUGAAAUUUGGCAAAUGGAUGUAAAGACUGCAUUCCUGAAUGGAUUUCUGGAAGAAGAGUUGUAUAUGAUGCAACCUGAAGGUGCUAACAAAGUGUGCAAGCUCCAGCGAUCCAUUUAUGGACUGGUGCAAGCCUCUCGGAGUUGGAAUAAACGUUUUGAUAGUGUGAUCAAAGCAUAUGGUUUUAUACAGACUUUUGGAGAAGCAUGUAUUUACAAGAAAGUAAGUGGGAGCUCUGUAGCAUUUCUAAUAUUAUAUGUGGAUGACAUAUUGUUGAUUGGAAAUGAUAUAGAAUUUCUGGAUAGCAUAAAAGGAUACUUGAAUAAGAGUUUUUCAAUGAAAGACCUCGGUGAAGCUGCUUACAUAUUGGGCAUCAAGAUCUAUAGAGAUAGAUCAAGAUGCUUAAUUGGAAUUUCACAAAGCACAUACCUUGACAAAAUUUUGAAGAAGUUCAAAAUGGAUCAGGCAAAGAAAGGGUUCUUGCCUGUGUUUACAAGGUGUGAAGUUGAGUAAGACUCAAUGCCCGACCACUUCAGAAGAUAGAGAGAAAAUGAAAGAUGUUCCCUAUGCUUCAGCCAUAGGCUCUAUCAUGUAUGCAAUGCUGUGUACCAGACCUGAUGUGUGCCUUGCUAUUAGUUUAGCAGGGAAGUACGAAAGUAAUCCAAGAGUGGAUCAUUGGAUAGCGGUCAAGAAUAUCCUGAAAUACUUGAACAUGACUAAGGAUAUGUUUCUCCUUUAUGGAGGUGACAAAGAGCUCAUCGUAAAUGGUUGCGUUGAUGUAAGCUUUUGUGGCACCCUGGCUCAGAGAAAACCGGAACGCCCCGUAUUCCAGCCCAGAGAUCGAGGUGAGGUCUUCUGGAAUACGCCACUGCUUAGAAUAGAACAAACUAGCUCUCUAUUACAACACAAAUAUGAAUACACGGGUUCCGAUAUUACAAUGAAUAACAUCGGCACGGUGACACUACGCCAACCACGGUUGCUCUAUACAAGCAUCAUAACAACUCGAAGCAGUGGAACAACAACUAGCAGCGGAACAACGAACGGUGAUAAAGGACUCCAAUUCACAGGGACUCUGGCUGGAACGUUUAUCCUAGCUCGCGAACACAGGAACAACACCAAACAAGCAAGCAAUCCAGGCACGAUCUGCAAGCUGGCAUGACACGCCAGGUCAGUACAUCGAAUGUACUUGCAAGCUCACCAUAACCAGAAGCAUUCAAGACAAACAACAGCAUGGAAAUUACAGGUUAAGCAGGAAUUAUCAUGAGAUCAUCAGAAUAACAUGGCAUGAACAACAUGAACAUAAUACUGCUAGAACAAUAUGAUCAUGGCAAAAACAUAUAAAUCUGAUGAUACUAGCAUGCAACAUGAUGACACUACAUGCAUCAUUUAUUCUGCUCGGGUUACCUCGUAACCAACACAUGCAUCACUUACCAACCUCGGACAUCACACGAUCAUCUCAGAAUCAAAUCAAGCUUGGUAUAAACAAUACUGUAGUAAUCAGUAAAUGACUACAAGGAGCUUGAUCUUUACCCACGAUUCUCGCACAACAUCACGAAUAUCCAACAACUCGGUAUCCGCGAUACCACGGUGAUCAUUCCGGCGAUCACAACCAUGACCAACACUUAGUCUCAAACCAUGAUCCUUCUAGCAAUCACAACCAACUUAUCUCAAACAGUGGUCCUUCCGGUGAUCACAACCAACUUAUUUCCUCAUCGAAUCGGGGUUGUUAUUAUGCACAUUAUUAUUAAGGUUGUUGACUCAUGAUGGGACCGACACGAACUGGGCCCUUAUACACGGGCGCGACUAUCGACAGAUUUAAUAUACACUCUACAGAGGUAGUACACUGUACCCACACUACGGAACCCAUGGUCUCGCACUCCCAUACGUGCGGACACGGAGUUCCGACAGAACCGAUCUAUUGCCAUGACACUCUCCCGGCCACUCCGACCAACUCCCCUUUGGGCUAGGUCCUGGGUGGCCCCGUGCCUACCAAAGGCACCAAUGGCCACCGUCGUGGUGAAACGGUCCCAAACAGGGACGAGGAUCCAUACUCAACAACAACGGGCACACAAGGUUAUGUCCACCUACCUAAUCAGGGUAGCGCGCGCCCAUAACCUUCCCUCGUUGGAGGCACCGGCGAGAGGCAUGACAAUAGAUCCAGUUAGGACCUUCCAUAAAGGUAAGCGUGGUUGCACUGGUCAAUUUCGAUAUGGUGGCACCAUGACUCAGCCAACAGUUGUUCGAGUUCAAUUUAAUCCGGUUAAACUUGAAUGCAAUAUGCUGAGCCAUGAUAAAAUAACACGAUGCAAUUACAAUACAUGAGCAUGAUAUCAACAUAAUCAUGUGAGAACCACAUAACUAUCCACCAUAUCAACAAUGAAUUAUAUCCAACUAAACAUGGCAUACUGACUAGCAUGAACCUCAUAAGUACAUACUACUCAUCGAAACCUAGCAUGACCACUAGCAUCAACAAUAAAUAUCAUGCAAGACAUAUCAAUAAAGCUACCAUGCAAUCAUUUAACCAACUGGAUGCAACAGAACAUGCAUAACAACGGUACUCGGGACAGACGACAGUCAUGCAGCGAAGACCAUCACCACUAUCAACAUAUACUACUAGCAAGCAUAAGCAUAAAGAAUACUAGCAACUAGCAGGGCAUGACAACGAAGUGCAUAACAACAUAGCAAGUAAGUAGGCAUGAACCCAUAAGCGUUACCGAAACAACUAUAACCAUAUUUUAAGCAAACAAACAUUUAAUAAAUAUUCAAGUUGAAAACCAUGGCUGCUGCAUGACUAUCAUGCAAGUGGGUAUUGUGGCUUGCCUGGGGAUGAAGAAGGCACCGAGAAGAAGUGCAUGAAACCAUGAAACGAAACGUCGGGCGAUACGUUCUCGGAGGGGGCUGAAUAGAGGCAAGGGCAAAAUGGUCAUUUGCACUGUGAUAACACCUAGUGAAAAUGUUACCAAAAGAUAGAGCUCGACGAGACGAAGAAGCGAGCGUUGGUUUCACCUCAAUCGGAGUUACGGUUGAAAAGUUGUAAAGGUCGGAAGAACAUGGACUAAUAUGUGAAGAAUUUAUCACAAACAGGUCCCUGACGAGGAAAAACAGAACACGCCUUCGCCCAAAUUACGUUUUCUGUGAAGGGAAACGUAUUUUCAGCCGCAAUAGAUAGAGAAUACGCUUUUCCAAAACGGAAAUGUAUUUCCAGAAAAACGUCUCCACUUAUCCACAUGGACUAGGGGGAGGGGAGGCUUACUAGUGGGGUCCAUGCGCAGGGGGAGGGGCCAGGCGAUCGUUGUCUUCCUCCUCUCGCUGCGCCCCGACUGAAAUAGAGGAGGCAGGGGCGGGGCCACGAUGCCGGCGAUGACCUGGUCGGCUCAGGCCACCUCAGGCCAAGGCGGGAGCACUGGUGGCUUCAGGGCAGGGUGUCGCACCCAUUCCGAGGGAAAGGAGGCAUCAGAGAUGAGCGAGACAGACGGUGCCGUGAGGGGAACAGAGAGGCGCCAGCAGCGAUGGUGGAGAUGAGCGCGAGGCCCUGGUGGCUCUGGCGACAAACGAAGGAGGUGGGGAGGAUUGUGGAUGAGUGGGGAGAGCGAUGGCGGCGUCGGGAGAGAUGGAGGAACUCCGGAUGGGGGGGGGCGACGAGGCGACCGAGAGGCACGGGCGGCGGCCGGACGAGGAGCACGCGGCCAGAGGGCUUUCCGAUGAAGGGCGAGGUGGUGGGGCGAACAACGGUGAUGAGGAGGCUCUGGUGGACAGCUCGGGAGGAGAGGAGAGGGGCUGUGGUGGUCGGAACCGAGACCAACUCCGACGAGGUCAUGGGGAUCCAGGGAAGAAACGGCGAGGGAGAGCUGCUCGAGUGGGCAAAAGAGGCAGGAGAGGAGUGAGUGAGGAGCAGGGGACCUCGGGCAUGCCUCAUAUAGCCGCGGGAGGCUUCUCGAGCUCACAACCGAGAUGGAGCGGUGCACUAAUGGAGGUUAGAGGAGGGGCAUGGAACGGGCACUGCUCUAGCGGCGCAUUUAUGGCGAACCACAACAAGGCACCGAUGCAGGGCGACGCAGUCGAUCACGGGGAAGCUCCAAGACAUGAAUUGAGGUCGAGACGAGGGAGAAGACAAGCAUAGUGGCUGGAACAAGCCAGAGCAUGCCUACAGCCAUGACGCCAGCGUGAUCACCACGCGCACUGGCGCAAGCGAUGCUCUUUGGCAUGGCCAACCAUGUCCAGUAGAUGGACCUUGGUGCCCUGAGUCAAAAUGAGGAAAUAAAUCGGUCCAGGGGCAAAGAAGAGAUUUGCACUUAGCUCCAAAAGUAAAUCAGUAAGAAGGUGUUUGUAACUUGCUGUGGUUAAACCAGCAGGUAACAAGGUAAAGAGUUUGUCUGGCGAUGAUCACACACUAAGGUGAUGCCGAUCACCAAAAAUCAGACUAAGAGGAGGAGUUUAGAUGGUGGUUGCAGUAGAAAGUGCAAUACUGGCCAGAAUUAGGGAUUUGGAUGAUACACUCACAUACUUGAUCUCUGUGAGCUGAAAUUUGGCAGAGAGGGGUUAUAUGAUGAUAUGAAGCUGCUGUAAAAAUUUCAUUCCAUUUGGAAAUACCAAAGUGGCACUUGCUUCACAAAGCUUCAUUCUGUAUAGAAACUUGGAAAAAUUACACAGGGUAAUUGGAUUAACUAAUUGAGGUAAAACUUGGUGGGAGUAGUUGAUAUAGGUAUAAACAUGUCCUGGUAAAUUUUCAGCUCAAUUUAAGCAAUAUAAAAUAUAGUUUCUUCACAAACUGAAAAUCUGACCAGAAACUAAGAUUUGGAGCUGGGCUCACAUAUAUGAGUUACAUGAGCUCCUAUUUGGUGGAUAGUCAUUAUUUGACCAUAGGAAAUACCCUGAAAAAUUUCAACUCAUUUGGAUAUACGUAGAAUAUAGCUCCUUCACAAAGUUCCUUCCUAGACAGAAACUUUGGAAAAUUGCUGAAAAAUAUUUACUAGGCAAAUUGAGUUUAAUUUUUGGCAUGAGCCAAUGAGAUGGACAGGAAAAAGUGUCCAAGAAGUUUGGGGUCAAAUGGGCAAAGAUAAAUAGCACUUCCUUUGCAAAGUGCCAUUCAGGACAGAAUAGGAAAAAAAUUAUUGAAGGAUUAUUUUUUAACAUGGAAAUAAAAUAUUUUUCCAUAUUUGAGGAAGAUAUGACCCAAACAAUUUAUGAGAAUUAUUUGAGAAUUUUAGGAGUGACAGAAAUAUAGGUUGCUUCGCAACCUAGGGUUUUAAGGGUUAUUCCUUUAUCAGAAAAGGAAUAUUACCAACAAAAGAAUUUUGGAUUAGGUCAAGGAUGGAAAUGAGAUGAUCUUGAGAGGAUGAUGAGGGUGACAAGCCACUAGAAAACCUAGGAAGACAUGAUCUUCCCAAGUUUCAGACCCUCAUAGCCAUGGAAAAGCAAAUCAAAACAGGAAAUCCCAGAAAAUCAAAGGAAAAAGAAAAGGGCAAAAAUCCAGGCUGUUACAAACCUUCCCCCCUUAAAGAAAUCUCAUCCUCGAGAUUUGGUUGCUCAGGGUUAAAUAAUCUUUCUGACUUGAAGAAACCGUUUCCCACUCAGGUUUCUUUUAUUCAUAAUAUUUCCACUGAAUUGGAUCUGACUAAUUGUCUUGAUCUGGGGUGGUUUGCUUCACUGGAUCUGACAUUCUGACAGGACGUACCUCGGAUGUCCCUGUUAAUACUAACUCAAAAUUUUCUUUGGCUGAGCUAGCAUCCAAAAUAUUAUUUUUAUGGACAUACUUGUCCUUCUUGAUAUUGAUCCUUGCUGAAAAUGUUAUUCUAGUAUCUAGUACCGAGAACAUUCCACGGAGUUGGGGAACAUAUCUUCCCAUGGAACAACGAAUCCCUUUUAUCCAGGCAUCGGAUUCCUCGAAUAUAGACAUGCCUUCUGGUUCCAAAACAGUGAUGUGGAUCAUAUCUAUUUUUGCUAACGGAUGCUGACAUCUUGCAUGAGUUUCUGACUUAUCUUGACUGGCUUCAAAGUCUUGAGUAUCCAGGUUGUUCCAAAGGUUUGACUGUCACUUGUCGCGACUGAUAGAAAAAAUGCACCAUCUCCUGAUGAUAAGAUUUGUAGACUUGACUGCCGGUGAUCUUGGCAAAGAAUCCCAUUUACACAGGCUAUUCCUUUCAUUGCUUCCCCUAUGCGAGAGAUAACGAUCCUCAACGUAUAUGUUUUCACACGGAUUCUUCAUUGUUGCCAGUAUCUCUCUGGGAACAAUAGUCUGUGCAAAGCUCCAUCACGGGUGUUGAGGUUAAUAUAUUGAGUUGUCCAGUACCACAAUGGAGUAUACUUCUUGGGUGGAUCUUUGCUUGGGUUUGCCGUGGAAUAAGACGGUCUUGGGCAUCCACAUUUUUCACAUAAUAACCGACAUACAUUGGUCUGGUUCAUGUUUUGAGCCUCGGUAUACUUAUCCGGCUCACGUGUGGUCAUACAGAUCUCAAUCCUGUUGUGGAUUAUGCCAGACAGUGACAGGGUUAAUAAUAUCACCUUGUGAGGCUGAUUUUUAUAAUCAGUGCCAAGAUUAUGGUCUCAAUGUUGUCUUUCCUUCAAGACUUGUUGAUUAUGGCAUCACCCACUGGUUUUUGUUUCUUGAAUAACCGGUGAGGUUGUCGGAUGUGUACCGUGAAUUCUUCCUUGAGAGACUUGCAUGGACUUGGCAGCAUACUGAAUGAACUAAUAUCUAAUUCUCAAGGCAUACCUUUGUUCUGACUGAUUUCAGACCAAACUGUUGCAGAUCUGCCACUUGGAAAACACUGUCAUAUGCUGACAAUUCAUAGUUUAAUGUCUUGUAUUAGUGUCGUACAUAAGAAUACUGGGCAGCUUGCGUUCGAAAGCAAUUGGGGUAUCGUGUUGAGGAAGGCAUGGGGGCUUAUGCUCGAAGCCAUCGGUGGAUAUCUUAUUGAGGAAAUCGGGGUACCGUACCUUAUAAGCUUCCCCCCUUAAAGACUUGUUAGGGAAGACUCGGUACCUUAUGCCAGAAGCUUUUGCAGUAUUUUAUAAAGAAGACUGAAAAUCUUGCAUGGGAAUCCAUUCAAACCCUAUCGAUGCAGACUGGGAACCUUAUCUUUGUACACUUCGUCAAUACAUUGUGGAGAAGGAUGGGACUGAUUUUCUUGGUGAUGGGAAUGACAUAUAUAUUUGUCAAUCCGGCAGCUGAUUAUUGAUAUGACAAGAAUUGUCUGACUGUCCUUACUGAAUUCACUGUGCAAUUGGACUGACUUCUGGGUGUCACAAUGUUUUAAUUUUGACUUAUGGCACAUUCAAUCAUUGUGCAUAGCCCAUACCUUUGACUUGAAAUGCACUGUCGAUCCAAUUUUGUUCUCUUGCUGAUUUAAUCUUUCUUGCAAUAAAGUGUAACUCUGACAGGUAUUUGUUGCUGAAAGUCUGAUCAAAAUACAAUUUGUAUCCGGAUGAAUGUCUGCAAUACAAUGUUGUCGGCUGAAAACCUCAUUGAUUUUAACUGACUUCCUUGGUGUAUAUCUGUACCGCUUACGGCUCCUUCUGAUUCGGUGUAGGUCGAGGAAUAAUUUCCAUAAGGGGGGUAACACCGAGGAUUCAAAACAAAGAAGCACGAGAAAACAAUUUAUUGCAACAAAGCACACAACAAACAAGCUACAAAGCUGCUCCACACAUACACACACAAGCAUGAUACUACAACGGAUGCACAAGCGCUACACGAAGGACUACAUCCUACGCUUGAGCAAACGCUCGCGAACUGACAAGGAAGCUAAGGGAGUAGAGAGUGGAACCGCUGACUCUGAAACUCCCGAUGGACAUGGCAGAGGAGUUGGAGAAGCUGGCGGAGACUGAGGUAAAGCGACACCAAGCAAUCUCCUGGCCCGAAUGGCGUCUCGGACUAACUCAGAAAUAAGAAGACACUCGGUCGUCAUGUAAUGAGACAUGGCUAGGAUAGCUGGGUCAUCUUGAGGGUUGACGGAGGGAAAUUGGAUUCGCCUAGGAUUCUCGACGAUGGUGGGAUAAUAUUCAUAAGCAUGGUUCUCCUGCACCAUGCUCUCUUGGUGACGAAGACCGGUGACUCCUGCCAUUGCGGCAAGCUGAACGGCAUGCUCAGGAGUAGCGCCGUAACCACCGUGGAAACUGUAGGUGCGCUUACCGACAGGAAUCAGAGCUGACAGAUGAACAUGAGCAACAUAUUCCCGAAUUCUUCCUCCAGCAGAAAACUGGAAUACUUGAUAAUGAGGUGGAUCUCCGAGGGGAUAAAUAUUACGCCACAUGUCGCCAAGGAGGGCGGCAAAGCUGAGAGGCGCAGUGUUGGGGAUCGUAACAAAAAUUUAAAAUUUUCUAUGCAUCACCAAGAUCAAUCUAUGGAGUAAUCUAGCAACGAGGGGAAGGGGAGUGCAUCUACAUACCCUUGUAGAUCGAUAAGCGGAAGCGUUCAAGUGAACGGGGUUGAUGGAGUCAUACUCGUCGUGAUCCAAAUCACCGAUGAUCCUAGCGCUGAAUGGACGGCACCUCCGCGUUCAACACACGUACGGAACGGAGACGUCUCGCACGCCUUGAUCCAGCAAGGAGGAGGGAGAGGUUGAGGAAGAGAGUCCAACAGCAGCACGACGGCGUGGUGGUGAUGGAGUGGCAGUUCUCUAGCAGGGCUUCGCCAAGCUCACGUGGAGGAGGAGAGGUAUUAGAGGGGAGGGGCUGCGCCAGGUUCAAGGGUGUGGCCGCCCUCCCACCCCUCCACUAUUUAUAGGUGGGGAGAGAGGGGGGCGGCCCCCUUAGAUCCCAUCUAGGGUUGGGGGCGGCGGCCAAGGGGGGGAGGAGUGCCUCCCAAGUCAAGUGGAGGCCCUCCCCCUUAGGGUUUCCCCUCUCCCAUGCGCAUGGGCCUUGGGGGGGGGGGGGCUGGUGCCCUUGGCCCAUUAAGGUUAGGGCGCCCCCUUACAGCCCAUGCUGCUGUAUUGGACGUGGUGGAACAUUUUUCGGACCUCUGGACCCCUUUGGAAUCCUCCGGAACCUUCCGGAAGCUUCUCGGUACAAUACCGGAAAAAACCGAACUUUUCCCGGAACCCGAACAACAACUUUCCAUAUAUAAAUCUUUACCUCCAGACCAUUCCGGAACUCCUCAUGACGUCCGGGAUCUCAUCCGGGACUCCGAACAACAUUCGGUAAUUACAUACAAGUCUUCCUAAUAACCCUAGCAUCAUCGAACCUUAAGUGUGUAGACCCUAUGGGUUCGGGAACCAUGCAGACAUGACCGAGACAACUCUCCGGCCAAUAACCAACAGCGGGAUCUGGAUACCCAUGUUGGCUCCCACAUGUUCCACGAUGAUCUCAUCGGAUGAACCAUGAUGUCGAGGAUUCAAUCAAUCCCGUAUUCAAUUCCCUUUGUCCAGCGGUAUUGUACUUGCCCGAGAUUUGAUCGUCGAUAUCCCGAUACCUUGUUCAAUCUCGUUACCGGCAAGUCUCUUUACUCAUUCCGUAACACAUCAUCCCGUGAUCAACUCCUUGGUCACAUUGUGCACAUUAUGAUGAUGUCCUACCGAGUGGGCCCAGAGAUACCUCUCCAUUACACGGAGUGACAAAUCCCAGUCUCGAUUCGUGCCAACCCAACAGACACUUUCGGAGAUACCUGUAUUGAACCUUUGUAGCCACCCAGUUAUGUUGUGACAUUUGGCACACCCAAAGCACUCCUACGGUAUCCGGGAGUUGCACAAUCUCAUGGUCUAAGGAAAUGAUACUUGACAUUAGAAAAGCUUUAGCAAACGAACUACACGAUCUUGUGCUAGGCUUAGGAUUAGGUCUUGUCCAUCACAUCAUUCUCCUAAUGAUUUGAUCCCGUUAUCAACGACAUCCAAUGUCCAUGGUCGGGAAACUGUAACCAUCUAUUGAUCAACGAGCUAGUCAACUAGAGGCUUACUAGGGACAUGGUGUUGUCUAUGUAUCCACACAUGUAUCUGAGUUUUCUAUCAAUACAAUUCUAGCAUGGAUAAGAAACGAUUAUCAUGAACAAGGAAAUAUAAUAAUAACCAAUUUAUUAUUGCCUCUAGGGCAUAUUUCCAACAGUCUCCCACUUGCACUAGAGUCAAUAAUCUAGUUCACAUCGCCAUGUGAUUAACACUCACAGGUCACAUCGCCAUGUGACCAACAUCCAAAGAGUUUACUAGACUCAAUAAUCUAGUUCACAUCACUAUGUGAUUAACACUCAAUGAGUUCUGGGUUUGAUCAUGUUAUGCUUGUGAGAGAGGUUGUAGUCAACGGGUCUUGCCAUAUUCAGAUCCCUAUGUAUUUUGCAAAACUUUAUAUCGUAGAUGCUGCUACCACGUUCCACUUGGAGCUAUUCCAAAUUAUUGCUCCAUUAUACGUAUCCGGUAUCUCUACUCAGAGCUAUCCGGAUAGGUGUUAAGCUUGCAUCGACGUAACUCUUUAUGUCGAACUCUUUAUCACCUCCAUAAUCGAGAAACAUUUCCUUAUUCCUCUAAGGAUAAUUUUGACUGCUAUCUGGUGAUCCACUCCUAGAUCACCUUUGUACCGUCUUGCCAGACAUGUGGCAAGGCACACAUUAGGUGCGGUACUUCAGCAUGGCAUACCGUAUAGAGCCUAUGACAAGAGCAUAGGGGACGACCUUCGUCCUUCUUCUUUGUUCUGCCGUGGUCAAGCUUUGAGUCUUACUCAACUUCAGACCUUACAACUCAGGUGAGAACCCCUUCUUUGACUGAUCUAUUUUGAACUCCUUCAAAAACAUGUCAAGGUGUGCGUUCUUUGAAAGUAUCAUCAGGCGUUUUGAUCUAUCUCUAUAGAUCUUGAUGCCCAAUAUGUAAGCAGCUUUAUCCAGGUCUUCCUUUGAAAAACAUUCUUCAAACAACCGUUUAUGCUUUCCAGAAAUUCUACAUUAUUUCGGGUCAACAAUAUGUCAUCCACAUAUACUUAUCAGAAAUGUUGUAGUGCUCCCACUCACUUUCUUGUAAAUACAAGUUUCCAGCAAACAUUGUAUAAACCUAAAAGCUUUGAUCACUCCAUCAAAGCAUAUAUUCCGACUCCGAGAUGCUUGCUCUAGUCCAUAGAAGGAUUGCCGGAGCCAACAUACCUUUUAGCAUCCUUAGGAUCGACAAAACCUUUUAUUGUAUCACAUACAACUUUUUCUUACGAAAACUGGUAAGAAAAUUUGUUUUGAUAUCCAUCUGUCAGAUUUCAUAAUCAAAAAAUACAGCUAAUGCUAACAUGAUUCCGACGGACUUAAGCAUCGCUACGGGUGAGAAAUUCUCAUCGUAGUCAACUCCUUAAACUUGUGAAAAGACUCUUUCCCACAAGUCGAGCUUCAUAGACGGUAACAUUACCGCCCACGUCCGUCUUCUUCUUAAAGAUCCAUUUAUCUCAAUGGCUUGCCGAUCAUCAGGCAAGUCCACCAAAGUCCAUACUUUGUUCUAAUACAUGGAUCCUAUCUCGGAUUUCAUGGAUUCUAACCAUUUGUCAGAAUACGGGCCCACCAUCGCUUCUCCAUAGCUCGUAGGUUCAUUGUUGUCUAACAACAUGAUAUCUAAGACAGGAUUACCGUACCACUCAGGAGUAGUACAUAUCCUUGUCGACCUAUGAGGUUCCAUAGCAACUUGAUCCGAAGCUUCAUGAUCACUAUCAUUAACUUCCUCUUCAAUAGACGUAGGCGCCACAGAAAACAUCUUUCUGUGUUGCAUCACUCUCUGGUUGAAAUAAAGGUUCGACAACAUCAUCAAGUUCUAUCUUCCUCCCACUCAAUUCUUUCGAGAGAAACUCCUUCUCGAGAAAGGACCCGUUCUUAGCGACAAACAUUUUGCCCUCGGAUCUGAGAUAGAAGGUGUACCCAACUGUCACCUUUGGGUAUCCUUUGAAGAUGUGUUUGUCCGCUUUGGGUUUGAGUUUCUCUGGCUGAAGCCUUAAGCAUCGCAGCCCCAAACAUUAAGAAAUGACAACUUUGGUUUCUUGCCAAAGCAAUGUUCACACGACGUCGUCUUAACAGACUUAGAUGGUGUCCUAUCUAAAAUGAAUGCAGCUGUCUCUAACGCAUAACCUCAAAAUGAAAACGGUAGAUCGGUAAGAGACAUCAUAGAUCGCACCAUAUCUAUAAGGUUCGAUUACGACGUCCGGACACACCAUUACCCUCUGGUGUUCCAGGUGGCUUCAACUAUGAAACAAUUCCACGAUGUCUUAAGUGAUUGCCAAACUCAUAACUCAGAAAUUCUCAUCGAUCAAAUCAUAGGAAUUUGAUCUUCUUGUUAUGAUGGUUCUUAACUUCACUCUAAAAUCGCUUGAACUUUUCAAACGUUUCAGACUUGUGCUUCAUUAAGUAAAUAUACCUAUAUCUACUCAAAUCGUCAGUGAAGAUGAGAAAAUAGCGAUAUCCACCGCACGCUUCAAUUCUCAUUGGAUCACACACAUCAGUAUGUAUGAUUUCCAACAAGUCACUUGCCCGUUUCAUUGUACCUGAAAACGGGGUCUUAGUCAUCCUGCCCAUGAGGCAUGGCUUGCAUGUGUCAAGAGAUUCAAAAUCAAGUGACUCCAAACAUCCAUCGAUAUGGAGUUUCUUCAUGCAUCUUAUGCCAAUAUGACCUAAGCGGCAGUGCCACAACAAAGUGGUACUAUCAUUAUUAACUCUACAUCUUUUGGCGUGAACAUGUGUAUUACCACGACCGAGAUUCAAUGAACCAUUCACAUAGGGUGCAUGACCAUGAAAGGUAUUAUUCAUGUAAACAGAAUAACCAUUAUUCUCUAACUUAAAUGAAUAACCGUAUUGCAAUGAACAUGAUCUAAUCAUAUUCAUGCUCAACGUAGACACCUGAUAACAUUUAUCUAGGUUCAAUACUAAUCCCGAAGGAAGACGUAGCGUGCGAUGGUGAUCUCAUCAACUUUGGAAACACUUCCAACACACAUCGUCACCUCGCCCUUAGCCAGUCUCCGUUUAGUUCGUAGCUUUUGCUUCAAGUCACCAAUAAUAGCAACUGAACCGGUAUCCAAUACCCAGGUACUACCAGGAGUACUAGUGAGGUACACAUUAAUGACACAUAUAUACUUUGAAGUUGCCAGCCUUCUUAUCUACCAUGCAUUUGGGGUAAUUCCGCUACCAGUGACCGUUCCCCUUACAAUAGAAGCACUUAGUCUCGGGCUUGGGUUCAACCUUGGGUUCCUUCACUGGAGCGGCAACUGGUUUGCCAUCCAUGAAGUUUCCCUUCUAGCCCUUGCCCUUCUUGAAACCAGUGGUCUUGUUAAACCGUCAACACUUGAUGCUCCUUCUUGAUUUCUACCUUUUGCGGUCUUAAGCACCGCGAACAGCUCCGGGAUCAACUCCAUCCCUUGCAUGUCAUAGUUCAUCAUGAAGAUCUAGUAGCUUAGUGAUAGUGGCUAGAGAACUCUAUCAAUCACUAUCUUAUCUGGAAGUUUAACUCCCACUUGAUUUAAAUGAUUGUAGCACCCACAUAUUCUGAGCACAUGCUCACUAGCUGAGCUAUUCUCCUCCAUCUUGUUGGCAAAAGAACUUGUCAGAGGUCUCACACCUCUCAACACGGGCAUGAGCCUGAAAUCCCAAUUUCAGCUCUUGGAACAUCUCAUAUGUUCUAUGGCGUUCAAAACGUCAUUGGAAUCCCGAUUCUAAGCCGUAAAGUAUGGUGCACUAAACUAUCAAGUAGUCAUCAGGAUGUGUCUGUCAGGUGUUCACAACAUCCACGGACGACGUCGUAGGGGUUUGCACAUCGAGCGGUGCAUCAAAGACGUAAGCCUUCUAUGUAGCAGUGAGGACACUCCUCGGACUACAGACCUAGUCCGCAUCAUUGCUUACAAUAUCUUUCAACUUAAUCUUUAUCUAGGAACGUAUUGAAACAGGGACCUACAAUGUGAGCUAUUUAUCUACAACAUAUUUGCAAAGACAAUUUAGACUAUGUUCAUGAUAAUUAAGUUCAUCUAAUCAAAUUAUUUAAUGAACUCCCACUCAGAUAGACAUCCCUCUAGUCAUCUAAGUGAAACAUGAUCCGAAUCGACUAGGCCGUGUCCGAUCAUCACGUGAGACGGACUAGUCAUCAACGGUGAACAUCUCAUGUUGAUCGUAUCUUCUAUACGACUCAUGUUCGACCUUUCGGUCUUACGUGUUCCGAGGCCAUGUCUGUACAUGCUAGGCUCGUCAAGUCAACCUAAGUGUUUUGCAUGUGUCCCGAGGUCAUGUCUGUACAUGCUAGGUGAAGGAAAUAUGCCCUAGAGGCAAUAAUAAAGUUAUUAUUUAUUUCCUUAUAUCAUGAUAAAAGUUUAUUAUUCAUGCUAGAAUUGUAUUAACCGGAAACAUAAUACAUGUGUGAAUACAUAGACAAACAGAGUGUCACUAGUAUGCCUCUACUUGACUAGCUCGUUAAUCAAAGAUGGUUAUGUUUCCUAACCAUGGACAAAGAGUUGUCAUUUGAUUAACGGGAUCACAUCAUUAGUUGAAUGAUCUGAUUGACAUGACCCAUUCCACUAGCUUAGCACCCGAUCGUUUAGUAUGUUGCUAUUGCUUUCUUCAUGACUUAUACAUGUUCCUAUGACUAUGAGAUUAUGCAACUCCCGUUUGCCAGAGGAACACUUUGUGUGCUACCAAACGUCACAACGUAACUGGGUGAUUAUAAAGGAGCUCUACAGGUGUCUCCAAAGGUACAUGUUGGGUUGGCGUAUUUCGAGAUUAGGAUUUGUCACUCCGAUUGUCAGAGAGGUAUCUCUGGGCCCUCUCGGUAAUGCACAUCACUGAAGCCUUGCAAGCAUUUGUCAGGACCCCGACUCAAUGCCACAUCGAUCUAGCAUGUAACACCUCAUAUCACUUUGCGGCCUCACGCACGGUAUUCCCACGGGUGUCGCCUUACCUUAGCCCGGGACCGUUUGCGCCUUUUGGCACACGUAUAUGACAGUGUCGCUAGCACCCAUAUGAUAAUGAGCCCGGGCUGACAUGGCUAGUCGUAAACCCAAAGUGGCACAGACUUACAGGGACAGGCAUCCAUGACCCAGCAUCGAACGUGUCGGUCAUCAGCAAGUGGGUCCGGGCUGUAGCACUGGGCUAGCAGGACUCCGGUAAACCGGGCUGUACCGGGCUAACAGGCCUCCGAUACUCAAUGCGUGACAUUUCCCCGAAGGGACAGACACAGGAACGAAGAAGGACACAUGCCGGCCAGCCUAAGUGUUCCGGAGCAGUAGCAAGCUACCAUGGCUCAGUGGAAACACUAGGAGACAUUUCCCGGUAAGAGAGGCUACUAAGGAUAAACAACUAGAUAGUCAGAUCCCACACAUACCAAGCAUUUCAAUCAUACACACAAUAUGCUCGAUAUGUGCAAAUACAACAAGGCAUCACAACAUGACUCUACGACACAAGUAAAUAUUCAAUAGGCUCCGAGGAGCGAGAUAUUACAAACAUGGGUCUUAUGACCCAACAAUCAGAGCAUACAAGUCAAAGCACAAGCGGAAGCUAUCAUGUCUGAGUACAGACAUCUAUAAAUGGAAAAGGCUGAAAAGCCUGACUAUCUAUCAGAUCCUGCCGAGGCACAAGAUCGUAGCUGAGGUAACAAGCUAAACGUCGAAGACCACGCGGAAAUACUAGUGAGACUGAAGUCUCUCUGCAAAAACAUAAAAUAGGCAAACGUGAGUACAAAUGUACCCAGCAAGACUUACAUCAGAACUAACUACAUAUGCAUCAUUAUCAACAAAGGGGUGGUGGGGUUUAACUGCAGCAAGCCAGCUUUGACUCGGUGGCUAUCCUAAGCUACGACUGCAAGUAACUCUUUUGAAGUGGCGCACACGAGUCCACAUGUUCACCAACCAAUACACCACUAUGGAACCGCUCCCGUCUCCCUACGAGAAUGCCAUCCAUAGCACUCACGCUUAUCUUGCGUAUUUUAAGGUAUCCACUUUCACUUGUCUAUGAACUGAUAUAAGCAACCCAGAAGUCCUUUUCCGCGGACACGGCUAUUCGGAUAGAUGAUGAUAACCCUGCAGGGGUGUACUUCUUCACACACGCUCUCACCACUUAUCGCCGUUUACACGACAUGUACUCGGCAACCUUCAAGCGAAAGCCCAACGUGGGUGUCGGCCACGACCUACCUAAUCACCUAAGUCUCUAGUCCAGGUUUAUCGCCUAUUCGGGUUCCAUCCAUGAGGAGAUCCGGCCGGAGUUUCGCUCACAGCCCCAAACGAUGUGUACAGGGUUCCGUGACACCAAACGGGUGCCCGGUUUACCCGGCCACGUGCCUACCGCAUCAUAGCCCACCCCUACGGUCAGCGCUGCGCACGGCCUCCAGCAUACUACAAACACCAGAAACUACUUGCAACUCCUGGACAAAGGACAAGGGUGAUUAAGAAGCCGAGAGGGUCCAUUGGUUUCGGGCCCAAUGCGUGGUAGUAGCUGAAUCAUGGAUCACAAACACAGAACUCAGUUCCUGAGGACGGCUGCAAUGAGACAACCCACCAUGUACUCCUACAUGGCCUCUCACCGCUACCUUUACCAAAUCGUGUUCACACACUUAGCUCACACACAGUAGGACAGGUUCACACGCCUCUGAUUCAUCCCCGAUGAAUCAGACCCGACUCAACUCUAAGCAGUAGUAGGCAUGACAACAAACAUAAAUGAGUAGGCACAUCAGGGCUCAAGCAACUCCUACUCAUGCUAGUGGGUUUCAUCUAUUUACUGUGGCAAUGACAGGUCAUGCAAAGGAUAAAUGGGUUCAGCUACCGCAGCAAGUAACAGUUGAAUCGUUGUUGUCCUAAUGCAGUAAAAGAGAGCAAGAGCGAGAGAGUAGGAUUGUAUCGGAAUGAACAAGGGGGUUUUGCUUGCCUGGCACUUCUGAAGAUAACAUUGAGUCUUCAUCAAUGUCAACGAUCACAUCGUCGGUAUCACGUCUAUCGAGAGGGGACGAAUACCGGCAACACAGAAGGGAACACAAUCAAUGCAAUGCACAAUAUGAUGCAUGAUCAUGACAUGGCAAUAUGAAUGUGUUUUGAGCUAAUGCAACUAGCAACAGAUUAAAUGAAGUUGGUUUGAAUACAAGAUUCAAAUUCAAACUCCAUAUGUGAUUAUUUAAAUGCCCUUUAUAUGAUUUGUGCUAAACAGCAGCUAUAAGUUGUUCCAACAUGCAUGAAAAUGGUACAGAUGGAUUCCUUGAAUUUUUCUAAUAAUUUUACAUAUAUAAAUUAUUUAAUUUGGAGUUACGGUUAAUUUUCUAUGAUUUAUUGAAGUUUUAGCUAUUUUCUGGAAUUUCCUGAUUAUUUUUAAAUCCAGAAAAUACUUAUUGCGCCAGCCCCACGUCACAGUGACGUCAGCAGGGUCAACUGGGCUGGCUCGGGUCAAACCUGACGUGUGGGGUCCACACGUCAGUGACACAGGAGCUAAUCCCGGUCAAACCCAGCGCUGACUGGGGUUUGACCAGGGGUGGGGCCCACUGUCAAUGGCUGUGGGUUGUUUAAUUAGCUGGGUUAGCUCCUAAUGAUGGAGCCACGUCAGCUCCUACCGGAGUUUCGCCGGCGGCGACCAUUCUGCACGGCGGCGCGGCUCGGAUUUGAGCUAGGGGCAAUGGUUUGGCGCGCUGAGCGCACCGGGGAGGAGCUCUUGCACUCGCGCAUCUAAUGGACCAGACGGGUGGUCACGGGGCAGCCGGAAUCUCGCCGGCGACGAGCUUUGGCGGCGACCGGAGUUCGGGCGUCGAUGGAAACGAUGACACCGUGCACGGGAGGGUCCACGGUUAGCACCUACGCGUUCUACGAGAGCUCAUGAACCCAACGGAGGCACGCACGGGACCAAAUGGCCACCGGAGCCUCGUCGACGAUGAGCUCGUGUGGCGGCGUGCUGUCGGGGGAGAGAGGCGUGGCGGCUACGGCAUGCUAGAGAGAUAACGGAGAGGGGGAGGAUGAUCAGGAGCUCACGGCGGGGUCGUAGAUGAUCUCAGCGGCCUCGGGGACGGCCUGGUGACGACGAAUCGGUCGACAGCGGCCGUUGGUGCAGGGAACGAAGAUGGCGUCGGCGACGGCGCCGCUGGGCAUCCAGGGGGUCUUCUGGUCGCGUGAGACGACGAGGAGGAUGAGGGAGGACCGGCGGAGCUCGGGAGCGCGUCGGGGAGGAGAGGGGGUAGCGGUGGCCGCGAGGGAGCUCGUCGGUGGCGGCGGCUCCGUUCGGUCCGGGCGAGAGAGAGGGAGCAGAGGAGAGAGGGGAUGCAGCGGGGAAGGAAGAGGAGCGAGGGGACACGAGGCCUCGUCGUGGCGUCGCUAGGGAGGCCGGGGGAAGCAGGAGGUGGCCGGGAAGCAGGAGGUGGCCGGGGCGCGUGGCCGCGCACGCCGGGCGUGUGCCCGUCCUCCUGGCAGGGAGGAAGACGACAGGGGAGGAAGUGGAGAUGGGCUGGGCCGGCUGGGCCGGUUGGUGGGCGCCAGGUGGGCUGCAGGUGAGUUAGGUAGGCUUCUGCUCUUUUAUUUCUGUUCUGUUUCUCUUUUCUAUUUCUGCAAUUUGUUUUUGAUUUGAUUUAAAAUAUCAAAUCAUUUUAUAAAAUCCUAGAAAUAAUUAUGGGUGCUUUCUGAAUUAUUUCAGUGACCCUUAACAAUUUCCAACAUUUAUUUGAACAUUUAAAUUAUUUAUGGUAUUUAAAUGCCCAAAGUCAAAUACAAUAUGGUUUAUUCAAAAAUCCAAAAAUGUCUUGGAAAAAUAUCCAUCAUCUCUGGAUAUGGUUUUCACCCUUUUCCAGUAAUCAUGAACAUUUUUGCAAACCAAUUUGGGUUCUGUGAAAAUAUUUUGAAGUUGAACCUAUUUGCAAUGCUUUGGUGCUAGGGCUUGGUCAUCCCCAUUUCAAAUUUCAUAAAAUUUAAACAUGUUGCAUAGAUGCUAAAACAAAAACAAACAAGGGCUGAUCUGGGGCUGUGACAGCAUUGCAACUAAUGAGUUAGUUGCGGGAUGAUGUAUUACGGAACGAGUAAAGAGACUUGCCGGUAACAAGAUUGAACUAGGUAUGGGAUACCGACGAUCGAAUCUCGGGCAAGUAACAUACCGAUGACAAAGGGAACAACGUAUGUUGUUAUGCGGUCUGACCGAUAAAAGAUCUUCGUAGAAUAUGUAGGAGCCAAUAUGAGCAUCCAGGUUCCGCUAUUGGUUAUUGACCGAAGACGUGUCUCGGUCAUGUCUACAUUGUUCUCGAACCCGUAGGGUCCUCAUGCUUAAGGUUACGAUGACAGUUAUAUUAUGAGUUUAUACAUUUUGAUGUACCAAAGUUUGUUCGGAGUCCCGGAUGUGAUCACGGACAUGACGAGGAGUCUCGAAAUGGUCGAGACAUAAAGAUUGAUAUAUUGGAAGCCUAUGUUUGGAUAUCGGAAGUGUUCCGGGUGAAAUCGGGAUUUUACCGGAGUACCGGGAGGUUACCGGAACCCCCCCGGGAGGUAUAUGGGCCUUAGUGGGCCUUACUGGAAGAGAGGAGAGGUGGCCAUAGAUGGGCCGCGCGCCCCUCCCCCCCUUGGUCCGAAUAGGACAAGGAGAGGGGGCCGGCCCCCCUUCCUCCUCUCUCUCCUCUUUUCCCCCCUCCGCGAAUCCUAUUCCAACUAGGAAAGGGGAGGAGUCCUACUCCCGGAGGGAGUAGGACUCCUCCUGUCGCGCCUCCUCUUGGCCGGCCGGCCCCCCCUUUGAGCCUUUAUAUACGGAGGCAAGGGGCACCCCUAGAGACACAAGUUAAUCCACGUGAUCAUAUUCUUAGCCGUGUGCGGUGCCCCCUUCCACCAUAGUCCUCGAUAAUAUUGUAGCGGUGCUUAGGCGAAGCCGUGCGACGGUAGUAGAUCAAGAUCGUCACCACGCUGUCGUGCUGACGGAACUCUUCCCUGACACUUUGCUGGAUCGGAGUCCGGGGAUCGUCAUCGAACUGAACGUGUGCUAGAACUCGGAGGUGCCGUACUUUCGGUGCUUGAUCGGUCGGGCCGUGGAGACGUACGACUACAUCAACCAGCUUCCGUUGUCGAUCUACAAGGGUACGUAGAUCACACUCUCCCCCUCUUGUUGCUAUGCAUCACCAUGAUCUUGCGUGUGCGUAGGAUUUUUUUUGAAAUUACUACGAAACCCAAUAGUGGCAUCCGAGCCUAGGUUUUCUGUGUUGAUGUUAUAUGCACGAGUAGAACACAAGUGAGUUGUGGGCGAUAUAAGUCAUACUGCUUACCAGCAUGUCAUACUUUGGUUCGGCGGUAUUGUUGGACGAAGCGGCCCGGACCGACAUUAUGCGUACGCUUACGCGAGACCGGUUCUCCCGACGUGCUUUGCACAAAGGUGGCUAGCGGGUGACAGUUUCUCCAACUUUAGUUGAACCGAGUGUGGCUACGCCCGGUCCUUGCGAAGGUUAAAACAACACCAACUUGACAAACUAUCGUUGUGGUUUUGAUGCGUAGGUAAGAUUGGUUCUUGCUUAAGCCCGUAGCAGCCACGUAAAACUUGCAACAACAAAGUAGAGGACGUCUAACUUGUUUUUGCAGGGCAUGUUGUGAUGUGAUAUGGUCAAGACAUGAUGCUAAAUUUUAUUGUAUGAGAUGAUCAUGUUUUGUAACCUAGUUAUCGGCAACUGGCAGGAGCCAUAUGGUUGUCGCUUUAUUGUAUGCAAUGCAAUCGCGCUGUAAUGCUUUACUUUAUCACUAAGCGGUAGCGAUAGUCGUGGAAGCAUAAGAUUGGCGAGACGACAACGAUGCUGCGAUGGAGAUCAAGGUGUCGCGCUGGUGACAAUGGUGAUCACGAUGGUGCUUCGGAGAUGGAGAUCACAAGCACAAGAUGAUGAUGGCCAUAUCAUAUCACUUAUAUUGAUUGCAUGUGAUGUUUAUCUUUUAUGCAUCUUAUCUUGCUUUGAUUGACGGUAGCAUUAUAAGAUGAUCUCUCACUAAUUAUCAAGAAGUGUUCUCCCUGAGUAUGCACCGUUGCGAAAGUUCUUCGUGCUGAGAUACCACGUGAUGAUCGGGUGUGAUAGGCUCUACGUUCAAAUACAACGGGUGCAAAACAGUUGCACACGCGGAAUACUCAGGUUAUACUUGACGAGCCAAUCAUAUAUAGAUAUGGCCUCGGAACACGGAGACCGAAAGGUCGAGCGUGAAUCAUAUAGUAGAUAUGAUCAACAUAGUGAUGUUCACCAAUGAAACUACUCCAUCUCACGUGAUGAUCGGACAUGGUUUAGUUGACUUGGAUCACGUAAUCACUUAGACGAUUAGAGGGAUGUCUAUCUAAGUGGGAGUUCUUUAAGUAAUAUGAUUAAUUGAACCUAAAUUUAUCAUGAACUUAGUACCUGAUAGUAUCUUGCUUAUGUAUGUUUGAUUGUAGAUAGAUGGCCCGUGCUGUUGUUCCGUUGAAUUUUAAUGCAUUCCUUGAGAAAGCAAAGUUGAAAGAUGAUGGUAGCAAUUACACGGACUGGGUCCGUAACUUGAGGAUUAGCCUCAUUGCUGCACAGAAGAAUUACGUCCUGGAAGCACCGCUGGGUGCCAGGCCUGCUGCUGGAGCAACACCAGAUGUUAUGAACGUCUGGCAGAGCAAAGCUGAUGACUACUCGAUAGUUCAAUGUGCCAUGCUUUACGGCUUAGAACCGGGACUUCAACGACGUUUUGAACGUCAUGGGGCAUAUGAGAUGUUCCGGGAGUUGAAGUUAAUAUUUCAAGCAAAUGCCCGGAUUGAGAGAUAUGAAGUCUCCAAUAAGUUCUAUAGCUGCAAGAUGGAGGAGAACAGUUCUGUCAGUGAGCAUAUACUCAAGAUGUCUGGGUAUUGUAAUCACUUGAUUCAACUGGGAGUUAAUUUCCGGAUGAUAGCGUCAUUGACAGAAUUCUCCAAUCACUUCCACCAAGCUACAAGAGCUUUGUGAUGAACUAUAAUAUGCAAGGGAUGAAUAAGACUAUUCCCUAGCUCUUCGCAAUGCUGAAAGCUGCGAAGGUAGAAAUCAAGAAGGAGCAUCAAGUGUUGAUGGUCAACAAGACCACUAGUUUCAAGAAAAGGGGCAAAGGGAAGAAGAAGGGGAACUUCAAGAAGAACAGCAAGCAAGUUGCUACUCGAGAGAAGAAACCCAAUUCUGGACCUAAGCCUGAAACUGAGUGCUUCUACUACAAGCAGACUGGUCACUGGAAGCGGAACUGCCCCAAGUAUUUGGCGGAUAAGAAGGAUGGCAAGGUGAACAAAGGUAUAUGUGAUAUACAUGUUAUUGAUGUGUACCUUACUAAUGCUCGCAGUAGCACCUGGGUAUUUGAUACUGGUUCUGUUGCUAAUAUUUGCAACUCGAAACAGGGACUACGGAUUAAGCGAAGAUUGGCUAAGGACGAGGUGACGAUGCGCGUGGGAAACGGUUCCAAAGUCGAUGUGAUCGCUGUCGGCGCGCUACCUCUACAUCUACCUUCGGCAUUAAUAUUAGACCUAAAUAAUUGUUAUUUGGUGCCAGUGUUAAGCAUGACCAUUAUAUCUGGAUCUUGUUUGAUGCGAGACGGUUAUUCAUUUAAAUCAGAGAAUAAUGGUUGUUCUAUUUAUAUGAGUAAUAUCUUUUAUGGUCAUGCACCCUUGAAGAAUGGUCUAUUCUUAUUGAAUCUCGAUAGUAGUGACACACAUAUUCAUAAUGUUGAAGCCAAAAGAUGCAGAGUUGAUAAUGAUAGUGCAACUUAUUUGUGGCACUGCCGUUUAGGUCAUAUCGGUGUAAAGCACAUGAAGAAACUCCAUACUGAUGGACUUUUGGAACCACUUGAUUAUGAAUCACUUGGUACUUGCGAACCGUGCCUCAUGGGCAAGAUGACUAAAAAGCCGUUCUCCGGUACUAUGGAGAGAGCAACAGAUUUGUUGGAAAUCAUACAUACAGAUGUAUGUGGUCCAAUGAAUAUUGAGGCUCGUGGCGGAUAUUGUUAUUUUCUCACCUUCACAGAUGACUUAAGCAGAUAUGGGUAUAUCUACUUAAUGAAACAUAAGUCGGAAACGUUUGAAAAGUUCAAAGAAUUUCAGAGUGAAGUUGAAGAUCAUCGUAACAAGAAAAUAAAGUUUCUACGAUCUGAUCGUGGAGGCGAAUAUUUGAGUUAUGAGUUUGGUGUACAUUUGAAACAAUACGGAAUAGUUUCGCAACUCACGCCACCCGGAACACCGCAGCGUAAUGGUGUGUCGGAAUGUCGUAAUCGUACUUUACUAGAUAUGGUGCGAUCUAUGAUGUCUCUUACUGAUUUACCGCUAUCGUUUUGGGGUUAUGCUUUGGAGACGGCCGCAUUCAUGUUAAAUAGGGCACCAUCAAAAUCCGUUGAGACGACGCCUUAUGAACUAUGGUUUGGCAAGAAACCAAAGUUGUUGUUUCUGAAAGUUUGGGGCUGCGAUGCUUAUGUGAAAAAGCUUCAACCUGAUAAGCUCGAACCCAAAUCGGAGAAAUGUGUCUUCAUAGGAUAUCCAAAGGAGACUAUUGGAUACACCUUCUAUCACAGAUCCGAAGGCAAGACUUUUGUUGCUAAGUUUGGAAACUUUCUGGAGAAGGAGUUUCUCUCGAAAGAAGUGAGUGGGAGGAAAGUAGAACUUGAUGAGGUAACUGUACCUGCUCCCUUAUUGGAAAGUAGUGAAUCACAUAAAACUGUUUCUGUGACACCUACACCAAUUAGUGCAGAAGCUAAUGAUGAUGAUCAUGAAACUUCAGGACAAGAUACUACUAAACCUCGUAGAUCAACCAGAGUGAGAUCCGUGCCAGAGUGGUACGGUAAUCCUGUUCUGGAAGUCAUGCUACUAGAUCAUGAUGAACCUACGAACUAUGAAGAAGCGAUGGUGAGCCCAGAUUCCGCAAAAUGGCUUGAAGCUAUGAAAUCUGAGAUGGGAUCCAUGUAUGAGAACAAAGUGUGGACUUUGGUUGACUUGCCCAAUGAUCGGCAAGCAAUUGAGAAUAAAUGGAUCUUCAAGAAGAAGACUGACGCCGACGGUAAUAUUUCUGUCUACAAAGCUCGACUUCUCGCAAAAGGGUUUCAGCAAGUUCAAGGGAUUGACUAUGAUGAGACCUUCUCACCUGUAGCGAUGCUUAAGUCUGUCCGAAUCAUGUUAGCAAUUGCCGCAUUUUAUGAUUAUGAAAUUUGGCAGAUGGAUGUCAAAACUGCAUUCCUGAAUGGAUUUCUGGAAGAAGAGUUGUAUAUGAUGCAACCAGAAGGUUUUGUCGAUCCAAAGGGAGCUAACAAAGUGUGCAAGCUCCAGCGAUCCAUUUAUGGACUGGUGCAAGCCUCUCGGAGUUGGAAUAAACGCUUUGAUAGUGUGAUCAAAGCAUUUGGUUUUAUACAGACUUUCAGAGAAGCCUGUAUUUACAAGAAAGCGAGUGGGAGCUCUGUAGCAUUUCUGAUAUUAUAUGUGGAUGACAUAUUACUGAUUGGAAAUGAUAUAGAAUUUCUGGAUAGCAUAAAGGGAUACUUGAAUAAGAGUUUUUCAAUGAAAGACCUCAGUGAAGCUGCUUACAUAUUAGGCAUUAAGAUCUAUAGAGAUAGAUCAAGACACUUAAUUGGACUUUCACAAAGCACAUACCUUGACAAAGUUUUGAAGAAGUUCAAAAUGGAUCAAGCAAAGAAAGGGUUCUUGCCUGUGUUACAAGGUGUGAAGUUGAGUCAGACUCAAUGCCCGACCACUUCAGAAGAUAGAGAGAAAAUGAAAGAUGUUCCCUAUGCUUCAGCCAUAGGCUCUAUCAUGUAUGCAAUGCUGUGUACCAGACCUGAUGUGUGCCUUGCUAUAAGUCUAGCAGGGAGGUACCAAAGUAAUCUAGGAGUGGAUCACUGGACAGCGGUCAAGAACAUCCUGAAGUACCUUAAAAGGACUAAGGAUAUGUUUCUCGUAUAUGGAGGUGACAAAGAGCUCAUCGUAAACGGUUACGUUGAUGCAAGCUUUGACACUGAUCCGGACGAUUCUAAAUCGCAAACCGGAUACGUGUUUACAUUAAACGGUGGAGUUGUCAGUUGGUGCAGUUCUAAACAAAGCGUCGUGGCGGGAUCUACAUGUGAAGCGGAGUACAUAGCUGCUUCGGAAGCAGCAAACGAAGGAGUCUGGAUGAAGGAGUUCAUAUCCGAUCUAGGUGUCAUACCUAGUGCAUCGGGUCCAAUGAAAAUCUUUUGUGACAAAUACUGGUGCAAUUGCCUUGGCGAAGGAAUCCAGAUUUCACAAAAGAACCAAGCACAUCAAAAGACGCUUCAAUUCCAUCCGGGAUCUAGUCCAGGUGGGAGACAUAGAGAUUUGCAAGAUACAUACGGAUCUGAAUGUAGCAGACCCAUUGACUAAGCCUCUUCCACGAGCAAAACAUGAUCAGCACCAAGGCUCCAUGGGUGUUAGAAUCAUUACAGUAUAAUCUCGAUUAUUGACUCUAGUGCAAGUGGGAGACUGAAGGAAAUAUGCCCUAGAGGCAAUAAUAAAGUUAUUAUUUAUUUCCUUAUAUCAUGAUAAAAGUUUAUUAUUCAUGCUAGAAUUGUAUUAACCGGAAACAUAAUACAUGUGUGAAUACAUAGACAAACAGAGUGUCACUAGUAUGCCUCUACUUGACUAGCUCGUUAAUCAAAGAUGGUUAUGUUUCCUAACCAUGGACAAAGAGUUGUCAUUUGAUUAACGGGAUCACAUCAUUAGUUGAAUGAUCUGAUUGACAUGACCCAUUCCAUUAGCUUAGCACCCGAUCGUUUAGUAUGUUGCGAUUGCUUUCUUCAUGACUUAUACAUGUUCCUAUGACUAUGAGAUUAUGCAACUCCCGUUUGCCAGAGGAACACUUUGUGUGCUACCAAACAUCAGAACGUAACUGGGUGAUUAUAAAGGAGCUCUACAGGUGUCUCCAAAGGUACAUGUUGGGUUGGCGUAUUUCGAGAUUAGGAUUUGUCACUCCGAUUGUCGGAGAGGUAUCUCUGGGACCUCUCGGUAAUGCACAUCACUGAAGCCUUGCAAGCAUUGCAACUAAUGAGUUAGUUGCGGGAUGAUGUAUUACGGAACGAGUAAAGAGACUUGCCGGUAACGAUAUUGAACUAGGUAUGGGAUAUCGACGAUCGAAUCUUGGGCAAGUAACAUACCGAUGACAAAGGGAACAACAUAUGUUGUUAUGCGGUCUGACCGAUAAAAGAUCUUCGUAGAAUAUGUAGGAGCCAAUAUGAGCAUCCAGGUUCCGCUAUUGGUUACUGACCGAAGACGUGUCUCGGUCAUGUCUACAUUGUUCUCGAACCCGUAGGGUCCGCGCGCUUAAGGUUACGAUGACAGUUAUAUUAUGAGUUUAUACAUUUUGAUGUACCAAAGUUUGUUCGGAGUCCUGGAUGUGAUCACGGACAUGACGAGGAGUCUCGAAAUGGUCGAGACAUAAAGAUUGAUAUAUUGGAAGCCUAUGUUUGGAUAUCAGGAGUGUUCCGGGUGAAAUCGGGAUUUUAUCGGAGUACCGGGAGGUUACCGGAACCCCCCGGGAGGUAUAUGGGCCUUAGUGGGCCUUAGUGGAAGAGAGGAGAGGUGGCCAUAGAUGGGCCACACGCCCCUCCCCCCCUUGGUCCGAAUAGGACAAGGAGAGGGGGCCGGCCCCCCUUCCUCCUCUCUCUCCUCUUUUCCCCCCUCCGCGAAUCCUAUUCCAACUAGGAAAGGGGGGGAGUCCUACUCCCGGAGGGAGUAGGACUCCUCCUGGCGCGCCUCCUCUUGGCCGGCCGGCCCCCCUUUAAGCCUUUAUAUACGGAGGCAAGGGGCACCCCUAGAGACACAAGUUGAUCCACGUGAUCAUAUUCUUAGCCGUGUGCGGUGCCCCCUUCCACCAUAGUCCUCGAUAAUAUUGUAGCGGUGCUUAGGCGAAGCCCUGCGACGGUAGUACAUCAAGAUCGUCACCACGCCGUCGUGCUGAUAGAACUCUUCCCCGUCACUUUGCUGGAUCGAAGUCUGGGGAUCGUCAUCGAACUGAAGUGUGCUAGAACUCGGAGGUGCCGUAGUUUCGGUGCUUGAUCGGUCGGGCCGUGGAGACGUACGACUACAUCAACCAGCUUCCGUUGUCGAUCUAGAAGGGUACGUAGAUCACACUCUCCCCCUCUCGUUGCUAUGCAUCACCAUGAUCUUGCGUGUGCGUAGGAAUUUUUUUGAAAUUACUACGAAACCCAACACUAGGCUCGUCAACACCCGUUGUAUUCGAACGUUAGAAUCUAUCACACCCGAUCAUGACGUGGUGCUUCGAAACAACGAACCUUCGCAACAGUGCACAGUUAGGGGGAACACUUUUCUUGAAAUUUUAGUGAGGGAUCAUCUUAUUCAAGCUACCGUCGUUCUAAGCAAAUAAGAUGUAAAACAUGAUAAACAUCACAUGCAAUCAAAUAGUGACAUGGUAUGGCCAAUAUCGUUUUGCUCCUUAUGAUCUCCAUCUUUGGGGCUCUAUGAUCAUCGUUGUCACCAGCAUGACACCAUGAUCUCCAUCAUCAUGAUCUCCAUUAUCGUGUCUUCUUGAAGUUGUCUCGUCAUCUAUUACUUCUACUACUAUGGCUAACGCUUUAGCAAUAAAGUAAAGUAAUUACAUGACGUUUAUGUUGACACACAGGUCAUAAAUAAAUUAAGACAACUCCUAUGGCUCCUACCGGUUGUCAUACUCAUCGACAUGCAAGUCGUGAUUCCUAUUACAAGAACAUGAUCAAUCUCAUACAUCACAUAUAUCAUUCAUCACAUCCUUUUGGCCAUAUCACAUCACACGGCACAUGCUGCAAAAACAAGUUAGACGUCCUCUAAUUGUUGUUGCAAGUUUUUACGUGGCUGCUAUAGGUUUCUAGCAAGAACGUUUCUUACCUACGCCAAAACCACAACGUGAUAUGCCAAUUUCUAUUUACCCUUCAUAAGGACCCUUUUCAUCGAAUCCGAUCCGACUAAAGUGGGAGAGACAGACACCCGCUAGCCACCUUAUGCAACUAGUGCAUGUCAGUCGGUGGAACCAGUCUCACGUAAGCGUACGUGUAAGGUCGGUCCGGGCCGCUUCAUCCCACGAUGCCGCCGAAUCAAGAUAAGACUAGUAACGACAAGCAAAUUGACAAUAUCCACGCCCACAACUGCUUUGUGUUCUACUCGUGCAUAGAAACUACGCAUAGACCUAGCUCAUGAUGCCACUGUUGGGGAUCGUAGCAGAAAAUUAAAAAUUUCUAUGCAUCACCAAGAUCAAUCUAUGGAGUAAUCUAGCAACAAUGGGAAGGGGAGUGCAUCUACAUACCCUUGUAGAUCGAUAAGCGGAAGCGUUCAAGUGAACGGGGUUGAUGAAGUCGUACUCGUCGUGAUCCAAAUCACCGAUGAUCCUAGUGCCGAACGGACGGCACCUCCGCAUUCAACACACGUACGGAACGGAGACAUCUCCCACGCCUUGAUCCAGCAAGGAGGAGGGAGAGGUUGAGGAAGAGAGUCCAACAGCAGCACAACGGCAUGGUGGUGAUGGAGUGGCAGUUCUCCGACAGGGCUUCGCCAAGCUCACGCGGAGGAGGAGAGGUAUUGGAGGGGAGGGGCUGCGCCAGGUUCAAGGGUGUGGCCGCCCUCCCACCCCUCCACUAUUUAUAGGUGGCGAGAGAGGGGGCCGGCCCCCUUAGAUCCCAUCUAGGGUUGGGGGUGGUGGCCAAGGGGGGGAGGAAUGCCUCCCAAGUCAAGUGGAGGCCCUCCCCCUUAGGGUUUCCCCUCUCCCAUGCGCAUGGGCCUUGGGGGGGCUGGUGCCCUUGGCCCAUUAAGGUUAGGGCGCCCCCUUACAGCCCAUGCUGCUGUAUUGGACGUGGUGGAACAUUUUCCAGACCUCCGGAAUCCUCCGGAACCUUCCGUAAGCUUCCCGGUACAAUACCGGAAAAAACCGAACUUUUCCCGGAACCCGAACAACAACUUUCCAUAUACAAAUCUUUACCUCCGGACCAUUCCGGAACUCCUCGUGACGUCCGGGAUCUCAUCCGGGACUCCGAACAACAUUCGGUAAUUACAUACAAGUCUUCCUAAUAACCCUAGCGUCAUCGAACCUUAAGUGUGUAGACCCUACGGGUUCGAGAACCAUGCAGACAUGACCGAGACAACUCUCCGGCCAAUAACCAACAGCGGGAUCUGGAUACCCAUGUUGGCUCCCACAUGUUCCACGAUGAUCUCAUCAGAUGAACCACGAUGUCGAGGAUUCAAUCAAUCCCGUAUUCAAUUCCCUUUGUCCAGCGGUAUUGUACUUGCCCGAGAUUCGAUCGUCGGUAUCCCGAUACCUUGUUCAAUCUCGUUACCCGCAAGUCUCUUUACUCGUUCCGUAACACAUCAUCCCGUGAUAAACUCCUUGGUCACAUUGUGCACAUUAUGAUGAUGUCCUACCGAGUGGGCCCAGAGAUACCUCUCCGUUACAUAGAGUGACAAAUCCCAGUCUCGAUUCGUGCCAACCCAACAGACACUUUCGGAGAUACCUGUAGUGAACCUUUAUAGCCACCCAGUUACGUUGUGACGUUUGGCACACCCAAAGCACUCCUACGGUAUCCGGGAGAUGCACAAUCUCAUGGUCUAAGGAAAUGAUACUUGACAUUAGAAAAGCUUUAGCAAACGAACUACACGAUCUUGUGCUAGGCUUAGGAUUGGGUCUUGUCCAUCACAUCAUUCUCCUAAUGAUGUGAUCCCUUUAUCAACGACAUCCAAUGUCCAUGGUCAGGAAACUGUAACCAUCUAUUGAUCAAUGAGCUAGUCAACUAGAGGCUUACUAGGGACAUGGUGUUGUCUAUGUAUCCACACAUGUAUUUGAGUUUCCUAUCAAUACAAUUCUAGCAUGGAUAAUAAACGAUUAUCAUGAACAAGGAAAUAUAAUAAUAACCAAUUUAUUAUUGCCUCUAGGGCAUAUUUCCAACACGCAGGGGUGGGACUGAACUCAAUAGGAAUAGCACCAGGAGCUAAGGGAAGAGCACUGAACUCAUGGAAGUUGACCGCCAUCUACGCAUGAAGCAGUGGUUAAUGGUAACCGCAAUAAGACUAUAUGUAGCAAACAAAUGCAACAAUCAAUGCAGCAAGCAAGGGCAACAACCAGACCCUAUGCUACCGUUUUCUAAUGUUCCAGCGGACUAGGAUACUUUACAACCAGACCUGCUCUGAUACCAAGCAUUGUGGCACCCCGGCUCAGAGAAAACCGGAACGCCCCGUAUUCCAGCCCAGAGAUCAAGGUGAAGUCUUCUAGAAUACGACACUGCUUAGAAUAGAACAAACCAGCUCUCUAUUACAACACAAAUAUGAAUACACGGGUUCCGAUAUUACAAUGAAUAACAUCAGCACGGUGACACUACGCCAACCACGGUUGCUCUAUACAAGCAGCAUAGCAACUCGAAGCAGCGGAACAACUACUGGCAGCGGAACAACGAACGGCGAUGAUGGACUCCAAUCCGUAGGGACUCUGGCUAGAAUGUUUAUCCUAGCUCGCGAACACAGGAACAACACCAAACAAGCAAGCAAUCUAGGCACGACCUGCAAGCUGGCAUGACACGCCAGGUCAGUACAUUGAAUGUACUUGCAAGCUCACCAUAACCAGAAGCAUUCAAGACAAACAACAGCACGGAAAUUACAGGUUAAGCAGGAAUUAUCAUGUGAUCAUCAAAAUAACAUGGCAUGAACAACAUGAACAUAAUACUGCUAGAACAAUAUGAUCAUGGCAAGAACAUAUAAAUCUAAUGAUACUAGCAUGCAACAUGAUGACACUACAUGCACCAUUUAUGCUGCUCGGGUUACCUCGCAACCAGCACAUGCAUCACUUACCAACCUCGGACAUCACACGAUCAUCUCAGGAUCAAAUCAAGCUUGGUAUAAACAAUGCCAUAGUAAUCAGUAAAUGACCACAAGGAGCUUGAUCUUUUCCCAUGAUUCUCGCACAACAUCACGAAUAUCCAACAACUCGGUAUCCUCGAUACCACGGUGAUCAUUCCGGCGAUCACAACCAUGACCAACACUUGGUAUCAAACCGUGAUCCUUCCAGCGAUCACAACCAACUUAUCUCAAAUAGUGGUCCUUCCGGCGAUCACAACCAACUUAUUUCCUCAUCGAACCAGGGUUGUUAUUAUGCACAUUAUUAUUAAGGCCGUUGACUCAUGGUGGGACCAACACGAACUUGGCCCUUAUCCGCGGGCGCGGCUAUCAAUAGAUUUAAUAUACACUCUGCAGAGGUAGUAAACUGUACCCACACUACGGAACCCAUGAUCUCGCACUCCCAUACGUGCGGACAUGGCGUUCCGACAGAACCGAUCUACUGCCAUGACACUCUCCCGGCCACUCCGACCAACUCCCCUUUGGGCUAGGUCCUGGGUGGACCCGUGCCUACUAACGACACCAACGGCCACCGUCGUGGCGAAACGGUCCCAAACGGGGACGAGGAUCCAUACUCAACAACAACGGGCACACAAGGUUAUGUCCGCCUACCUGAUCAGGGUAGCGCGCGCCUAUAACCUUCCCUCGUUGGAGGCACCAGCGAGAGGCACGACAAUAGACCCAGUUACGACCUUCCCAUAAAGGUAAGCGUGGUUGCACUGGUCAGUUUCGAUAUGGUGGCACCAUGACUCAGCCAAUAGUUGUUCAAGUUCAAUUUAAUCCGGUUAAACUUGAAUGCAAUAUGCCGAGCCAUGAUAAAAUAACAUGAUGCAAUUACAAUGCAUGAGCAUGAUAUCAACAUAAUCAUGAGAGAACCACAUAACUAUCCACCAUAUCAACAACGAAUUAUAUCCAACUAAACAUGGCAUACUGACUAGCAUGAACCUCAUAAGUACAUACUACUCAUUGAAACCUAGCAUGAACACUAGCAUCAACAAUAAAUAUCAUGCAAGACAUAUCAAUAAAGCUACCAUGCAAUCAUUUAACCAACUGGAUGCAACGGAACAUGCCUAACAACGGUACUCGGGAUAGACGACAGUCAUGCACCGAAGACCAUCACCACUAUCAACAUAUACUACUAGCAAGCAUAAGCAUAAAGAAUACUAGCAACUAGCAGGGCAUGACAACCAAGUGCAUAACAACAUAGAAAGUAAGUAGGCAUGAACCCAUAAGCGUUACCGAAACAACUAUAACCAUAUUUUAAGCAAACAAACAUUUAAUAAAUAUUCAAGUUAAAAACCAUGGCUACUACAUGACUAUCAUGCAAGUGGGUAUUGUGGCUUUCCUGGGGAUGAAGAAGGCAUCGAGAAGAAGUGCGGUGAAACCGUGAAACGAAACGUCGGACGAUACGUUCUCGGAGGGGGCUGAAUAGAGGCAAGGGAAAAAUGGUCAUUUUCACUGUGAGAACACCUAGUGAAAAUGUUAGCGAAAGAUAGAGCUCGACGAGACGAAGAAGCGAGCGUUGGUUUCACCUCAAUCGGAGUUACGGUUGAAAAGUUGUAAAGGUCGGAAGAACAUGGACUAAUAUGUGAAGAAUUUAUCACAAACAGGUCCCUGACGAGGAAAAACAGAACACGCCUUCGCCCAAAUUACGUUUUCUGUGAAGGGAAACGUAUUUUCAGCCGCAAUAGAUAGAGAAUACGCUUUUCCAAAACGGAAACGUAUUUCCAGAAAAACGUCUCCACUUAUCCACGUGUACUAGGGGGAGGGGAGGCUUACUGGUGGGGUCCAUGCGUAGGGGGAGGGGCCAGGCGAUCGUCGUCUUCCUCCUCUUGCCGCGCCCCGACUAAAACAGAGGAGGCAGGGGCUGGCCCGCGAUGCCGGUGAUGACCUGGUCAGCUCAGGCCACCUCAGGCGAAGGCGGGAGCACCGGUGGCUUCAGGGCAGAGUGUCGCACCCAUCCCGGGGGAAAGGAAGCGCCGGAGAUGAGCGGGAGAGACGGUGCCAUGAGGGGAACAGAGAGGCGCUGGCGGUGAUGGUGGAGAUGAGCGCGAGGCCCUGGUGGCUCUGGCGACAAACGGAGGAGGUGGGGAGGAUUGUGGAUGAGUUGGGAGUGUGAUGGCGGCGUCGGGAGAGAUGGAGGAACUCCGGAUGGGGGGGGGCGACGAGGCGACCGAGAGGCACGGGCGGCGGCCGGACGAGGAGCACGCGACCAGAGGGUUUUCCGACGAAGGGCGAUGUGGUGGGGUGAACAGCGGUGAUGAGGAGGCUCUGGUGGACAGCUCGGGAGGAGAGGAGAGGGGCUGUGGUGGUCGGAACCGAGACCAACUCCGGCGAGGUCACGGGGAUCCGUGGAAGAAACGACGAUGGAGAGCUGCUCGGGUGGGCAAAAGAGGCAGGAGAGGAGUGAGUGAGGACCGGGGGACCUCGGGCAUGCCUUAUAUAGCCCGGGGAGGCUUCUCGAGCUCAUAGCCGAGCUAGAGCAGUGCACUAAUGAAGGUCAGAUGAGGGGCAUGGAACGGGCACUGCUCUAGCGGCACAUUUAUGGCGAACCACUACGAGGCACUGAUGCAGGGCGACGCAGUCGAUCACGGGGAAGCUCCAAGACAUGAAUUGAGGUCGAGACGAGGAGGGAGGAGACGAGGAUAGUGGCCGGAACAAGCCAGAGCAUGCCUGCAGCCAUGAUGCUAGCGCACGCGCACUGGCGCAAGCGGCGCUCUUUGGCGUGGCCAACCAUGUCCAGUAGAUGGACCUUGGGGCCCUCAGUCAAAAUGAGGAAAUAAAUUGGUCCAGGGGCAAACAAGAGAUUUGCACUUACCUCCAAAAGUAAAUCAGUAAGAAGGUGUUUGUAACUUGUUGUGGUUAAACCAGCUGGGUAACAAGGUAAAGAGUUUGUCUAGCGAUGAUCACACACUAAGGUGAUGCUGAUCAACAAAAAUCAGACUAAGAGGAGGAUUUUAGAUGGUGGUUGCAGUAGAAAGUGCAAUACUGGCCUGAAUUGGGGAUUUAGGUGAUACACUCACAUACUUGAUCUCUGUGAGCUGCAAUUUGUCAGAGAGGGGUUAUAUGAUGAUAUGAAGCUACUGUAAAAAAUUCAUGCCAUUUGGAAAUACCAAAGUGGCACUUGCUUCACAAAGCUUCAUUCUGGACAGAAACUUGGAAAAAUUACACAGGGUAAUUGGAUUAACCAAUUUAGGUAAUAAUAGGGGGGGGGAGUAGUUUAUAUAGGUAUAAGCAUGUCCUAGUAAAUUUUCAGCUCAAUUGAAGCAAUAUAAAAUAUAGUUGCUUCACAAACUGAAAAUCUGACCAGAAACUAAGAUUUGGAGCUGGGCUCACAUAGAUGAGUUACAUGAGCUCAUAUUUGGUGGAUAGUCAUUAUUUGACCAUAUGCAAGACCCUGAAAAAUUUCAACUCAUUUGGAUAUUCCUAGAAUAUAGCUCCUUCACAAAGUUCCUUCCUGGACAGAAACUUUGGAAAAUUGCUGAAAAAUAUUUACUAGGCAAAUUGAGUUGAAUUUUUGGCAUGAGCCAAUGAUAUGGACAGGAAAAAGUGUCCAAGAAGUUUGGGGUCAAAUGGGAAAAGAUAAAUAGCACUUCCUUUGCAAAGUGCCAUUCAGGACAAAAUAGGAAAAGAAUUAUUGGAGGAUUAUUUUUGAACAUGGAAAUGAAAUAUUUUGCCAUAUUUGCGGAAGAUAUGACCCAAACAAUUUGUGAGAAUUAUUUGGGAAUUUCAGGAGUGACGGAAAUAUAGGUUGCUUCGCAACCUAGGGUUUUAAGGGUUAUUCCUUUAUCAGAAAAGUAAUAUUACCAACAAAAGAAUUUUGGGUUAGGUCAAGGAUGGAAAUGAGAUGAUCUUGAGAUGAUGAUGAGGGUGAAAAGCUACUAGAAAACCUAGGAAGACAUGAUCUUCCCAAGUUUCAGACCCUCAUAGCCAUGGAAAAGCAAAUCAAAACAGGAAAUCCCAAAAAAUCAAAGUAAAAAAGAAAAGGGCAAAAAUACAGGCUGUUACAGCUUUGACACUGAUCCGAACGAUUCUAAAUCGCAAACCGGAUACGUGUUUGUAUUGAACAGUGGAGCUGUCAGUUGGAGCAGUUCUAAACAGAGCAUCAUGGCGGGAUCUACAUGUGAAGCGGAGUACAUUGCUGCUUCGGAAGCAACAAAUGAAGUAGUCUGGAUGAAGGAGUUCCUAUCCGAUCUAGGUGUCAUGCCUAGUGCAUCGGGUUCAAUGAAAAUCUUUUGUGACAAUACUGGUGCAAUUGUCUUGGCAAAGGAAUCCAGAUUUCACAAGAGAACCAAGCACAUCAAGAGACGCUUCAACUCCAUCCGGGAUCAAGUCCAGGUGGGAGACAUAGAGAUUUGCAAAAUACAUACGGAUCUGAAUGUCGCAGACCCGUUGACUAAGCCUCUUCCACGAGCAAAACAUGAUCAACAUCAAGGCUCCAUGGGUGUUAGAAUCAUUACUGUGUAAUCUAGAUUAUUGACUCUAGUGCAAGUGGGAGACUGAAGGAAAUAUGCCCUAGAGGCAAUAAUAAAGUUAUUAUUUAUUUCCUUAUAUCAUGAUAAAUGUUUAUUAUUCAUGCUAGAAUUGUAUUAACCGGAAACAUGAUACAUGUGUGAAUACAUAGACAAACAGAGUGUCACUAGUAUGCCUCUACUUGACUAGCUUGUUUAUAAAAGAUGGUUAUGUUUCCUAGCCAUAGACAUGAGUUGUCAUUUGAUUAAUGGGAUCACAUCAUUAGGAUAAUGAUGUGAUUGACUUGACCCAUUCCGUUAGCUUAGCACUUGAUCGUUUAGUUUGUUGCUAUUGCCUUCUUCAUGACUUAUACAUGUUCCUAUGACUAUGAGAUUAUGCAACUCCCGUUUACCGAAGGAACAUUUUGUGUGCUACCAAACGUCACAACGUAAGUGGGUGAUUAUAAAGGUGCUCUAUAGGUGUCCCUGAAGGUACUUGUUGAGUUGGCGUAUUGCGAGAUUAGGAUUUGUCACUCCGAUUGUCGGAGAGGUAUCUCUGAGCCCACUUGGUAAUGCACAUCACUAUAAGCCUUGCAAGCAUUGUAACUAAAGAGUUAGUUGCGGGAUGAUGCAUUACGGAACGAGGAGAGAGACUUGCCGGUAACGAGAUUGAACUAGGCAUUGAGAUAUCGACGAUCGAAUCUCGGGCAAGUAACAUACCGAUGACAAGGGAACAACGUAUGUUGUUAUGCGGUUUGACCGAUAAAGAUCUUUGUAGAAUAUGUAGGAACCAAUAUGAGCAUCUAGGUUCCGCUAUUGGUUAUUGACCGGAGACAUGUCUCGGUCAUGUCUACAUAGUUCUCGAACCUAUAGGGUCCGCACGCUUAAAGUUCGGUAACGAUCGGUAUUAUGAGUUUUUGUGUUUUGAUGUACCGAAGGUAGUUCGGAGUCCCGGAUAUGAUUAUGAUCACAAACAUGACGAGGAGUCUCUAAAUGGUCGAUACGUAAAGAUCGAUAUAUUGGACGACUAUAUUUGGAUACUGGAAUGGUUCCGGGUGAGAUCGGGGAUAUACCGGAGCACCGGGAGGUUUUCGGAACCCCCCGGGAGGUAUAUGGGCCUUAUUGGGCUUUAGUGGAACGGAGGGGAAAGGAGCAAGGGAGGUGGCGCCCCCCAAGCCCAAUCCAAAUUGGGAAGGGGGCCGGGCCCCCCUUUCCUUCCUCCCUCUUUCCUCUUCCUUCCCUCUCCUACUCCAAGUUGGAAAGGGGGGAAUCCUACUCCCAGUGGGAGUAGGACUCCCCUUGGCGCGCCUCUCCCUGGCCGGCCGCCUCCCCCCCUUGCUCCUUAAUAUACGGGGGCAGGGGGCACCCCAUAGACACACAAUUGAUCAUUGUUCCCUUAGCCGUGUGCGGUGCCCCCCUCCACCAUAAUCCACCUCGAUCAUAUCGUAGCGGUGCUUAGGCGAAGCCCUACGUCGGUAGCAUCAUCAUCACCAUCACCAUGCCGUCGUGCUGACGAAACUCUCCUGUGAAGCUUUGCUGGAUCGGAGCUUGCGGGACGUCAUCGAUUUGAACGUGUGCAGAACUCGGAGGUGCCGUGCGUUUGGUACUUGGAUCGGUCGGAUCGUGAAGACGUACGACUACAUCAACCGCGUUGUGCUAACGCUUCCGCUUUCGGUCUACGAGGGUACGUGGACACACUCUCCCCUCUUGUUGCUAUGCAUGACCAUGAUCCUGCGUGUGCGUAGGAUUUUUUUGAAAUUACUACAUUCCCCAACACGGAUUAAAUGUGUUGGCGGGUUGGAGUUAGCCUUACACAACUAGAGAAGCAAGCUCAGGCCCGUCAUUUCUCUUCUCACUAGUAGAAAAACGGCCAUCUGUCCCGGUUAGGGAACUGGGACUAAAGGAUUGUUACUAAAGCCCUAAACCUUUAGUCCCGGUUCUUACACCAACCGGGACAGAUGGGCCUCCACGUGCCCACUGCGGCUUGCCCUGACAGGGGGGCCUUUUGUCCCGGUUGGUAGCACCAACCGGGACCAAUAAGCUACCACGCGUCAGCAUUUCAGGGGCUAGGGUUUUUGUUUUUUUCUGAAGGGGGGGGGGGUUGGGGGUUUUUGUAUGGUUAAUUUUGGGUGUUUCAUAUAUUGUGUUAGGUAGCUAAUUAAUUAAUAGAGAGAAGUGUCCUCUCUUAUCGCCGUGCUUGGUCGACGCUAGCUAGUAAGCAAAUGAAGGAAACAAUUAAGUACAGAAGUUUGUCAUGAACAUAUUCAUACAGAGAGAAGUGCUAUCGACCUCUCCUUCUCUGAGAGAUUGGUCGAACAACAAGUUUUGGUAUAUCUAUCCGGCGCUACUGGCUACAUAUAUACAAUAUUAAGAUCUCUUACAAUAUAAUCCCCUAAUUAUAUAUGAACUCAGCUUCCAGAUGGUAUUCUCCAGCUUUAUUGAUGACGUGAUCAAGAAAGAACCCCGCCAAUUCCUCUUGAAUUGCUUUCAUGCGAUCUUGUGGUAGGAGUUCAUCCCGCAUCUGCCACAUCUAAUUUGAAGAAGGGGGUCAAUACAUAUAUAUGAAUGGAACUUAACACAAAUGAUGGUAAUAAAAUGAAAUUGUGAAUAUUAUUGCUUACGCACAUCAAAUUGUCUUUUAGAGUAGCCCCGGUUUUUUUGCAAGUCGUGUUGUAGAUGAACUCGCAAACGUAGUAUCCAUAGUAAUCAUUCCCUUGUUCCUGCCACAAGCACUUUACGAGAAAAAGAGGUCAAUCAAACUGAUAAUGAAGCAUUAUAAGUGGCAUUGAUGAAAGUAGCUAGAAUCAACGGGAUUGAGAUGCCACUACAAAAAAUACACUUCUGUGAUGAUACGUGUUUGUCACAGCAGGUCACGUUUUUUGUCAUGCAUGUACAUCCAUGACAAAUUUAUGACAGAAUCAAGAUAGUCAUACCUGUGCUGUCGUAGAAGUGUUCCAUGACAUUACCAAAAUUAUCAUCAUGGAAGUGUCCACUUCCAUGACGAUAAAUCGCGCGUCACAGAAGUGCUUUCGUCAAGGGUGACUGACACGUGGCAUCCACCGUAACGGAACACCAUUAAGUUAUCGGGUCGGGUUUUGGAUCCGAUAACCCGUUAACAGCCCCGGCCAAUGGGAAAUUUCCACGUGUAAAAUUCUUAUUGGCCGGACGAAACACGUGUCAGCUCGUCAGUGGGUCAGAUAGGCGCCUAUGAUACGUCGACAUGUGGCACGGCCCAACAGAGGCACAUUCCUAUGAAAAGGCCGGCCCGUUUGACUUGGUCAAAAGGUGGCGGGUCGGCCCAUGGAAAGCCUGUUAACGGCCUAUUCGCAUAUAGCCCAUUUACAGCUCGCUAACCCAAGGCCUCUUAUGCCCUAUCCGAAUUAGGCCCAGUAGAGUCAUCUGGGCCAUCCAAUAUGAUUCCAGCCCAUUUUCACUUCUGGCCCAUGUAUGGCCCAUGACGUCUUUCGGCCCAUAUGAGGCCCUAUGUAACUCUUGGCCUAUUAACGGCCCAUGGUGAAACUGGCCCGUAAUGAACAGUGUAUCACUUUACACCCAUUAACGGCCCGUGGUGAAACUGGCCUGUAAUGAACAGUGUAUCACUUUAUACCCAUUAACGGCCCGUUAUUCCGUUGGGCCGUUUCCAGCCCAUGUUAUCUUUCAGCCUUCUCAGAGCCCAUUUAUUCUUGGGCUCAUUUCUAGCAUUCGUUUACUUACGGCCCGUUACUGUCAUUUUCUGCUUGUGGGCCAAAUUCAGCCCGUGGUUACAGUCGGCCCGUUUGUGGUCCGUUAAUACGUUGGGCCGUUUUCAUAGUGUCAUCAAAUAUGGCCUAUUAACGAUGGCCCGUUAUGGUCGGCCCAUGAAUGGACGAUUUCAACUCUAGCCCGUUUACGGCCAUAAUGCGGACUGUUAUUGGCCCAUGUUUGGCCAAUCGAUCAUACGGCCCGUAUAAGGCCCAUUGAUGAUACGGCCCGUGGAAGGCCCAUUGUUUCUACGGCCCGUAGAAGGCCUACUGUUUCUACGGCCCGUAGAAGGCCCACUGUUUCUACGACCCGUAGGAGGCCCAGUGUCACUAAAGUAAAUAUUAGCCCAUGGUUAUUGUGGCCUAGUUUUAAAAAAUAGGUUAUUGCAGCCACUAGUUAACCGCGGGAAAAGAACUGCAAUGACUACAAGCAAACAAAUAAACAAGAAAACAAGGAAAUAAAUAAGCAAGCAACUAACACUAGGCUAUCACGGCUAUUACACAUAUUACAUCCACUGGGCAUCAAAUUUCGCCACCAGUGCAAAUAUAGGGAACAAAGCAGCAUAUCAUAUACACUGGUUGUCAAAAUUGGCCACCAGUGCAAAUAAACGCGGCAGCAAAACAAGAGCAUAACUGAAACAACUUCAGAAGAGCUCAAGAAAUGUUAUCCUGGGUAUCCACCAUGCUGGCAAUAAGCUUAGCAAGCUGAUUAGCUUUGUCCUGUUUGGCGCUAAAAUCCUCCAACGCUUGCUGUUGCACUAGAAAGUAUGCAUCUGAAUGCUCCAGGGACUUACGCAGUCCUUCCGCUUCUUGUCUCAGCACAGCUGAUCGAUGUCUUUCAACUUGUAGUUGAGACUCAAGAAACCGAACUGAUUCAGACAGUGAGUUUGAAUAGCUUGUGCAAGCGGUAGUGGCCAGUAACUCCAACACUAAACCAAGACAGGAUGUGUCACUAUCCUGAACCUUAUCUGCAUUACUUCCUUUACCGUUGCUUAAUAAGGCACUCUUCCCCAAUAUUCUGUCAGCAUUCUAAAAGAAGAAACAAGCAGACACAUAACAAGUUUAGCAUGUACUAGUAUAUGGAACUCAUUUCGGUGAACCAGUUCAUUAGUAAGGUGGAUAGGAUUAAACUACCAAGUCAUCUAUUGCCAAGUACUAGUACAUAAUAAAAGCAUCAAACAAACAUAUAUCUAUGUCCUAUGGUAGCAAUGGAAUCUUAAAUUAGAAUAGUUGUUCUUCAGGUUUAGGCACUUGUUCUACAUGAAUAGAGUACAGUAAGACGCAAGAAUAUAAUACUUAAAAAUAGAAAAUGAGCUCAUAGACCUUACCACAUUCUUGGUUCGGGACCAGUACAGAACAAGGCGUUCCCAGUCAUCGUCCAGUAAAUGUGUCUCAGGAGAACGUAAGGGAAUUUGAUGAGUUUCUUUGCCGGUGAAGUACGUUUUCUUCAGGUAAUUCCGAUACUGCCACCAAGCAUUCUUGGAGAUAGCAGAGGUAUUAGCAUCGGUUACCUCAGCCUGAGUUUCCAAAUCGGUCCUUCUCUAUAGAGAAAAAUGGGAAAAUUUGCUGUAUUAUAACCAUCAUGGAGGUAGGAUGUAUGGGACGAAGCAAAGUAAUUGCCACGAAUAACAUUACUUACACAUAACUCCUGGACAAACAUCUGCAACUGGCAUUUUCCUUCAUCUUCAGUAUAAUAUUUCCAAGAUGGGAAGAUACGCACAUACGAUUUAACAACAAAAAAUGUGAUAGAUUGUAAACUACGACUAGCUGGUUGUGCUUCCUCCACAGGAAUAGGCGUACUAACUGGUGGAGUUGGGGUUCGCCGUGAUAGUACUGGCCCUUUGGGCACUGGAGCUGCCUUACUAACUGCUCUUGUUUGGGAGCUCUGUGGUGGAGAUGGUGCUGUGUCAACAGGAACUGGGUUACUUUCGGCUGGGGAUGGGGUUAGAUUGGGUGAAGCUGGUUCUCUGUCCAUCGUAGUAGGGGUACAAUUUGCGAGAGUUUGAGUUAUGUGUGGUAGGGCUGGUGUAGGAUCAAAAGUAUGUCUAGAGGGGGUGAUUAGGCUACUUGACCAAAUAAAAAUCUAGCCUUUUCUCAAUUUUAGUUCUUGGCAGAUUUUAGCUAUCUUAGCACAAGUCAAGCAAUCUCCACACAAUUCAAGCAAGCAUGCAAAAGAGUAUAUGAGCAGCGGAAAGUAAAGCAUGCAACUUGCAAGAAUGUAAAGGGAAGGGUUUGGAGGAUUCAAACGCAAUUGGAGAGACAGAUGUUUUUGUUGUGGUUCCAAUAGGUGGUGCUAUCGUACAUCCACGUUGAUGGAGACUUCAACCCACGGAGGGUAACGGUUGCGCGAGUCCACGGAGGGCUCCACCCACGAAGGGUCCACGAAGAAGCAACCUUGUCUAUUCCAUCACGGCCGUCGCCCACGAAGGACUUGCCUCACUAGCGGUAGAUCUUCACGAAGUAGGCAAUCUCCUUGCCCUUACAAACUCCUUGGUUCAACUCCACAAUCUUGUCGGAGGCUCCCAAGUGACACCUAGCCAAUCUAGGAGACACCACUCUCCAAGAAGUAACAAAUGGUGUGUUGAUGAUGAACUCCUUGCUCUUGUGCUUCAAAUGAUAGUCUCCCCAACACUCAACUCUCUCUCACAGGAUUUGGAUUUGGUGGAAAGAAGAUUUGAGUGGAAAUCAACUUAGGGAAGGCUAGAGAUCAAGAUUCAUAUGGUUGGAAUGGAAUAUCUUGACCUCAACACAAGUGUAGGUGGUUCUCUCUCAGAAAAUGUGUAUUGGAAGUGUAGGUAUGUUCUGAUGGCUCUCUCCAUGAAUGAAGAGUGGGUGGAGGGGUAUAUAUAGACUCCACACAAAAUCUAACCGUUACACACAAUUUGCCAAACUCGGUGGGACCGAAUGGUUAAACUCGGUCGGACCGAUUCAGCAAACAUAGUGACCGUUAGGAUUUUUGGUGGGACUAAGAUGCAACUCGGUAGGACCGAUAUGGUUAGGGUUAGGGCAUAACGUAAUCUCGGUGUGACCGAUUACACAAACUCAGUGGGACCGAUUUUGGUAAUAAGCUAACCAGAGAGUUGGUCAGGUAAACUCGGUGGGACCGAUUCGCUCAUCUUGGUGAGACCGAAAUGUUACAAAAGGGAAACAGAGAGUUUACAUUGCAAUCUCGGUGGGACCGAUCACUCAUCUCGGUAAGAUUGAAACGUUACGAAGGGAAACAGAGAGAUUACAAUCCCAUCUCGGUGAGACCGAUUUGCCUAGGGUUUGUGGCAGUGGCUAUGACAUUUGAAACUCGGUGGCGCCGGAUAGAAAGAAUCGGUGGGGCCGAGUUUGACUUUUGGUUUAGGUCAUAUGUGGAUGUGGGAAGGUAGUUGAGGAUUUUGGAGCAUAUCACUAAGCAUUUUGAGAAAGCAAGCCAUUAAGCAACACCUCAUCCCUCCUUGAUAGUAUUGGCUUUUCCUAUAGACUCAAUGUGAUCUUGGAUCACUAAAAUAUAAAAUGUAGAGUCUUGAGCUUCAAGCUUGAGCCAAACUUUUUGUCCUUAGAAUUUUGAGGGAUCCACUUUCCUCUUCCAUGCCAUGCCAUUCAUUGAGCUUUUCCUGAAAUAUUAAUCUUGGAAUAAUGUUAGCUCAAUGAGCUAUAUGUUGUUAGGAAUUACCAAAACCACCCAGGGAUAGUUGCACUUUCAAUCUCCCCCUUUUUGGUAAUUGAGGACAACAUAUAGAUCAAAGCUUCGACAAAUGAUAAUAAGAGUGAAAGAUAUUGUCGCUUUGAGAAGUAUGUGAAAAAGCAAGAGCUCCCCCUAAAUUUGUGCAUAUCUUAAGAUUUGCUUUGGACUGCAAAUGCACAAUGAGUUAGGAUCAUGUGUCACUCUUCCAUGUCACAUACAUCUUGGUGGAGCGCUCAAAAUAAUAAAGAUUGAAUACAUGCACUCAUCACCAAGCAAAGUGAAUGAUCAUAUAAGGAUAAGUAAGAUAAUAUCAUCUAACAAGCAUAAGUGUAGCUUAUGAUCAACCACAUGAUCAUCAAUGUCUCAUAGAUAAUAGCAUAGUAUCUCAAGCAAUCAAAAGACAAACAAAGUUCAACCACCAAAGCAAGAGAGAAUAAAAAGCAACGCUCUCUCUCGAACCUAUGAUCUAUACAUGUUUCUCCCCCUUUGGCAACAAGUUACCAAAAAGUUCAUAGAAAAUGCAUAGCACUAAAACGUCUCUCAAGCUUGGUCUUCAGGUGGUGGCGUAGAGAUGGUUCCUUGGACGAAGACUUCAGUUGAUGUGGAUGGAGCUAAAGGAGUUGGUGCUGAAGCUGGUUGCGCUGAAGCUAUAGCUGGUGCAGAUGAAGUGGCUCUGGUGUCUGGAACAGGCACUACAGCAGACCUCUGAGCUCUAGGCACUCUGGCAAAUGCAUCAAUGGUUGUCUUGCCCUUCCUCUCCUGCAUAUCAUCUUGAAGUUGCUCCACAACAGACUGAAUCUCAGUUACUUUCACAUCCAAGUCAUAGAAUUUUUGCUCCACGAUUCUUUCCAAGCUCUCCUGGUUUUGAGUCAGGGUGGCCAGUCCCUUCUCAAUCCUCAGAGUGGAUGCAAUCAGGUAGCCAAGCUGAUCUUGCUUGCUCUUCAGGAGAUACUGAGAUGCUUCUUCAGUAGUUGGCAUCCUUGCAGCCUUUUCAGCUUUGCCUUCUCCUUCUUGGCUUGUGCAUGCACAGAAGAUGGUUCACCCUCAUUCAUAACCACAAUGUUGUCCUCGAAGUCUGGAUAGAUAGGCAUGUGCUCCUUGUCCAGCAAAUAUGUACCAGUGCCCAUCUUAGAGUUGAUUAGCUCCUGGAUCUGUGGGGCAUACCCACAACUCCUCUUCUGAUCUGCAGCUGUCCUCUUGAUAGUUUCAACUAUUAGGCUCAUGACUUUGAACUUCUGUGGGACAUCAAAGAUGUGAAGCAAGUUAAUUGCAUGGCCUCUGAUCAUCUUGUGAUCACCUGACUUUGGCAAGAGAGUGUGCUUGAGGAUCCAGUUGAUGGUUGGCAAGCCUGACAGAAGGUAAUGUACAGAUCCAAACUUAUGUGUCUCAAGAGCAGCAUCUGGGAUCUCCUUGUACAUGUGUGCCAUUGUGUUGUGAUCCUUCUUCCUGUUGGCAUAGACAUCCAAGUCAUCUUCACUCUCUUUUGGGCAUUGAUCAACUUCGCCCAUUCAGCAACCAUGGACUGGUACCUCAUACCUUCAGACAUCCAAACAAUCCUUCCAUCUGGGUAGAAAUGAGCUGUGGAGUAGAACUGCAUGAUGAGCUCAUCAUUCCAUAUUGUGAGCUUCUGAGCCACAAACUCAUCGACUCCACAAGCCUUGAAACUAUCAUGCACACCUGGAUAGUGAUCCUCAUUCUCCUUUAUGUAGUCCCAGUCGACCCAUCUCAUGUCACACACUAUGGGCUUCUUGUCAAGCAACACUGUCUCAUAGAAGUCCUGCUGUUCCUUUGUGAGGAACCUGUAAUCAACAAUAGUCCUUCUCCUGGUGGCAUAUGGAUCAGACUCUCUCCAUAGCCUUAGACCCGAGUCCUUCCUUAUCUUCAUGUUCUCAGCUACUAGAUGAGCAUCAUUGUGAUCUGGAAUUUUGGGUUUGAGCUUCCUCAGGACUUGUCCUUCAUCAUCUUCAUUAGCAGUAACUUCAAGCACUGGGGCCUUGUUCUUCUCAGCAGCUGGUAUACUCCUGGUAUUCCUCUUAGGUGCACUCUUGGGCUUGGAGGCUGCUUUGGGUGCUUCUUUGGGCUUUGAUGUUGCAGCCCCUGACUUUAUAGCAUCACCCAUCAGCUUUUGUGCCUUGGGUGAUGGUGCAGCAACCUCUUCUUCCUCUUCCUCUUCAGAAUCUCUCAUGAUUGAGGAUCUCCCAAGCACUCUAGCAGUGGUCUUUUUGAUCCUCUCCUUCCUCUUCUUCCCUUCUGCAGCGGCCUCUUUGGGUUCAGAUCCCAAAGGGACUUGAGUAGAUGCUUUGGCCUUAGACAUUGAAAUUCUUUUUGUAGGAACCUUUUGCUUCAUGCCUGGCUUGGUGGCAGCAGCAGUGCUAUAUUCCUUCUUAACCACUUUCUUCUUGGAAGUGGCCUCAUCCUCAAUUACCACAUAGUCUUCAUCCUCAGAUUCAGAGGCCUUCUUCUUUCUGGCCCUGGUGGCAGCUUUGGGUAAGUUGCUUGGGGUUCUCCUACUACCAUCAUCUAAACUGCUAGAGGGACUAGUGCCCUCACUCAGGUGAACCUGCUCCUCUGACCUGUUCUGGCUGUCACUCUAAUCAUACAUAUUGCAAACACUAACAGCAGACCCUGUGAAUAGAUAUAGAUGAGAUAGAGUGGAUGAGAAUCACAAAAUGCAGAGGUUUUUGCAAAAGAAUUGAGUCAAAAAUUUAGUUUUAGUUUUCCACAGAAAGCAUUUCAGAUCAACCGAUUUGUAAACUCGGUGAUACCGAAGCAGUUGUUGGAACCUAAACUAGUGAACUCGGUCAGACCGAGUCACAGUUCGGUGGCACCGAGACUGCUAGGGUUUCACAAAGUCCUGAACUUGGUCACACCGAUUUGCAAUUCUUGGUCAGACCGAAAAUUACAUGUGCAAUGGCCUGAGCCGAAUCGGUGGUACCGAGUUCCACAACUCGGUGGGUCCGAGAUGGUUUCGGCGGAAACCUAACCCUAAAUUUUCAAUUCACGACUAAACUACGGAGUGUUUUGACGGGAUAAGAAUGAUCUCAAUCGUGGCAAGAUACAUGGCGGACACAAUGUGCUAGGAAUCAGAUAGGGAUAGCACAGUGAUCGAGUUCAUACCCUAGUUUGGCGAUGAACUCGCUACGGCGGCAAUGGCGGGGAUGAUUCCCAUUGACGGUGGCGGAGAACAGCGGCAGGAGGCGGCUGGCGACGAGGAAGACGAUCCGGAGACCCUGGAGGCGGAGCGAGCUAAGCGCGGGUCGAGGAGGUUCGGAAAGUUUUCCAAAAUUUUACCCGUGGGUAUAUAUAGCCUGACCCUGUCGGUGUGACCGAGUGGAACAACUCGGUGGCACAGAGAUUCAUAACUGCAAUUAGUUACUGAAACUCGGUGUGACCGAAAGGUUCAAAUCAGUUGCACCGAGAUUGAAAACCUAGAUCGACUUAGUGAUCUCGGUAUGACCGAAAUGGAUGAAUCGGUCAGACCGAAAUGCACAAAGAAGUUUUGGAAGUUUAAGUCUAUGAUGAAUCGGGGACUCCGAGUGCUCCUCACACAGAGUGGUUCGAAUCUGACUUGAUCAAAUUUUGUGAUGUAGCAUGAAUAGAGUUUGAGACGAGAAAAGCAUAGAUAGCUAGAGAGGGUUCUUAGGCAUUCUUGUCCAUCCACUUGGCAAAAGAAAAGAAAACCAAUCAAUCAAAACAACAAGUGGAUGUCCUCGAAUGAGUAAAAUAUGCAAUCAACAUGCUCACACAAUAAAAUGGCAAUUGAAAUAUGUGGCAAAGCAUGCACAACCAAUUCUAGCAUCUAUCAAACAAUUUGCGAUGACUAGGUCAUCUAUAUAUGAGUAUAUUGACUUAGGAGUCAAAUGAGAACAUUUGAUCAUAGGUCAUACUCAUCGUUUAAGCACAAGUGGGGUUACCACUUUUACAUAAAGCAUUGUUGUGUCCACACCAUUAGAGUUGCUUUAGCUCAAUUCUUAGAGUAAAGCUCCCCCUAGAUGUGAGAUCCACCCUGAGAGGGAUGAACUAACCUUGGGUUUUGUCGAUGAUGACUUCAUGUAGAUGUUGAAGAUGUGGAUGCUCAAUGUUGAUGUAGAUCAUUUGAAGCUAUCCAUUGGAGUGAGUUGCACUUUCAAUGCCUACACGGGUUAGUCCCACAAGGAACAAACAAGGAUAUCCAUAGACAUAAAGUGAUGCACACACAAGAUGAUGUCUAUGAAAGCUUUUAGGUUACCUUGUCCCUUGUCUUACCAACAAGAGGGUUUGUGACUCCUUGAACGAGUGCAAGAUGUGGAAGUUGAUUGCACUUGUUCUUGCCAAGAUGAUAAGAGUGAAGUAUGUUGGCGGAGUCACCCUCAAGAACUCUCUAGUUCUUCUUCUUCGGGAUCCACACCAUCUUGAUGGGAAUCCUCGGUGUUGUAGUUGUACUUGAUGAAGUGGAACUUGAAGUAGUCUUGGGAACCCACUUGACCAAGGCCUUAGGAGCUUCUUCAAAUGCAUCAAUUUCCUCUUGAAGCUUGUCCUUGCCUUUUUGCUUGUGGUCUUGUGGUGGAAGAUCAUCUUGAGCUUGUGUCCCUUUGAAAGAAGUAGGAUCAUACUUCUCUUGUUGAGGAACAAACGUCGUCUUGGGGUAUUGAUCUUCUUUCCACUCAACUCCAUUGGCAUUGAACUUUCGUUCAAAACCAACACCUUGAUUCUUCUGGUGCCUUCCUUGCUUGCGCACAAUUUCCUCGAAUUGCUUACUUUCGGCAAGGCUCUUGUAAACACCUUUCUCUAUAAUUCCCUUCAAUAAGCUAUUUCCUUGCUCCAGUGUAACUUGUCUAAGAGAAUCAUUAGUGGAAUCAAGAGAACUACUAGAAGCAACAAUAUUGGAUUUAGCAUGAUUAUUGAAAUCAUCAUCACCUAACAAGUCAUCUUCAUCACUAUUGAAAUCAACAUACUCGGGGUGUGAUACCUUUGGGCCUUUAGCCAUGAAGCAUGUUCCAACUCCUUCAUUUGGUGAGUCAAAUAAGUCAAAUAUGUCGUAGGAGUUGGUUGUCACAAGUGCUAGACCGACAACACCUUCAUCUUGAGUAUAUUCGGAGUCGGAGUGAUAGCUUCUCUCGGAGUGGUUGUCGGAGUCGGAGCCGGAUACCCAUUCACCAAUAUGAGCUUGAUGUCUUUGUUUUGUGUAGCUCCUUGAUGACUUGUCCUUUCUUUCCGAAUCCUUGCUUCUCCAUGAGGGUCUUCAUUCAUAACGAUCAUCUCUACUCCUUCUUUCUCUAGAUGGCGAUUCUUCUCUUCUACUUCUUCUCUUGGGAGAAUCUUCUCUUCUCUUGUAGGGGCCGUACACUCAUUGGAAUAGUGUCCGGGCCUUCCACAAUUGUAGCAGUUUUGCUCUCGACUAGAAGAUAUUUUGUCAUUGCAGGACCUUGACUUGGAGCUUCUCUCUUUGCUUCUACUCUUGUAGAACUUGUUGAAGUUCUUCACCAUUAAGUUCAAUUCUUCAUUGAAGGUUUGUUUCUCACUCGAUGAUGUGGGGGCUUCACAUGAGGCUUUGUAAGCACCACUUGAUUUGUUGUGAAGUUCCUCUUUAUCCUUGAGUGACAUCUCAUGAGCAACAAUUCUUUUGAUGACUUCCGUUGGCUUGAGAUCUUUCUAAUUUGGCAUCAUUCGGAUCAAUGUGCACACAGUAUCAUAUUUUCCAUCCAAGGCUCUUAGGAUCUUCUUGAUGAUGAAUCUAUCGGUCAUCUCUUCACUCCCUAAGCCGGCAAUCUCAUUUGUGAUAAGAGCAAGCCUAGAGUACAUUUCAGCAACACCUUCACCAUCCUUCAUUUUGAACUUGUCAAGUUGACUUUGAAGCACAUCCAAUUUGGAUUCCUUGACGGAGUCAGUACCUUCGUGCAUAUCAAUCAAAGUAUCCCAAAUUUCCUUUGCAUUCUCAAUACGGCUGAUUUUGUUGAAUUCUUUGGGGCACAAUCCGUUGAAGAGGAUAUCACAAGCUUGAGCGUUGUAUUGCAGCAUUUUCAACUCUUCCGCGGUGGUGCUAUCGUACAUCCACGUUGAUGGAGACUUCAACCCACGGAGGGUAACGGUUGCGCGAGUCCACGGAGGGCUCCACCCACGAAGGGUCCACGAAGAAGCAACCUUGUCUAUUCCAUCAUGGCCAUCGCCCAUGAAGGACUUGCCUCACUAGCGGUAGAUCUUCACGAAGUAGGCGAUCUCCUUGCCCUUACAAACUCCUUGGUUCAACUCCACAAUCUUGUCGGAGGCUCCCAAGUGACACCUAGCCAAUCUAGGAGACACCACUCUCCAAGAAGUAACAAAUGGUGUGUUGAUGAUGAACUCCUUGCUCUUGUGCUUCAAAUGAUAGUCUCCCCAACACUCAACUCUCUCUCACAGGAUUUGGAUUUGGUGGAAAGAAGAUUUGAGUGGAAAGCAACUUGGGGAAGGCUAGAGAUCAAGAUUCAUAUGGUUGGAAUGGAAUAUCUUGACCUCAACACAAGUGUAGGUGGUUCUCUAUCAGAAAAUGUGUAUUGGAAGUGUAGGUAUGUUCUGAUGGCUCUCUCCACAAAUGAAGAGUGGGUGGAGGGGUAUAUAUAGCCUCCACACAAAAUCUAACCGUUACACACAAUUUGCCAAACUCGGUGGGACCGAAUGGUUAAACUCGGUCGGACCGAUUCAGCAAACCUAGUGACCGUUAGGAUUUUCAAUGGGACUGAGAUGCAACUCGGUAGGACCGAUAUGGUUAGGGUUAGGGCAUAACGUAAUCUCGGUGUGACCGAUUACACAAACUCGGUGGGACCGAUUUUGGUAAUAAGCUAACCAGAGAGUUGGUCAGGUAAACUCGGUGGGACCGAUUCACUCAUCUCGGUGAGACCGAAAUGUUACAAAAGGGAAACAGAGAGUUUACAUUGUAAUCUCGGUGGGACCGAUCGCUCAUCUCGGUAAGACCGAAACGUUACGAAGGGAAACAGAGAGAUUACAAUCCCAUCUCGGUGAGACCGAGAUCCCUAUCGGUGAGACCGAUGUGCCUAGGGUUUGUGGCAGUGGCUAUGACAUUUGAAACUCGGUGGCGCCGGAUAGAAAGAAUCGGUGGGGCCGAGUUUGACUUUUGGUUUAGGUCAUAUGUGGAUGUGGGAAGGUAGUUGAGGAUUUUGGAGCAUAUCACGAAGCAUUUUGAGCAAGCAAGCCAUUAAGCAACACCUCAUCCCUCCUUGAUAGUAUUGGCUUUUCCUAUAGACUCAAUGUGAUCUUGGAUCACUAAAAUAUAAAAUGUAGAGUCUUGAGCUUCAAGCUUGAGCCAAACUUUUUGUCCUUAGAAUUUUGAGAGAUCCACUUUCCUCAUCCAUGCCAUGCCAUUCAUUGAGCUUUUCCUAAAAUAUUAAUCUUGGAAUAAUGUUAGCUCAAUGAGCUAUAUGUUGUUAGGAAUUACCAAAACCACCCAGGGAUAGUUGGACUUUCAGCUGGUUCUUGUGCAUGUAUAACCGGGGUGCUAUCUCCACCAAGAGGUAGCACUGUUUUAUUUGAAGACCGUGUUUUUAGUCCGCUAGAUACUGGCAUCACCCGCUCCAAUUCAAAUGGCUGAUAAACAGGAAACAUGGUUGAAUGUACAGACAUUGUAUGAGAGACAGAUGCAAUAUAUAGUGUGGAAAAAAGAGGGCAUGAAAUAUUUGACAUGUAUAUUGUUUAACUAAAACGGAUAGCAUGACAUAAUUUCACAUAUAUGAUGUCUAUCUAAACUAGAUAGCAUAGCAUAACAUAAUUCAAAGAUAUGAUGAAUAACUAAACAUGAUCGCAUGACAUAAUUCACCUACAUGUUAUCUAAGUAAUCAGGAUCACAUCAUUUAAUUCACAUAUGUGAUUUAUAUGCUAAAUAGAGGGCAUUCGAUAUGAUGUCUGAACUAAGAACAUGGUGUUGAAUAUUGUGUAUAUGAUGUCUAAACUAUGCAAUGCAAGACACUGUAUGCAUGAUAUGAGCAGUAUAACCGUGCCAAGUUAGAGCAUACACCUCAGUGGGGGAAUAGGACUGGUCAUCUGUCUCUGAAUCCAUCUCUGAGGAGCUAUCGGGACCCAACAAGAGAUCUGGUUCGACAGGUAGCACUGUCUGCUCUGAAGGCCUUGUUUUCACUCCAGAUUUUUCCAUCUCCCACCCAAAUGGUUGAUUCACAGGAAGAGUAGUUUAAUGUACAAACAUUGUCGACAAAUGGAAAUGUAAUGACGAAAAGGAUGGGCAAGAUAUCAUUCAAAUAUAUGAUGCCUGGUUAAACAGGAUGGCAUUGCACAUUUCACAUAUAUUAUGGCUGGCUAAAAGACAUGAGACUGCAUAAUUCCCAUAUAUGAUAUAGAAACUAAACAGGUGGCAUUAUAGAACAUGUCUAAACUAAGCAGAUGACAUAUAUGAUGUCAAAAGUAGGCACUGCAAGGCAAUAUAUGCAUGAUAUGACUAACAUCAUCAUGCCAAGGUAGAGCAAACACCUUGGAGGGUAAAUAGGAGUGGUGAGCGGCGUCCGAAUCCGCCUCAGAACAGAUAUCUUCCUCUGGAUUACAAUCUGGAGAGGGGUGGGGAGGGUUUGCCAUUGAACCCACCAUGGAGAGAUGUCUGCAUGACAUUGUAUUGCCGCGCAAAACUCUUCUCUUUUUCUCUACAUGUUCAGCAUGACUGUGUAUAAUAUUUGACAUGCAUACGAAAAAAAUAUGGUGAGAUUAUGUAAGGAGAGCAUGCAGAAAUUUAGAGUGAUGGUAACAACCAGUGGAUAGAUGUUUUCCCGUUGAACCAAAAUAGCCCUAAUGGAUCGACGUGAAUGUAUAGUAAUAAGUGAUGCAACAAGUGUACAACCUCUUUGCCGUAGCCGUGUCGACCUCAGCAUCAUUUGGUUGGUCGCUGAAGCAGUUGAGGCAGAGGUGGCUGUCGGAGGUGUGGAGGAAGAUCUGAGGAAUCUGUAGACGGCAUCCAGGGCACUGCUCUGUUGUGAUGGAUCGUUCUGUCGUUGGAGCAGCUCCGGUGAGCCGUAAGACGUCAAGGCUGAAGCAGCACAAGACAUACAUCGUCAAUCUCAAGUGGGAGUCUAAUAGCAUCUCCAAUAGAUGAUGUAAAUAGGAUGUAAAAUUAACAUCACCAAAAACCACCAGACUACAACAGAUGAGGUAAAAACUGUUGACUCUGAACUUAACUGUCGAAACUAAAAUUUACUGUGGAAUCUGAAUGCUACUAUCGAAACUAAACGCAAUGGUAGCAGAGAGGCACUUGACAUGUAGUUUAGGGAGGGCUUGCAGUUCAUCUUCAACCUGCACCCCCCUGAGCCGCCAGCCACCACCGGCCGAACCGCCAGCCCCAGUGCCGCCUCGCCGCCCCGAAACAACUCGCCACCGCCGCCCCGACCAGCCCUCUAGGUCCCCCGCCCCCACCCUGAACCCUAAGAUAGAUAGUGGGGUACCUCUCCGGUGAGCCCCCGUCCCCGCUGCGGGUGGUUCUUCCUUAACUCCGACGAGCCCCCCAACCCCUGAAAAUCGACUGACCCAAAAGUCGAUUCAGUCAACUGAAGUGUGGCUUAAUCGGAGCAGAGCAGCAGCACGAGCGAGGGGGAGAGCAGCAGCAGCAGCUGGGCGAGCGAGCAAUCGAGCGAGAGCCGGAGCAAUAGCAGCAGAUCCGUCUGGUAUGGCCGCCGCCGCCAAAGGGGCCUCGCACUGGGGGAGAGCCGCCAUGGAGAUGUCGGCCGCAACGCUGGCUUCAAGGUAGCCACUCCAUGGGGGUGCGGUAUGGAGCACCGUCGGUGCUGGGAGGUCGAGUUAAGGAGAAGGUGCGAUGCGAUGAGUGUACAACCUCUUUGGUGGCGCCGAGUAGGCCUCGGCUUCGUCCGAGGAGUCGGUGAGGAUGCUGCGGUUCCGGUGGAGCAGGUUAAGGUGGCGCUGUGGGGAUGGAGCAGCCGUGAUAGACGAGGCGAUCGUCAGAGAAGCUCCUUGGAGGUGGAGAACAGGGCGGCUGAACCGGCGGGACGGCGAGAUGGACGACGGAGCCUCAUCCGGGGAGGUGGACGAGGGAUGUCGAGCUGUUGCGGUGGAUGACGUCGUCGGGGAAGAGGCUCCGGCUGGGCAGUGGUGACGUGGCGGAUAGAGGAGGGUGGGGUUUCGCGGCUGGAGCGGAGAGUUUAUGGCGGCCUGGGAUUUCGAAUGGCGAAAAGGGGGCGAUGGGAGGGGGUGAAGCAUGACUUAGGAACGCGCUUGUCCAAAAUGUAGGGUGUGUUACAAAAGUACCCCCCACCGAUUUGAACUAGAGGCCCUUUCGGCUCACGGUUAGAAGGGGGAUUUCGCGUGUCGGGAUUUGGCAGCUGGAGGGAGUUUUCGCGCGCGUUGUAAUUUCAGGAUAGCAAGGCGCGGGUUGUGAAGGCGCCAGUUUUGGGAGCACGAUAUCUGAAUUUUUGGGAUAUAACAAGACGCGGGUUGAAUUUUAGGGACAAGCCUAACGUGCAGUUAUAUUGUACUUGUACGUACCAAAUCAAUUCGCACUUCCCUCAACCAAAAAGAAAACAAAAAUAAUAAAACUAUUCACACCACACAAAGAGAGAGUCUUGCCCCGUUUUACUAUACAAAUGCUAUUCAAAGCUACUCCCUCCUUCCAUCUAUAUAGGGCCUAAUGCGUUUUUCGAUGCUAGCUUUGACCAAAUAUUAGAGCAAUGAUAUAUGACAUGCAACUUACACAAAGCACACUGUUAAAUUUGUCUGUGAAAGGUUCUUUCAAUGAUAUAAUUUUCACAUUGUGCAUGUCAUGUACUAUUAAUCUUGUCAAUAGUCAAAGGCGGUCUUAAAAAUCUAAUUAUGCCCUAUAUAGAUGGAAGGAGGGAGUAUGAAUCCAUGUUAUGUCUGAUUAAAUUUUUUUGCUUGCUGUAUAAUGCAUGUAACCUACUCAUACCAACAUUUUAGUGCAUUCCAAAUGUCUAUACCAGCGCUGCAAUUCGAACUAAAUUUGAAUUCGUUUCUCUAUUUCAAUAAGAAUCUACAAUCAUGAUUGUUGCCAACUUCAACCAUCAUAGUUUCCUUGCAUCCGCCAGAUAUAAAUCAGACGGCCUAUAAUGCAGGAUGGCAGGCACACCAUCAUCAACAACUCCGUUUUUUAUAAGAGUAGAGAUAAAAUAUAUUAAAUGUAGUAUACGAUGUUCAUAACCACACCAUGUGUAUCACCAUUAUAUAUAUAUAUUCACACAUCCGUCGGUUUGAAACACUAUGAUAAAUUCUUCAAAUAUCUGAAUUCGCUUUUUAUAAUGAAGUAUAUAUGAUCUCUAUUCGUCUUUUACACCCACACAACCCUCUUAUCUUUGUAGCUAGCGCUAACUUUCUCUUGUGCAUGCACACGCCCGCAUCCCUCUCACCCUCCCUUAGCAUUCUCUAGCUCCAUCGCGCAAAUUUGUCUUUUCACUUUAGGUCGUUCACCCACGGUGUGUGUAGGCCCCCAUCUUCUUCUUUACGACACACAUCGAUCGAUAUGCCUCUCUAGCCAGGUGUGCCUAGCACAAACACAAGAUUCCCCUCUUCUCUUGUCACCGUCCAUGCCUCACUCCCACCACUCUUUUCAUCGUUCUUGUACUUGCACACUCCUCCCCCUCGAUAUAGUAUGCCUCUUGUACCACCUCCUACAUGCAUCCCUCUCUCUCUAUCCUUCUCCUCAUGCCUCAUUUGCUUCUAACACACAUGCAUGUAUACCGAUCGAUCUCCCAACAUAUACCUAGAUCGACUUUAACUACCCCCCCCCAUCGAUCGACGUACCUCACAAGUUAUGUCUCUCCUUUCUCUUACAAAGGGCGAUUGAUCUUCCUAUGUAUUUACAUCUGCUUACCACAGCCACAUCGUCCCCCCUCAUCAUUCGUGCAUGCCUUCUGACCCGUCUCUCACACGCACGUGCACAUACAACAAGCAGCCAUCUCCUCUCUUAUUGAUAUUGCGGGCGUGCCCUCCGUUUGUCUAGCAAGCCUAUCCCACCAUUUGUUAGAAGCAACUCCACUACCACCCCCUCCAACACUCUAGCUCUGUCUCUCUCCCAACCUUAUUCAUCUCCUGCACAUAUGCAUGGAUGCCGAUCGAUCUCCCUUAAUACAUGAGGCAGAUCGAUCUCCUUAAUACAUGAGGUAGGCCUCUCUCCUCCUCCACACAUAUACCAGCCAUUGUACCUCUAUAGUUAAUUGGGCCUCCCUCUUCCCCCACCACACACCGAUAGUCAAGCGCUGUAGGUAGGUAUCCAUGCCACAGAGACAAACUGCACAUGUCCCAUCUCACGUUCCAGUAGGCCAACCACUCUAUAUCUUUGACGUGGGCACACACAAAUUCGACGGCACUCUUUAUCGAUCGCGCGCGCACACACACACAUCAUCAUCCCUCUCUUCGAUUCUAUGGACACCUGAAGCCGAUGAUACCUCCACUCUCUUCUCGUGGAUCGCCCCCUCUAUAUAUAUGUUAUAUCCAGGACUCUAUUUCACACACAUUGCAUAUGUUAAAUUUUUCGAUUGACCCCCCCCCCUCUAUAAAAAAAACUCUCAAGAACCCACACACUAUAUCUCUCUAGGCUUGUAUCUCUAUCACACAACCCCAUGUAGGUGGUGUACGUAUACAAGAAGAGAAUAGGUGCACCGUGCACGUACUCACGCUUCGUGCCCAGCCACACCCACGCGGGUACACAGUGGAGCUCAUUUCUUUACGAAAUGGCAGCCCACGUGCUAAUUUGAAUGCCCGUAGCGGUUGUUUACCUAGCGAGGUCGUGUACCACGCGUGCACGAAACAAAGUUCUACUUGACGUGUUGCCGCGUUAUUUUUAAAUAAAGUUAUAGCGCUCAAUGGCACGUACACAGAAUAUAAAACGAUUUUUAUGGAGGAAAAGGUAGUCCGCUCUUCAGAAUAUCUCACACAAGGCUCCAGUGGCCUCUCUCUCUCUCACCGUUGGUCACUGAUCCGGCUGCAUCCCGUCCGCCGGGGGAAAGGGAGUGCGGUGGUCUCUCUCUCUCUUACCGUUGGCCACUGAUCCGGCCGCAUCCCGUCCGCCGGGGGAAAGGGAGUGCGAUGGUCUCUCUCUCUCUCACCGUUGGCCACUGAUCCGGCCGCAUCCCGUCUGCCGGGGGAAAGGGAGUGCGGUGGCCUCUCUCUCUCAUCGUUGGUCACUGAUCCGGCCGCAUCCCCUCCGCCGGGGAAAGGGAGGAAGUGCAUCGUUUCUCCGUUCGACGGUGCCGAGGCACCACGCCCGAUCUGCGGUACACGCCGUUCUCUCUGACCAAGCUCCAGCGCGGCAGGGCCUACACCACCUGCUCGCAGAUUCCGCCCGCCGCCGCUCUCCUAGUUACAUCCCGACGACCUCCAGGUAUCCCCUCCGGCCUUGCUCCACUGCCCGUUUUCCCACGUCGCUGCAUGUGGAUCUUCCAUAGUUCUUUGCCCAAAACGUAGCUCGUCCGACGUACUUUCCAUAUUGCAUUCUCGUCCUCACACCAUUUUAGACAAACACAACCGUGUUGUUAUCUUCCCUUAGGACAAGGAAUAUGCUUCUUUUUUGUCGUCGCAUGUGUCAUCAACUGUUAUUGGCCAGUAAUUGUUUCCUUUCUACCUCUUUUUUGCAAACAGGGCUAUCCAUUUCACCUUGUUGCUAUUGCGACCUUUUGGUGUACUGCACAAAUCACUUUUUUCUUAAGAGUGUUUUGUGCAGUUGUACUAAAAUGUCACACGGGCAACGUCUCUACAUUUCAGUGCGACUGCAUAAAGGGAGAUUGGUUUUGCUCUAUCCUCCUCAUCCAACUCCGAGCCUAAUCUUCUCCAACUAGUUAGUCUUAAGAGAGACUGCAAAGGUGACCGGCUUCUAUUUGUGUGUUUAUUGUUUCAUCAGCAGUCCUCUAUUAUCGUAAUCACACUUGAUAUCUUUGGAACAGGGACGCUCAGCUCUAUUUUAGUGGAACUGCACAAAAUUAUCGGAAUGUUGCAUGCUCCAGACAGCUACUUUUUUUCCCAACAUGCCUUGUUGAUUUAGACAAAGCUGGGGGGACGUUGCUGCCAAUUAAAGCAUGGAUCAAUUUUAAUUUAACACCUUCUCACAACUUUGUCUUCAGUUGUGAUGUAAUUAUUAGCUCUGAUCUGCUAAUAAUUUUUUUGAUAGAAAGACUGUAAGGGAACCCCCUAUAGUAUAAUUGGUGCAACAAACCCAAAUUGCAAGUACCAGGCCUUGAACCUGGGUGGAUGGGAAGGCAUGAGCCCCUUCCCAUCACUAGGCUAUGCCUUAGUCUGCCUAAUCUGCUAAUAAUUGACAUGCAUUAGCAAGGAAGUUAGUUUUUUAUUGUUUCUGAAAGAGCAUCGAUGGCAAGACACGCGAAACAAAAGCUGAAAGCUCACACCAUGUACAAUUUCAUGUCGCUGGAAAAUUAUUUGUAUAGUACAUCAAUUAUGUAAACAAAUGAUGGAAGCUUGAUAGCAUUGCCAGAAGCCUCUUCAUCAUCCGGGUCCAUGUGCCAUGCACAAAAUUAUACUCCUUCGUUCCUAAAAAUUUGUCUUUUACAAAUUUCAAAUGGGCAUAUUUUAGAGUGUAGAUUCACUCAUUUUGCUUCGUAUGUGUACUCCCUCUGUUCCUAAAUAUUCUAUUCGUCUUAACAGAGAUUUCUACAAGUGACUACAUACGGAGCAAAAUGAGUGAAUCUACACUCUAAAAUAUGUCUAUAUACGUCAGUGCCAGUCCAUUUGAAAUCUCUAAAAAGACAAAUAUUUGAGUAGUCACUCGUUGAAAUCUCUAGAAAGACAAAUACUCCAGAGUAUAUUUAAGAACCGAGGGGGUAGUGCACAACCGCAUGGGAGACUCAGCCCGGUUGUUGUGCCGCAUUAAUAGUGAGUAAUGAGCAGUCAAAUAAUAAGCCCCACCUUUCCCACUGUAAGUUGCUCUGAAGAAGCAACCAUCAAUACGCUCUUCUUUGAAUCCGCUCAUACUACUCCAUCCGUCACUGUUUAUACAACGCGCUUCAGAAAAAAGAAAAAAAAUCUAUGGGACCAAGGCGACUAGCGAUCAGCCUGAAAAAUAGCAUUGGUAGUUAUAGCACGGCGUCUAUUACUAGAGGGAAUAAUGCGUACACACAUGCAUGCAGUGCUUCCACCCCGGGUACACACAUGCAUGCACUCCGUAGUAGUACAGUACAUGGAGAGAAAAUUGUGGACUAGAUUGCGGUUACCACGCCCUAAUUAAUUGAGCAUUAAACCAAACGCGUCUAAAGUCUCUCUGGUGGUGGAAAUGCAUCAUAAUGAAGCGCGCCCUGUAAACUGUGACGGAGGGUGGAGUAGUAUGAAGGUGCAAAACCAAGUACGCGUCUUACUGCGCUUGGCUCUUCGCCCCUUCAUGAAGUCGAACAACGAUGGUACUCCGCAUGUUGGGUACUACAGUGUAUGCCUCUGACAAUCUGACACCGAAUGGACUGAUGCAUGUCCGCCGAGGGUAGGUUGCAUUAGUCAAAAGGCGUAAGCGAGCUUCACCUUUUCUUGCAAGCUUCUCCUCGUUCUGCGAGUUGACGGGACACACCAAAAAGUAGUGCUAGUCCAUACUCCCUCCUUUCCGGUUAAUAUGGCUUAAUCUUUUUUGCGGGUAAAUGAGUGAGCUUUAUGAAGGAAAUAUGCCCUAGAGGCAAUAAUAAAGUUAUUAUUUAUUUCCUUAUUUCAUGAUAAAUGUUUAUUAUUCAUGCUAGAAUUGUAUUAACCGGAAACAUAAUACAUGUGUGAAUACAUAGACAAACAGAGUGUCACUAGUAUGCCUCUACUUGACUAGCUCGUUAAUCAAAGAUGGUUAUGUUUCCUAACCAUGGACAAAGAGUUGUUAUUUGAUUAACGAGAUCACAUCAUUAGGUGAAUGAUCUGAUUGACAUGACCCAUUCCAUUAGCUUAGCACCCGAUUGUUUAGUAUGUUGCUAUUGCUUUCUUCAUGACUUAUACAUGUUCCUAUGACUAUGAGAUUAUGCAACUCCCGUUUGCCGGAGGAACACUUUGGGUGCUACCAAACAUCACAACGUAACUAGGUGAUUAUAAAGGAGCAUUACAGGUGUCUCCAAAGGUAGAUGUUGGGUUGGCGUAUUUCGAGAUUAGGAUUUGUCACUCCGAUUGUCGGAGAGGUAUCUCUGGGCCCUGUCGGUAAUGCACAUCACAUAAGCCUUGCAAGCAUUGCAACUAAUGAGUUAGUUGCGAGAUGAUGUAUUACGGAACGAGUAAAGAGACUUGCCGGUAACGAGAUUGAACUAGGUAUUGGAUACCGACGAUCGAAUCUCGGGCAAGUAACAUACCGAUGACAAAGGGAACAACGUAUGUUGUUAUGCGGUCUGACCAAUAAAGAUCUUCAUAGAAUAUGUAGGAGCCAAUAUGGGCAUCCAGGUCCCGCUAUUGGUUAUUGACUGGAGACGUGUCUCGGUCAUGUCUACAUUGUUCUCGAACCGUAGGGUCCGCACGCUUAAGGUUUCGAUGACAGUUAUAUUAUGAGUUUAUGAGUUUUGAUGUACCGAAGGAGUUCGGAGUCCCGGAUGAGAUCGGGGACAUGACGAGGAGUCUCGAAAUGGUCGAGACGUAAAGAUCGAUAUAUUGGACGACUAUAUUCGGAUAUCGGAAAGGUUCCGAGUGAUUCGGGUAUUUUUCGGAGUACCGGGUAGUUACGGGAGAAGCAAUGGGCCUUGACGGGCUUUAGUGGGAAGAGGAGAAAGGGCCAAGGGGCUGCUGCGCCCCCCCUCCCCUCUAGUCCGAAUUGGACUAGGGAAAAGGGGGCCGGCCACCUUUCCUUCUCCUCCACUUCCUUCUCCCUUCCUCCCCUCUUGGUGGACUCCUACUAGGACUUGGAGUCCUAGUAGGACUCCACAUCCUGGCCGCACCUAGCCUUGGCCGGCCUCCUCCUCCUCCAUCCUUUAUAUACUGAGGCAAGGGGCACCCCAUGGACACACAAGUUGAUCUUCGUGAUCGUUCCUUAGCCGUGUGCGGUGCCCCCCUCCACGAUAUUACACCUCGAUCAUAUUGUAGCGGUGCUUAGGCGAAGCCCUGCGACGGUUAAACAUCAAGAUCAUCACCACGCCGUCGUGCUGACGAAACUCCUCCCCAAAGCUUUGCUGGAUCGGAGCCCGGGGUGUGUCAUCGAGUUGUACGUGUGUCAAGAACUCGGAGGUGCCGGAGUAACGGUGCUUGGAUCGGUUGAACCGGGAAGACGUACGACUACUUUCUCUAUGUUGCGUCAACGCUUCCGCUACGGUCUACGAGGGUACGUAGACAACACUCUCCCCUCUCGUUGCUAUGCAUCACCAUGAUCUUGCGUGUGCGUAGGAAAUUUUUGAAAUUACUACGUUCCCCAACAGUGGCAUCCGAGCCUGGUUUUAUGGUUUGAUGUUAUAUGCACGAGUAGAACACAAGUGAGUUGUGGGCGAUAUAAGUCAUACUGCUUACCAGCAUGUCAUACUUUGGUUCGGCGGUAUUGUUGGAUGAAGCGGCCCGGACCGACAUUACGCGUACGCUUACGCGAGACCGGUUCUCCCGACGUGCUUUGCACAAAGGUGGCUAGCGGGUGACAGUUUCUCCAACUUUAGUUGAACCGAGUGUGGCUACGCCCGGUCCUUGCGAAGGUUAAAGCAACACCAACUUGACAAACUAUCGUUGUGGUUUUGAUGCGUAGGUAAGAUUUGUUCUUGCUUAAGCCCGUAGCAGCCACGUAAAACUUGCAACAACAAAGUAGAGGACGUCUAACUUGUUUUUGCAGGGCAUGUUGUGAUGUGAUAUGGUCAAAACGUGAUGACAUAUAAGUUGUUGUAUGAGAUGAUCAUGUUUUGUUAAAGUUAUCGGCAACUGGCAAAAGCCCUAUGGUUGUCUCUAUAUUGCAUAAGAUGCAAGCGCCAAAUAAUUGCUUUACUUUAUCGCUAUGCGAUAGCAAUAGUUGCAAGAGCAAUAGUUGGCGAGACGACCGUGUGACGACACAUUGAUAUUGAUCAAGAUGAUGGAGAUCAUGGUGUCAUGCCGGUGACGAUACAGAUCAUGACAAUGCUUUGGAGAUGGAGAUCAAAGGCACAAGAUGAUGAUAGCCAUAUCAUGUCACAUAUUAUGAUUGCAUGUGAUGUUUAUCUUUUAUACAUCUUAUUUUGCUUAGUUUGACGGUAGCAUUUUAAGAUGAUCUCUCACUAAUUAUCAAGAAGUGUUCUCCCUGAGUAUGCACCGUUGCCAAAGUUCGUCGUGCCCAGACACCACAUGAUGAUCGGGUGUGAUAAGCUCUACGUCCAUCUACAACGGGUGCAAGCCAGAUUUGCACACGCAGAAUACUCGGGUUAAACUUGACGAGCCUAGCAUAUGCAGAUAUGGCCUCGGAACACGGAGACCGAAAGGUCGAGCGUGAAUCAUAUAGUAGAUAUGAUCAACAUAACGAUGUUCACCAUUGAAAACUAUUCCAUUUCACGUGAUGAUCGGUUAUGGUUUAGUUGAUUUGGAUCACGUGAUCACUUAGAAGAUUAGAGGGAUGUCUAUCUAAGUGGGAGUUCUUAAGUAAUAUGAUUAAAUUGAACUUAAAUUUAUCAUGAACUUAGUCCUGGUAGUAUUUUGCAAAUUAUGUUGUAGAUCAAUAGCUCGCGUUGUUGUUCCCCUGUGUUUAUUUUGAUAUGUUCCUAGAGAAAAUUGUGUUGAAAGAUGUUAGUAGCAAUGAUGCGGAUUGGAUCCGUGAUUUGAGGUUUAUCCUCAUUGCUGCACAGAAGAAUUAUGUCCUUGAUGCACCGCUAGGUGACGGACCUAUUGCAGGAGCAGAUGCAGACGUUAUGAACGUUUGGCUAGCUCAAUAUGAUGACUACUUGAUAGUUUAGUGCACCAUGCUUAAUGGCUUAGAAUCGGGACUUCAAAGACGUUUUGAACGUCAUGGAGCAUAUGAGAUGUUCCAGGAGUUGAAGUUAAUAUUUCAAGCAAGUACCCGAGUUGAGAGAUAUGAAGUCUCCAACAAGUUCUAUAGCUAAAAGAUGGAGGAGAAUCGCUCAACUAGUGAGCAUGUGCCCAGAUUGUCUGAGUACUACAAUCGCUUGAAUCAAGUGGGAGUUAAUCUUCCAGAUAAGAUAGUGAUUGACAGAAUUCUCUAGUCACCAUCACCAAGUUAGUAGAACUUCGUGAUGAACUAUGAUAUGCAAGGGAUAACGGAAACAACUCCCAAGCUCUUCGUGAUGCUGAAAUCGACGAAGGUAGAAAUCAAGAAAAACAUCAAGUGUUGAUGGUUAACAAGACCAUUAGUAUGAAGAAAAGGUCAAAGGGAAGAAGGGGAACUUCAAGAAGAACAGCAAGCAAGUUGCUGCUCAAGUGAAGAAGCCCAAGUCUGGUCCUAAGCCUGAGACUAAGUGUUUCUACUGCAAAGGGACUGGUCACUGGAAGCGGAACUACCCCAAGUGAUUGGCAGAUAAGAAGGAUGGCAAAGUGAACAUAAGUAUAUUUGAUAUACAUGUUAUUGAUGUGUACUUUACUAGUGUUUGUAGCAACCCCUCAGUAUUUGAUACUAGUUCAGUUGCUAAGAUUAGUAACUCCAAACGGGAGUUGCAGAAUAAACAGAGACUAGUUAAGGGUGAAGUGACGAUGUGUGUUGGAAGUGGUUCCAAGAUUGAUAUGAUCAUCAUCGCACACUCCCCUAUACUUUCGGGAUUAGUGUUGAACCUAAAAAAGUGUUAUUUGGUUUUUGCGUUGAGCAUGAAUAUGAUUUGAUCAUGUUUAUUGCAAUACGGUUAUUCAUUAAAGUCAGAGAAUAAUUGUUGUUCUGUUUACAUGAAUAAAACCUUCGAUGGUCAUACACCCAAUGAAACAAGUUCAUUGGAUCUCGAUCGUAGUGAUACACAUAUUCAUAAUAUUGAAACCAAAAGAUGCGAAGUUAAUAAUGAUAGUGCAACUUAUUUGUAGCACUGCCGUUUAAGUCAUAUUGGUGUAAAGCGCAUGAAGAAACUCCAUGCUGAUGGGCUUUUGGAAUCACUUGAUUAUGAAUCACUUGAUGCUUGCGAACCAUGCCUUAUGGGCAAGAUGACUAAAACGCCGUUCUCCGGAACAAUGUAGCAAGCAACAGAUUUGUUGGAAAUCAUACAUACUGAUGUAUGUGGUCCGAUGAAUAUUAAGGCUUGCAGCAGGUAUCAUUAUUUUCUGACCUUCACAGAUGAUUUGAGCAGAUAUGGGGAUAUCUACUUGAUAAAACAUAAGUCUGAAACAUUUGAACAGUUCAAAGAAUUUCAGAGUGAAGUGGAAAAUCAUCGUGACAAGAAAAUAAAGUUUCUACGAUCUGAUCGCGGAGACAAAUAUUUGAGUUACGAGUUUGGUCUUCAAUUAAAACAAUGUGGAAUAGUUUCACAAACUCAGGCCACAUGGAACACCACAGCAUAAUGGUGUGUCCGAACGUCAUAACCCUACUUUAUUGGAUAUAGUGCAAUCUAUGAUGUCUCUUACCAAUCUACCACUAUCGUUUUGGGGUUAUGCAUUAGAGACAGCUGCAUUCACGUUAAAUAGGGCACCAUCUAAAUCCGUUGAGAUGACACCAUGUGAACUAUGGUUUGGCAAGAAACCUAAGCUGUCAUUUUUUAAAGUUUGGGACUGCGAUGCUUAUGUGAAAAAGUUUCAACAUGAUAAGCUCGAACCCAAAUCGGAGAAGUAAAUCUUCAUAGGAUAUCCAAAGGAAACUAUUGGAUACACCUUCUAUCACAAGAUCCGAAGGCAAGACCUUUGUUGCAAAAUUCGGAAUCUUUCUAGAGAAGGAGUUUCUCUCGAAAGAAGUGAGUGGGAGGAAAGUAAAAAACUUGAUAAGGUAAUUGUACCUUCUCCCUUAUUGGAAAGUAGUUCAUCACAGAAAUCUGUUCCUGUGACUACUACACCAAUUAGUGAGGAAGCUAAUGAUGAUGAUCAUGUAACUUUAGAUCAAGUUACUACCAAAUCUCGUAGGUAAACCAGAGUGAGAUCCACACCAGAGUGAUACAGUAAUCAUGUUCUGGAAGUCAUGUUACUAGACCAUGACGAACUUGCGAACUAUGAGGAAGCGAUGAUGAGCCCAGAUUCCGCGAAAUGGUUUGAGGCCAUGAAAUCUGAGAUAUGAUCCAUGUAUGAGAACAAAGUAUGGACUUUGGUUGACUUGCUCGAUGAUCGGCAAGCCAUAGAAAAUAAAUGGAUCUUCAAGAGGAAGACGGACGCUGAUAGUAGUGUUACUAUCUACAAAGCUAGAAUUGUCGCAAAAGGUUUUCGACAAGUUCAAGGUGUUGACUACGGUGAGAUUUUCUCACUCGUAUCUAUGCUUAAGUCUGUCCGAAUCAUGUUAGCAAUUGCCGCAUUUUAUGAAAUCUGGCAAAUGGAUAAACAAAACUGCAUUCCUUAAUGGAUUUACUAAAGAAGAGUUGUAUACGAUGCAACUAGAAGGUUUUGUCGAUCCUAAAGGUGUUAACUAAAUAUGCAAGCUCCAGCGAUCCAUCUAUGGACUGGUGCAAGAAUCUCGGAGUUGGAAUAUACGCUUUGAUAAGUUGAUCAAAACAAAUAGUUUUAUACAGACUUGCGGUGAAGCCUGUAUUUACAAGAAAGUGAGUGGGAGCACUACAACAUUUCUGAUAAGUAUAUGUGAAUGACAUAUUGUUGAUCAGAAAUAAUGUAGAAUUAUUCUGCAAAGCAUAAAGGAGUGUUUGAAAGGAGUUUUUCAAAGAAAGACCUCGGUGAAGCUGCUUACAUAUUGAGUAUCAAGAUCUAUAGAGAUAGAUCAAGACACUUGAUAAGUUUUUUCAAUGAGUACAUACCUUGACAAGAUUUUGAAGUAGUUCAAAAUGGAACAGUCAAAGAAAAGGUUUCUUGCCUGUGUUACAAGGUGUGAAGUUGAGUAAGACUCAAAGCCCGACCACGGCAGAAGAUAGAAAGAGAAUGAAAGUCAUUCCCUAUGCCUCAGUCAUAGGUUCUAUAAAGUAUGCCAUGCUGUAUACCAGAUCUAUUGUAUGCCCUACCACUGAGUUUGGCAAGGGAGUACGAUAGUGAUCUAGGAGUAGGUAACUGGACAGCGAUCAAAAUUAUCCUUAGUGGAAUAAGGAUAUGUUUCUCGAUUAUGGAAGUGAAAAAAAAGGUUCAUCGUAAAGGGUUACACCGAUGCAAGUUUUGACACUAAUCUAGAUGACUCUAAGUCUCGGUCUAGAUACAUAUUGAAAGUGGGAGCAAUUAGCUAGAGUAGCUCCAUGCAGAGCAUUGUUGACAUAGAAAUUUGCAAAAUACAUGCGGAUCUGAAUGUGGCAGACCCGUUGACUAAGAUUCUCUCACAAGCAAAACAUGAUCACACCUUAGUACUCCUUGGGUGUUAAUCACAUAGUGAUGUGAACUAGAUUACUAAAUCUAGUAAACCCGUUGGGUGUUGGUCACAUGGCGAUGUGAACUAUGGGUGUUAAUCACAUGAUGAUGUGAACUAUCGAUGUUAAUCACAUGGUGAUGUGAUCUAGAUUAUUGACUCUAGUGCAAGUGGGAGACUGAAGGAAAUAUGCCCUAGAGGCAAUAAUAAAGUUAUUAUUUAUUUCCUUAUUUCAUGAUAAAUAUUUAUUAUUCAUGCUAGAAUUGUAUUAACCGGAAACAUAAUACAUGUGUGAAUACAUAGACAAACAGAGUGUCACUAGUAUGCCUCUACUUGACUAGCUCGUUAAUCAAAGAUGGUUAUGUUUCCUAACCAUAGACAAAGAGUUGUUAUUUGAUUAACGGGAUCACAUCAUUAGGUGAAUGAUCUGAUUGACAUGACCCAUUCCAUUAGCUUAGCACCCGAUCGUUUAGUAUGUUGCUAUUGCUUUCUUCAUGACUUAUACAUGUUCCUAUGACUAUGAGAUUAUGCAACUCCCGUUUGCCGGAGGAACACUUUGGGUGCUACCAAACGUCACAACGUAACUGGGUGAUUAUAAAGGAGCAUUACAGGUGUCUCCAAAGGUAGAUGUUGGGUUGGCGUAUUUCGAGAUUAGGAUUUGUCACUCCGAUUGUCGGAGAGGUAUCUCUGGGCCCUCUCGGUAAUGCACAUCACAUAAGCCUUGCAAGCAUUGCAACUAAUGAGUUAGUUGCGAGAUGAUGUAUUAUGGAACGAGUAAAGAGACUUGCCGGUAACGAGAUUGAACUAGGUAUUGGAUACCGACGAUCGAAUCUCGGGCAAGUAACAUACCGAUGACAAAGGGAACAACGUAUGUUGUUAUGCGGUCUAACCGAUAAAGAUCUUCGUAGAAUAUGUAGGAGCCAAUAUGGGCAUCCAGGUCCCGCUAUUGGUUAUUGACCGGAGACGUGUCUCGGUCAUGUCUACAUUGUUCUUGAACCGUAGGGUCCGCACGCUUAAGGUUUCGAUGACAGUUAUAUUAAGAGUUUAUGAGUUUUGAUGUAUCGAAGGAGUUCGGAGUCCCGGAUGAGAUCGGGGACAUGACGAGGAGUCUCGAAAUGGUCGAGACGUAAAGAUCGAUAUAUUGGACGACUAUAUUCGGACAUCGGAAAGGUUCCGAGUGAUUCGGGUAUUUUUCGGAGUACCGGGUAGUUACGGGAGAAGCAAUGGGCCUUGAUGGGCUUUAGUGGGAAGAGGAGAAAGGGCCAACGGGCUGCUGCGGCCCCCCUCCCCUCUAGUCCGAAUUGGACUAGGGAAAAGGGGGCCGGCCACCUUUCCUUCUCCUCCACUUCCUUCUCCCUUCCUCCCCUCUUGGUGGACUCCUACUAGGACUUGGAGUCCUAGUAGGACUCCACAUCCUGGCCGCACCUAGCCUUGGUCGGCCUCCUCCUCCUGCAUCCUUUAUAUACUGAGGCAAGGGGCACCCCAUGAACACACAAGUUGAUCUUCGUGAUCGUUCCUUAGCCGUGUGCGGUGCCUCCCUCCACGAUAUUACACCUCGAUCAUAUUGUAGAGGUGCUUAGGCGAAGCCCUGCGACGGUUAAACAUCAAGAUCGUCACCACGCCGUCGUGCUGACGAAACUCCUCCCCGAAGCUUUGCUGGAUCGGAGCCCGGGGUGCGUCAUCGAGCUGUAUGUGUGUCAAGAACUCGGAGGUGCCGGAGUAACGGUGCUUGGAUCGGUUGAACCGGGAAGACGUACGACUACUUCCUCUAUGUUGCGUCAACGCUUCCGCUUCGGUCUACGAGGGUACAUAGACAACACUCUCCCCUCUCGUUGCUAUGCAUCACCAUGAUCUUGCGUGUGCGUAGGAAAUUUUUGAAAUUACUAUGUUCCCGAACACUUUAUUCAUAUAUAAGCAUUCUUAGGACGAUCAGCCAAGACACUGGUCACUAGGAAGCGAGGUACCCCGCAAAAAAGAAGUAGGAAGCGAGGUGUUUCAUCAAGCCAGCUCUCGGCCACAUUCAAAGUGCAUCAAGCACGGUUCGCACGAAGAUGCGCCGCAAGGUUUGCUGACCUGUUUACAUGCUGAAUAACAAAAAAAGAGGAAAUAUUACUGAGCGCUACUAUUUGUAACAGGAUAUGGGCCAGAAUUAAGCGAGAAUUGUGGUGAGUGUUCCAUGCAAUCAACUUCCAUUAUCACAUGCGAGAACCCUCGAAGAGAACCAAAUGUGUUGAAGAUUGCUUUAUCACAUUUUAAAAUUAUAAUAAGAGUGUAGACGCUCCUCCAUCCGGUUCCUAGUACUAGUAUAGUACGUACCUUUAUGGACUAUAGUAGUAGUACUAGUAAACUUUGCACUUGGCUGUUCGGGAAGUCGAACAAUAAUAGCACUAGUAGUAUAGUGUAUGCUUCUGGCAAUCUGACACCGAAUUAACUAUUGCAUGUCCACCGCCUGAGCGAGGGAGAGCUUGCAUUAGUCAAAAGUUUCUCCUUGUCCUGUGAGCCACCGCGCGCAAGCUUCUCCCAUCCUGCAACCUUCUCCUCGUUCGGUAAGUUGACGGGACACAGCAAAGUAAUGCUAGUCCAUGCUGCCUCCUGUCCAGUUAAUAUGGCUUAAUUUCAAAUGAGAUAAAUACACUGUCUGUCACUGUAUAUUUGUAAAAAUACGGUCAGUGGACUUCAUAAUACACUCAUUGCGCUCAAUAUAUAUAUUUUCCGGUGUUCAUACGGUCACUAGCUCACCCUGACUGAGUAUGUGUGUGCAUGCACGUGUAGGUUGAGCACUUGAGCGUGACCGUGUGUGUUCCAUCGUGUGCUCGGACAUGCAUGCAUUAGGGCGUCGCGCGCGUUUUUGCGUCCAUGUGUAUGUGUGACUGUUGCAUACACGUAGGGGGAGUACGUGUAGGGGUCACUAAGGAGCAGUCAAAUCACACAGUAAGUUAGUCGAAAGAAGCAACCAUCAUUUCACUCUUGAAUGACAUGUACACAAUAUAAAAUGGUUGAUAUGGAGAGAAAAAGAAAAACACUAUAUAUACACUAGCAGGAGCCUAAGCUACAAGCCUGCUUCCUUAGGUUGCUCUCUUCACAAGCAUAGAACGACGGGCCUGAUCCCGCAGCUGGGGGAAGGGUACAAUGUUCUGCGUAGACGCGGUCGACAUCGGCGAGGGAGAAAACCCACAGUCGGUGCGUCCCAAUCGGGGGUCACCACGGUAUGGGCCGAUGCCGCGUCCCAACCACCAUUCUAGAUACAGCCCGACGUCCCGGGUAGUCCAUCUUCCUUUUGGAGCCGGCUUGCUCCACUGCCGUAGCUCCAUCUCCAUGUCGAUCUUUCUCUACUUCUACCGGCUUCUACUUGUGAUGAGUUUAUUUCUCAUGAACUAGUGCCAGUACUAUUAUUCUAAUCACACUUCUUCAAUAUCUUUGCCAUUAGGGAUCCUCAGGUCGAUUUUAGUGGAACUGCACAAAAGCAUCGUAUGAUCCGAGGGUGCCAGCUGUCUUUCCUUCGACAGGUUCUACCUGGCCAGGAAAUUAAAUCAUGUUUAGGGUUUAGGGUUUAAGUCGUAGUGACCCCAUUAGUAGUUUUUCUAUCGUACACGCUCUCACAACUUUUCUUCAGUUGUGAAGUAAAUAUUGGCUAUGAUCUGUGAAUCAUUGAGAUGCAUCAGCAUGCGUGUUAGUUUUCCUUUGUAUUUGAUGGAAUGUUGUAACGGGGCAACCUUGGAAUAGGAAUGAAAAUGGAGUGGAAAAGUUUCCGUUUUUCCGGAGAAAAAAUGGAAACGGAGAGAAACCAACGUUUCGUUUCGUUGGAUCGCGCCAUCGAGCAAAACCAACGUUUAAAUCACGUCUGUCGUGUUCGUGUCUCACCCUCCUCCAUGGCUCGACCCCACACGGUCGCUCGGCAUGCCACUCACCGCAAACCGAGUAGUAUACCAUAACUUUCCCACCUGCUUGUCGAUGGAUCGCGCCAUGAAGUACUAGCACUACUGGAAGAGAUUGACAAGUUGAGGGAGGACAGCUAGCUGUAGCACAGACUCCCAAGAACUUACUACUGGAAGAGAUCACGCAUGUUGUAGCCGGCUAUUGCGACCUUUGAACGCGGAGCAGCCGCGUGCACCCGGAAGCGGUGCGGGCGACGCUCUCUCGGCCAGCGCGCCGUUUCAAUGCCGGCGCUAAUGAGAGGUCGCGUCCGCUCUGGCCGGGCAUGAAUGCGGCACUGACCGUUUCGGGCGGGAAGCACGCGCGGGUGAUGAAGAGGGUUUGGGUUGGUCAGGACCGGCCGUGGCAGCGGUCCGGACGUGCGCAAACAAGAGAUGUUGUACGUUAAUAUUGCUGCGUAUAUAAUUAACAACGUAAAUAAUGUGCCAGUUGGACAAAUAUGAUUGGAGAUGGAGAUGGAAAUGAAAUUUUACGUAAACACGGAUAUGCAUGUCUAUGUCUAUGUGUGUGUGCGCGACGACUCUCGCGACCUGGAAGCGGGGGGGCGCAUUUUUGAUCGAGUUUUCUUUCUUGGUACGUUAGAAAAUCAGUUUUUCUAAUUCACAUCUAGAUGUUAUUUAAGGAUAUCACAUCUAAGCUCCCACAAGUAUAUAAUGUAGCAACAAGAAACAAAAAAAAACUAGGAAAAUACCACAAACAGAGUGGACAUCAACUUAUAUGUGACAUAACUAUGUCACAUCUAGAUGUGUCCUAGACAGACCCUUAAAAAAUUGUCCGCCAGUUUUCGUUUCUUUUUUUCCGGAAACGCGCGUAUUCUAUUUAAAACCACUGCUAUGGAGAGAUUUUUUUACUCCAUUAUAGCCUCUUGUUUGAUAGAGUUUCUCACGUCUCGCUCUCUCACCCUCUCCAUAUCAAAACAAGAUGACAGUGUCCACUCUAUCUCUCUCCUCACCGGUGGUCACAGAUCCGGCCGAAUCCCGUCUGCUGCGGGAGGUGAGGAGGUGCAGCGUUGACGUUGUCGCUGUCGAUGACGGAGGAAGCCGAUGCGCACCGUCCUCUCGGAGCCGGCGCUAGCGCGGACGAAGAUCCUCCGCGCCCUUGUUCACUGCCGUCGUGUGGGCAGAUCCCGCCCGCCCGCCUAAACGACAUCUCGCCUACCUGAGGUAUAACUUCUUAUACUGGUCCAGCUCCCCAGGUCGCUGCGUGCUGGUUUUAUUCUAUGCGACUACUCCCCAGCUUCCCAUGCAUAGUAGCUAGGCUUCGUCGGCUGGUCCAACAUCACCUAGUGGUACUAUUAUAGAGGAAAUGCCACUCAAAAAGUUGUCCUGAUUUAUGCCUCGGUGGAGGUAUACAUGUUGUUUCGACAAAAAGUACAUGGUGGUUGUGCGGUCAUUGUCCAUAUGGUGGUAGUACUAUCACUGGUUAAAUGAAGAAAUGCUUUUUUUCUCGGGUAUUCUGGUUUAGUUCCCAUCAAGAUAAUUAUGAUGCUUCUAUUUGUUGGUGUACUUUUCAUUAAUUCUUAUUGACAAUUGAGAUGUCGUUGCUAACCCUUUUUUAUAUUUUUGGAAACAGCGAUGCGUGUCUCCAUACCCGGGCAUGUCUUCUUCAAUUUUAGUGGAACUGCACAAAAUUGGAUGGCCAUUGUUGUUCUGCCUCACUGUCCUCUGCCACGUGGUUCUUCCUUCCUCGAGCUUGAUUACUGAGAAGAAACAGACCACAGUGAGGAUUUGUCGAACUUCUUAGGUGCCUCAUCCAAACUUGAUGCCAAAUGGAUGAUGCAUCACCAAGAUGACCUAUCGAUGCUCAUGGUUGCGCCUCAUGGUUGCGUCGGCUGGUGAAGCUGAUCGAUUUUCAACGAAAAACAAGCUGUCUUCCAUCAGUGCUCUUUGCUUGUUACGCACAAAGAUGAUAUCCUUCGCCAGUUCACCUUGGUUGCGUUGGAGACGGAGUCGUCUUUCACGUUGGUGCAAUUUUAUCACACAAUUGGCUAUGAACCAAAUGUUUCCUGGAAGAAGGAUCGACAUUGGUACUAAGAGCAUAAGUUUUGUAUUGAUUUCUAAGCCUUCUCACAACUUUGUCUCCAGCUCCCCUGUAAUUUUUGUCCAGCUAUUAACUUUGAUUUAAAAAAUGGUGUGGACUAAAAACCCGGAUGGACGUAGUAGCCCUCCAUUUUUAUUUACUCCGCAUAUUAGAUUUGACUGAAGUCAAACUUUGUAAUACUCUCAAACCUUUCCGAUAAUUGAAAUUAAAUUUCUUUAUUUGUACACACUCUCACACGUUUCCGAUAAUUUGGCGCAUGUGUGGUUGUUCACUUAAGGGAGGGUAGUGUACCACACGUGAAGGACAGGAAGUGCGACCAGGACGUGUGGGCGUGGAUCGUUAGUUCAUCAGAAGUAGUACUAGUUUUCUUCACUGUACAUUAAAUAAAGAGUUUCGUUUCGUACUUACACAAUUUAAAACGAUUGUUAUGGAGAGAAUAAGAAAACCACUCCACUAUAUUUUAGUCGUAUACACGAGAGUACUAUAUGGACGCAGCUUCAUUGACUUAGUACACCUGCCUUUGGAUUUACGACAGGUAGGCCCAACAUGUGGCUGGCUCACCUAUCAUACAGCCAAAAGCAGGUGCAAUGAAGGCACCGGAGCUCAGUCCGUACUACAGUAGUAUAUAUAUAAGCGGGAGCCUCAGCGCUUGUUCGCUAGGGUUUGCACUCUCCACACGCUCGCCGCACUACAUAUAUGUUACACGCUGGAGGCUCAGCGUUCAUUUGCUAGGGUUUGCUAUAUUCACAAUCUCUCACCAUCUCUUCACCAGAUCUAAACAAGACUGCAUUGGCCUCUUGUCUCUCUCUCCCCCCUCACAACUGGUGAAGGAGGCGUCCGUAUCCCGUCGCACCGUGAAGGGGAGGAGGUGCGGCGUUCACUCUAUCGCCUUCGGCGAGGGAGGCAAUCCACUGCCGGCUGCGUUGUUCUCUUUCACCCAGCGCCUGUGCGGGAGGGCCACCGACCCCUUCUUCCUUGCUGCCGUACAUAGUGUGGGCAGAUCCGGCCUCCCUCCGCACGCCUUGCCACAUCCCGACGACCCUAAGGUAUAAGUUUCUUUGAAACCGUCGUUGCUCUAGCUGCAUGUGGAUCUUUUUCGAUCUGUAGUCGAAUCUAGGUCUUGGUUCAAAGAGGAAAGAAGGGUGCGGUGGGCUGGAGCAAGAAUCUAGGACGUGGUUCAAUGAGGAAAGGAGGGGCGGAAAGUAGUAUAGAUUGGCUAUCCCGUAGCUUUGUAGGUCGAAAAUGGAAAAAGGGGGUAACCCAGUACACACAUCUGUAAGGAACUGAUCUCUUUGUUAAAAAGGGAAAGAAACUAGGGGGUCGGGUAGUUUGUGCAUGACUAGAUUUGCUGCCCUCACAUAGGAAGAAGGUUCAAAGAGAACAAAUAUGGGACCAGCGCAUAUAUGUUGCUUGGCUACAUACUCUGCAUCACCCAUUUAUACGUGUGGACGCACAUGGUGCUGGCAUGUCUCAUACAGUUAUUUUGCUAUUGUUAAUCUCAGAAUUAACUACUGCUCUGUUUUAAAAGAAUUUCUCUAUUAAGAUGAAUCAAUGCAACUGUUUUAGAAAUGCUACUAUCCUAUACUUUGUUUUCCAUCAAGAUAAGGUAGAUGCUUCUUUUUGUGGCCGCAUGUUUCAUCCUCCUUUAUUGGCCAGUAAUUGUUUUCUUUUUUGCCUCUUAAAACAGGGAUAUCUAUUCAACUUGUUGCUAUAGAAAACUUAAAUGUCACACCGGCAACUUUGCUUGAUUUCAGUGCAACUACACAAAACUUGAUUGGAUUUCCUAUUCGUGUUGGUAGAUUCGUAUUUUAUGUUGGUCGUCUCAUGAAAGGUCAGUACAUGCCUUCAUCCACAUGAUUUUGCAGUGUGCUUUGAGAUGUUGUGCUACUUGUAUUGGUAUUGUUUUAAAUAAAUGAUGAAUUGAAGCAAUUGUAUUGCUGUCUUUUCCCAUUAAGUAGUGAACAAAAAUGGGACCAACCCAGAAAUGAUGCUUGUUGCUUUGUUACAACAAAUUCAGCAUCACCCCCUUUAUAAGCCAGUAAUUGAUGCCACUCUCAUAAUUAACUACUAAAUCUUAUUUCAAAACUGCAACACUUGUUAGGGAUUGGCGGGAUUACCAUUUUUGUGGCCGCAUGUUUCAUCCUCCUUUAUUAGCCAGUAAUUGAUUCCUUUUUUGCCUCUGUUUAUACAGGGAUAUCUAUUCAACUUGUUGCUAUUGUGACAUUUUGCUUCGCUACGCGAAACACUUUGCUUGAUUUCAGUGCAACUGCACAAAACGAGAUUGGAUUUCCUAUUCAUGUUGGCAGAUUCGUACGUGAUCUUGUGUGCAUCAUGACAGGUUGGUACUUGCCUUCAUCCACAUGAUCGUGCAGUGUGUUUUGAGAUGUUGUGCUACUUGUAUUGGUACUGUUUCAAUAAAUGAUGAAUUGAAGCUAUUGUAUUGCUGUCUUUUCCCAUUAAGUAGUGAACAAAAAUGGGACCAACCCAGACAUGAUGCUUGUUGCUUUGUUACAACAAAUUCAGCAUCACCCCUUUUAUAAGCCAGUAAUUGAUGCCACUCUCAGAAUUAACUACGGAAUCUUAUUUCAAAACUGCAACACUUGUUAGGGAUUGGCGGGAUUACCAUUUUUGUGGCCGUAUGUUUCAUCCUCCUUUAUUAGCCAGUAAUUGAUUCCUUUUUUGCCUCUGUUUAUACAGGGAUAUCUAUUCAACUUGUUGCUAUUGCGACAUUUUGCUUUGCUACGCGACACAUUUUGCUUGAUUUCAGUGCAACUGCACAAAAUGAGAUUGGAUUUCCUAUUCGUGUUGGCAGAUUCGUAUUUUAUCGUUGUCGGUCUCAUGAAAGGUCAGUACAGGCCUUCAUCCACAUGAUUGUGUAGUGUGCUUUGAGAUGUUGUGCUACUUGUAUUGGUACUGUUUUAAAUAAAUGUUGAAUUGAAGCUAUUGUAUUGCUGUCUUUUCCCAUUAAGUAGUGAACAAAAAUGGAACCAACCCAGACAUGAUGCUUGUUGCUUUGUUACAACAAACUCUGCAUCACCCCCUUUAUAAGUAGAUGGAAGCACAUACUGUUGUUGCGCCCACUCUACCCUGGAACUGAAUCUUAGUUCAAAACUACAAACACUUGUUAGGGAUCGGCAGGAGUACCAUUUCUGUUAGGGAUUGACCGUAGUACAUGUUUAAGAAAUGUAUUGUUCAGAUAAUGUCUCUAUUAUUAUAUAUCAGUUACAAACUUACAGUGUUUUACAAAUGGUACUAUCCUGCUUUUUAGUUAUUUCUACAUGUUUAACCAAGGUAUUGUUAAGAUAAUGUCUCUGUUAAAAUGAAUCAGUCGCAUUGUUUUAGGAAUGAUACUUUUCUGCUUUUUCGUUCUUUAUACAUCUUGAAACAAGGCAUUGUUAAGAUAAUGUCUCAGUUAAUAUGAAUGAAUCACACUGAUUGAGAAUUGCUACUCUCCUGCUUUGUUUCCCAUUAAGAUAAGGUAGAUCAGUAGGUGUUUUUCUUCUGAGAGUACAAGUCAUCAACCGUUAUUUCUCAGUAAUUGUUUCCCUUAUACCUUUUGUUGCUUACAGGGAUAUCAAAAUUAAAGCUUAGUUUUAUUCUGACUUCGAUUUUAGUUCAACUGCACAAAAGGAGCCAAUGUGUCCAAGGCAAACUGCUGCAUUACUGGGUCCAGUUGGUCGUUCCACUUUCCAGAAAGAAGCAGUCAUUGUUUGCGCUACAUUACAGAAGGAAUGACCGAGAAGCUUUACAGAGUAUUAGGCCUUCCACUAUGUAGGCCAAAAGAGGUGCCAAUUGCACCUUUUCUUAGUUUGGCACCGAAUCCCUCCAUUGCUACAGCCGGUGCCAUAAAUAUUAGACACCGGUGACAUGACUAGUCUGCAGAGACCAUUGGCAAUUUAACAACACGUGGAGUGCCCUGGGCAAGAAGUGCCCAAACAAGUACAAGAAGUGACAGGACUCCACGAUCAUAGGCAUUACAUAUUUUGAAUGGGAAAAGCUUGUCAAAGUUUAAUCAUUGAUGUUAGCAAGAAGCGACAUGACUCCACGAUCAUAGGGAUUACAUAUUUUGAAUGGGAAAAGCUUGUCAAAGUUUAAUCAUUGAUGUUAGCAAGAAGACAUUAGUUUAAUAUAUUGGAAUUGGAAAACCUUGUCAAAAUUUUCUCAUUGAUGUUAGCCAGAAGACAUGCAUUUGAUAUUUUUGAGUGGGACGCCCUUGCUGUGAGCAGCGUCGACUGUUUUUUCCUAUUCCUGUGUUUAGUUUAGAAGUAAAUAGUUACUCUGCUGAGAUAUUCCUGUGUUAAGAGUUUGUUCUGAAUAUUGUCUAUGUAAUGCCAGGCCUUGUGUUUGAUUGCAAAGUUGAGCUUGGAAUGUUGUGGCAUGUGGCAUCACGAGUUGUUCGCCGUGCCUCCUGAGAAUAAUGCUUCGUAUUGUUUUGCAUGUCGAUCUAAUGCCAGUAAUUUUCUUGUUAAGAAGAUCAUCCUCUUCUGUUGUUUCCGUGCUUAAGAAGUUCAUCGUCUGAUGUUUCAUUCAUAGCCUAUACGACAGGUCGGGUAGGUUAGACGUGAAACCAUAUGAUCUUCCGACCAACUCAUGAUGUUAGGCCGUGAUUGGAUCGUUGUUUUUCAACCAAAACCGCUUGUAAAACUGACGCUUGUAAAUUAAAGCAGAUGGUCUCGGGCGAAGGUGCUUGGUUGGUCGAUUUCGACUAGUAAAAUAUCGGAAGUACUUGACACACGAUAAAACGCUGAACGACACUCGGACGAUUGCUAAUCCAGCCGUUAGCUGCUAUUUCAGCCUUGCCCAUGGAUGGCAUGAUACGCACGUCGUGCAUGUAUUGUCUGGUAAUGUCGUCCAUAUAGCAGUGCUCGUAAAAUAUACACUGGUCUCUCAAAUUACACGCGUAACCCGCCGGUUUUACUUACAGACCUCGGGCCCUCAGUUUCAUUACGCCUGUAUUUUACGCGUUGUUUUCGAUGACGAGUAAAUUACACUUGUAUGUUAAUACAUGUCUGAAAUAAACCAGAGCUCCCAAGUGCGGCCUUACCGUUUCAUGCCGUCUUAGUUUCUCGAAGGUGCUCAUAGGUGUCCGAUGAUCCUGGCUUCCUGAAUGAGUAGCGGGCACUGUAUCAGACCAUCCGUAGGGCCCGCGAGGCCCUCUCCGUUGUCCUUUGAGUUGUUGCGCUCGCCGUGGCGCCGAGCAUUGUUAACAUCGUCAACGAACAUGAGGAUUCAGGAGAUGACUUUAUUUUGACUGGAUGACACUAGGGACCCACUAGGGCCAUAGCCGUACGUACGCAAGUGCCUCCUUAUUAUGUACAACUAUUUUUUUUUGCUUUCUCCUGGUUUCCUGACAUCACGGUCCCACACCAUUGUCAACCUAUGUAGUCAAUAUAAAUGAGAGAAUUGCACAAGGUGCGGCCGACAGCUGGGACCAAGCAGCUCGAGCAGUAUUUGUGUUUUUGAGGCGUGAGCACUGCAGAGUUUUUCUUGGCGAUGAUUUCGUUGUUGUUCAGAGGAGAGCAGGGUAUUAACUGGGCGGGUUGUGGCCCGUCUAGCCCAAGCCAGAUAUCCAGCCCAGAUACUAAUUUUUUCAAGAUGAAAAUGGCUAGCCCAGCUAUACGUCUUUUUGAGGAAUACCCGGGCAAAGUCAACUUGUUAUUCUCUGCCCCGCUGGGCUGCAAAUCUUUCCUAGGAGGGAUGCAUUAGGCUUAACAGGAAAAUGGGCUUUAAAAAAUAAUAAAUGGGAUGUAAUUAUAAAAAUUGGGCAGUAACUAUAAAAAAUGCGCCAAACACGAAAUUAGUUUAUAAAAUAUUAUUUAUGGAUUUUGAAAAUCUUAAAUUUUCAUUGUUGCGCGCGCAAUGUUUCGUUGGAUUUUUACGUAAUACAAAUUUAUAUUUAAUCUGACUAGAAAUUUCGGGAUAAAAAUAUUUCGGUUCCCAUCAAAAUGUGGGAAAUUUUAUUGAAUUCUGUCUUCAACGGUUGGUUGAAAUUAUUAAUCAUUGUCCUAGCUAGAAAAUGGGUUGUACUUUUAACAAACUGUAAAUGGGCUGUUGUAAAUUCCAUUAGAAUUCCAAAAUGGGUUGUACAUUCUUACAAAACGCAAAUGGGCUAUAAGUUCUCUGCCACAAACUUGUGGGCCUACUAAGUGACGUGUCCCCUAAAAGAAUAAGUUGACGCGUAUGCAAGGCUUUGCCAACUUAUUAUAGUCAACACACGGUUCUAGCAGCGGUGGCCGUUGGAUGUCUAUCCAACGGAUGUCGUGCUUCUUCAAUCUCCGAUAUUCUUUGCUUCGGCUGCCCAAAAAAUGAUUCCUCCCCCUGACAUCUGGGGCGCACCGUUUCGGAGGCUGACCUGUGGGCCUACUAAGUUGGAGCAUACCAAGGGCUUUGUCAACUUAGUCAAUAAUAAACAUUUCUAGCUUCAGUGACCGUACGAUGUCCAUCCAACGGCCGUAGUGCUUCUUCAACCUCUGGUCUUUUUGGUCCAGCCACCCAAAGAAGCGCCGGUCAUGCCGCCUGCUCCUGCCUCCCAUGGCCGGCUGUGCUGCCGCGGAGGCCUCACCGCCCCCAUACUACUCCCACCGCUGGCCAGGCCAUCCCUCCACUCACCCACACCCCCUGUUAUUCUGCGACGAUGACAGCCUCACACCGCAGCCAAACUAGUGAACCUUCGUACUCCUCUCCGCGCGGGCUUCCACUGCUGCGUCUUGCCCGGCUCCGCAUCGUCCCCUUCCUAGGCCUCACCGUCGUCCAGACCACCGCCUUGGUGCUCUUGGCGCGGUGUGGUCAACGUGAUCAACGACCGACUUCCAUCGGAAGAGUACUAUACGUGGAGAGGCUGACAGCUGGGUCCAGGCGGCCGCAAGGAAGUGCCUCCUUAUUACGCGCAAAAUAAUUAUUCCUCCACCUUACAGCAGGGACCCGCCGGACGGGCCACCUUAUUUCGCGAAAAAAACAUUUACCCCUGACUGCUCGGACCCACCGGACGGGCCAGCGUAUUUCGAGAAAAAAACAUUCCCCCGCUAUCAGCUCGGACCCACCGACAGUGCCUCCUUAUUACGCACAAAAAAUGAAUACCCCCCUGCUAGCUGGGACCCACCAUGGUGGGAGGCUGACUUGUGGGCUUACUAAGUUGACUGGGAUGGGGGCCUCUGUCAACUUUAGUCAAUAUGAACGAUUCUAGCUCCAGUGACCGUACGAUGUCCAUCCAACGGCCGUAGUGCUUCUUCAACCUCUGGUCUUCUUGCUCUAGCCGCCCAAAGCAGCGCCGGUCGUGCCGCAUGCUUCUGCCUCCCGUGGCCGGCUGUGCUGCCGCGGAGGCCUCACCGCCCCUACUAUUCCCACCGCUGGCCAGGCCCUGCGGCGAUGGCAGCCUCACACCGCAGCCGAACCAGUGAACCCUCGUACUCCUCUCCGCGCGGGCUUCCACUGUCGCGUCUUCCCCGGCUCCCCGUCGUCCCCUUCCUAGGCCUCGCCGUCGUCCACCGCCCUGGUGCUCUCGGCGCGGCGUGGUCAACGUGGUCAAGGAACGACUUCCAUCGGACGUGGACUGUACUUGGAGAGGUUGACAACUGGGUCCACGACCGCAGCAAGGAAGUGCCUCCUUAUUACGUGCAAAAUAAUUAUUCCUCCAACUGACAGCGGGGACCCACCGGACGGGCCACCGUAUUUCGCGAAAAAAACGUUUCCCCCUGACUGCUGGGACCGAUGAGCUACACCUUCGCACGCAAGGAAGUGCGUCCGGGCAAAAACAAAACAAAACGAUUCGCCCCCCUGACUGCUGGGACCCACCAACUACAUCUUUGCACGCAAGGAAGUGCCUGAUAGUUGGGACCCACAUGGUCGAAGCAUACGUAGCGUUGUCAUUCUAGUCGCGAACGUGUACGUACAUAUAUAUUGGUCGAUGUAGAGGCGCGCACAUGUCGUAGUAGAGGCGUGCACAUAGCAUGUACACGUACGUACAUCGGUCAGGGUGCAAGAAAUAAAAUACGGCCACAUAUGUGUACAUACGGUCGGGGUCUCAAACGCCUACUCGCGCAUACGUACAGCAAGGGCUCGUGUACAUGGCUGGGUCGGAACGGAGAAACAGCAUCGUCGUCAUGUUCAUGGGGAGGCAACGGAAUGCGUCAUGUUCAUGGGGAGGCAACGGAAUGCGUCGUGUUCAUCGGGAGGGCUUGGACGGAACAGGCGAUGGAAACGAGGCCCGGCGUACCGCAGAACAGAGGAAACGGCCUUGUGUUCGACCGGCCAUGGUCGAAACGGGAUCCUGUUCAUCAGGUGGGGUGUGGCGUACCGCAAAACAGAGGAAACAGACCUCCUACGCUCGAAACGGGGGUCCUGUUGAUCGGGAGGGGUGUGGCGUACCGCAAAACGGAGGAAACGGACCUCCUACGGGCGAAACGGGGGUCCUAUUGAUCGGGAGGGGUGUGGCGUACCGCAAAACAGAGGAAACGGACUUGUGUUGGAGCGCUAUGGUCGAAACGGGGGUCCNNNNNNNNNNNNNNNNNNNNNNNNNNNNNNNNNNNNNNNNNNNNNNNNNNNNNNNNNNNNNNNNNNNNNNNNNNNNNNNNNNNNNNNNNNNNNNNNNNNNNNNNNNNNNNNNNNNNNNNNNNNNNNNNNNNNNNNNNNNNNNNNNNNNNNNNNNNNNNNNNNNNNNNNNNNNNNNNNNNNNNNNNNNNNNNNNNNNNNNNNNNNNNNNNNNNNNNNNNNNNNNNNNNNNNNNNNNNNNNNNNNNNNNNNNNNNNNNNNNNNNNNNNNNNNNNNNNNNNNNNNNNNNNNNNNNNNNNNNNNNNNNNNNNNNNNNNNNNNNNNNNNNNNNNNNNNNNNNNNNNNNNNNNNNNNNNNNNNNNNNNNNNNNNNNNNNNNNNNNNNNNNNNNNNNNNNNNNNNNNNNNNNNNNNNNNNNNNNNNNNNNNNNNNNNNNNNNNNNNNNNNNNNNNNNNNNNNNNNNNNNNNNNNNNNNNNNNNNNNNNNNNNNNNNNNNNNNNNNNNNNNNNNNNNNNNNNNNNNNNNNNNNNNNNNNNNNNNNNNNNNNNNNNNNNNNNNNNNNNNNNNNNNNNNNNNNNNNNNNNNNNNNNNNNNNNNNNNNNNNNNNNNNNNNNNNNNNNNNNNNNNNNNNNNNNNNNNNNNNNNNNNNNNNNNNNNNNNNNNNNNNNNNNNNNNNNNNNNNNNNNNNNNNNNNNNNNNNNNNNNNNNNNNNNNNNNNNNNNNNNNNNNNNNNNNNNNNNNNNNNNNNNNNNNNNNNNNNNNNNNNNNNAUCCCAUCGAUCGGCUUCAGUUAGCAGCAGUAGCGAAGGAAUCGCUCGAUCGGGUUCAGUUAACAGCCAUCGAUCGAUUGCUCGGGUUCAGUAACGCGUAGCCUGCAGUGCAAUCGCUCGGGUUCAGUUAGAGCCCAACGCCUCGCUCGGGUUCAGUUAGAGCCAACGCCUCGCACACACGCGCAUACAUGUAUGAGAGAAACGCGCAUCGCUCGGCCCCCGACCUCCCACCGUAACCGGGAACUCCCCGAAAUUUUCCUCCCCCUCGCUUCUACCAUGGUUUUUUCCGUCAUGGACGGCCCAAAGAAUGUCAUGCAGCCGCGUCUCCGGCCCGCCCAGGACGAAAAACAAAUUUUCUGUCAUGAUUUUUUGUCAUAGAAGUAGGAGCCCACCACAUCUAUGAUUAUACCGGGUUUUGUCACAAUUAUCGUCAUAGAAGUGUCAUAUGUAUGACAGAAAAAAAAUUCGUUUGGCCCAACAUGUCACGGAUGUUUCUUUUUUUGUAGUGUGUGUGGAACUAGCUAGCUAGUACUACUUACUUUCGGGUAUGUCCAUCGCAGCUCCCCCGGCAGUCCCGGAGCUUGUGCGGUGAAUACUUUCCAAACCCUGCGAGACAAAGAAAAUAAUUACUUGAUAUCAGGAAAUGAACAAAAAGUUGCCGAUAUGGUGCGAUAAUGAUCGAUUGAACUUACUUCUCAAGAAUUUUAGUCAUGUCCACAUAGGUCUCGGGAGAUUUUUGUCUCGAGUCUAAGACGGUUACUAGUCCGUGCUCAAGCUUAAUCUCCAGGAGAAUAUAGUGGAAGCUGUGCACGCAUGCAUAACUCAUCAAUUACAUUACUAUAACCUCGAGUAAUAAGGGAAACCGAAUAUGCACAAGACAGUAACACUCACUUGAAGUUGUAAGGAAAGAGUAUUUUAUCUUUGUUUUGAUUUUGAAGCAAAGAUUUGAGCAAGUUGGCCUCGGUAUCUUUGGCUUGAAAUUUAAUCGUAAAUUCAUCUAUGUGAUUUGUGUUAAUGAACACAAUGUCAUAGAUUUCUACUUUUCUGCAUUCGACGAUCUUCAAUCUGCAUAAUAUAGUGAGGAUAAUCAUAUAUACAUGCAAUGAAAGAGCUGAGCUAUAUAUAGAGACUUAAUGGCAGAAGUAGUACUUACAGACAGUAGCAAGUGACCGUUAAUUUAUCGAGGGCCUUUUGAUUGAACCACUGGAAGAACUCCUCAAAUGGAACAGUCAACAGUUCAAUUCCAACGAGGUUGUGCUCCUCUUUAACUCUCAGCAUCAAAGUAUCCUUCCCCCUAGACUCUCUGCAGGUUUUCAUGUACCAAUCAUGGAAUCUUCGCAUCAUCAUUGUCAGAAUAGUUUCAUCUCUGACGAGAGGCUUCCUGUACUGGUAUUUGUGUUCGUCCACCUCCAUUAUAUCAAAAUUUGUGACGAUAUCGUCGGGCAGGUAAUCUCCAAGAUUGGUAUAACCGGGAACCAUCCUUGGAUCUUUAGCGACGAUAUCGCUAGACACCUUGAGCGGGGGGCACAAUUGGUUCACUUGUUCGCCGAGCUGGGCAAUUUUUUCCAGCUCGUCAUUCUGCUAACCUUCGAUCACUGAUAGUACUUCCCGACCGCUCCACUUCGAUAAAUGACUUUCUAAUAAUGCCCUCAUAGUUGGUUUUCGGCGGAGACGAUGGUGGUUUCUUCAGGGCAUUGAGUGUGCGCUUUGCUCUCAUCGGAUCUACCUUCUCCUCCUGUGGUGGAUGUUUCUUUGCUUUCACUGCUUCAAAGAAGUCCCUCACUUCGGCUUCCACGAUCUUCUUGUUUUCCUCCACGGACCUCUCAUAUGGUAACUUCUCUAGAGGCUUUAGAGAUGGACCGGAUCUUAAUUGCCUCCCGCCUCUGGCUGUACUGCUAGAUGCCGGCCGAGCAGACGGAGCGGCUGCGACUGUCUUCUUUGCUUGCUUAUGAGGCGGAGGAGAACGAGUACGACGCGCCGGAGCAGCCUGAGCGGCGGCGGGUCUCUUCCGCCCUUGCUGACGAGGCAGAGAAGGAGGAGGUUGGCUGCUCGGGCGCGCAGGCGCAGGCGGAGAAGGAGGCGGAGUGCUGUCACACGUCGGAGAAGGAGGCAGAGUGCCCUGGUCACUCGCCGGAGGAGGAGGAGGAGGAGGCGGAGUGCCCUGACUCGCCGGAGGAGGGGGGGAGGCGGAGGAGGAGGCGCAGUGCCCUGACUCGCCGGAGGNNNNNNNNNNNNNNNNNNNNNNNNNNNNNNNNNNNNNNNNNNNNNNNNNNNNNNNNNNNNNNNNNNNNNNNNNNNNNNNNNNNNNNNNNNNNNNNNNNNNNNNNNNNNNNNNNNNNNNNNNNNNNNNNNNNNNNNNNNNNNNNNNNNNNNNNNNNNNNNNNNNNNNNNNNNNNNNNNNNNNNNNNNNNNNNNNNNNNNNNNNNNNNNNNNNNNNNNNNNNNNNNNNNNNNNNNNNNNNNNNNNNNNNNNNNNNNNNNNNNNNNGCAGUGCCUUGACUCGCCGGAGGAGGAGGAGGAGGAGGCGGAGUGCCCUGACUCACCGGAGGAGGAGGAGGAGGAGGAGGCAGAGGAGGCGGCGGAGUGCCCUGACUCGCCAGAGGAGGAGGAGGAGGCGGAGGCGUCCAGUUCGGAAGGUUGAUGAGCUCCUUCCGCUAUAGGCAUGGAGUCUUCAGAGCUGAACCCAGCCGAGUCUCCCCUUCGCCGAUAGGUUGGUCAAGCUCGAUGUCGGUGUCAAAACCAGCGGAUCUCGGGUAGGGGGUCCCGAACUGUGCGUCCAAGGCGGAUGGUAAUAGGAACCGGGGGACACGAUGUUUACCUAGGUUCGGGCCCUCUCGAUGGAGGUAAUACCCUACGUCCUGCUUGAUUGAUCUUGAUGAUAUGAGUAUUACAAGAGUUGAUAUACCAUGAGAUCGUAGAGGCUAAACCCUAGAAGCUAGCCUAUGGUAUGAUUGUCCUCGUCCUAUGGACUAAACCCUCUAGUUUAUAUAGAAACCGGAGGGGGCUAGGGUUACACAGAGUCGGUUACAAGGAAGGAGAUCUACAUAUCCGUAUUGCUAAGCUUGCCUUCCAUGCCAAGGAGAGUCCCAUCCGGACACGGGACGAAGUCUUCAAUCUUGUAUCUUCAUAGUCCAACAGUCCGGCCAAAGGAUAUAGUCCGGCUGUCCGGAGACCCCCUAAUCCAGGACUCCCUCAGUAGCCCCUGAACCAUGCUUCAGUGAUGAUGAGUCCGGCGCGCAGAUUUGUCUUCGGCAUUGCAAGGCGGGUUCUUCCUUCGAAUACUCCAUGGAAGACUUUGAACACAAGGAUAGUGUCCGGCUCUGCAAAACAAGUUCCACAUACCACCGUAGAGAGAAUAAUAUUUCCACAAAUCUAAUCUACUGACACGUUUAGCAACAUGACAUCAUGCCAUGGCCCGGUCAUUAUUCGAACCGUUUUUCUCAACCAGCACUGCACAUAUCGCGAGGCAUUUUUCUUGACAUGUCUUGUCGAAGCAGAGAACGUGUCCCCUUAUUACGGGAUUCUCAUCAAUACGGGCGUGGGUAACCCAAUCGUGCCCGUUGGUAUGACUCCUCGAUUUUAGGCAAGUCCCAAACGGCCACGAGGAGGACGCUUGAUAUUCACCCUCUUUAUAAAUAUGCCAAGGCUUGUCCUUUUUUCCCUCUCGUACUCAAUCGAAUCCUUCCCCCGCCUCGAUUUCCAACACCCAAGGCUUAGGUCAGGCGCUUCGGACCUUCAACCAUGUCCGGAUCCAACCUUCAAGGUCGGUGGAUGCCUUCCUCUGUCACAGAGGAAGACAUCAAGAAGCUAAGAGGGCCAGGCAUUUGACCGGCGAAAUCUCGCACAGGCUGCCUACUCGAGGGCAGGUCAUUCCCACUCCUGGACCCGGCGAGAGCAUUGUAUUCAUAUCUCACUUCCUCCGAGGGCUAGGCCUCGCUCUGGAUCCCUUUGUUAGGGGGCUCAUGUUCUAUUAUGGGCUGGAUUUCCAUGACCUGGCCCGGGAUUCCCUCCUUCACAUCUCGUCGUUCAUCGUCGUGUGUGAGGCCUUUCUCCGCAUUACCCCACACUUCGGCCUAUGGCUCAAGACCUUCAAUGUGAAGCCGAAGAUGAUCGAGGGGUGACACACAAAGUGCGGAGGUGUCGUAAUAUGCAAAAGCGUUGAUGUUCCAUGGCCGGAGGGUUCCUUCCCAGAUGUGUCCAGUUUAUGGCAGCGGGAGUGGUUUUAUAUCACAGCUCCUCGGAGUACCAAGUGGGUAGCCACCCCUGCCUUUCGCUCGGGCCCCCCACCUCAACUGACGUCAUGGAUCAACAAGGGGCUAGACUAGGGGCCAGUAAAUGAUGUGCCGAUAUUGCAGAGUCGCUUCCGAGAUCUCCUCGAGAGAGAUGUCAGCCUGGUCACGGUAAUGCAAGUCAUGCUAGUUCGUCGAGUCCCGCCUUGCAAACGUCGACCCCUCCGUAUGUGGGAAUUCAACCCGGAAGGACCGCGAACUAUUCAGCACUUCCUCGGCAUGACGCUUGAAGAGAUGUACAAAUUGUUCUUCGGUCCACAAAUAAGGUGUCCAGACACCACCGAGGAUGUGGGUCUGAGCUGCAAUCGCCCAGAUACCCAAGUAAGUAAUUCCGUGGCCGAACACACUGUCUUUUUAUUUAUCAUAACAUCAUUCUGAAAAGUCGCUCUUUGACCAGGACUGGGUAAGAAAGGCGAAGAUGAUCAGGUGUUCGGCCCCCCUUCCCGAAGGCUCAGCAAAUCCAGUACUGGCCAGAAUGCUCGAGCCGGCGCCUUAUCAGGCGCCCUCAAGGGAAGAUAAAGGGGGAAUAAAGAGGCUGAAAGCAGGCCUCACUCAUUAUCCAUCCAAACCAGGGGAAUUAGCGCCUCCACGAAGGAGGAUAACCAGGGAGAAGAAUCUGAAAUUCCCUCUCCCCAAGGAAGGAAGAAGACCACCUCUGAAGACCCAGAAACAAAGGUUUCCAAACGGGGGAAGAGAUCUUCGCCAGGGGGUCCUGCCUCGGCGGGUACUCUUGCCGCACAGUGCCCACAAGGGGAUCAGCACUCUACCAAGCUGUAAGUAAACAAAAAGUACUUAAUAGUAAAAAUAUCCUACAUUACUUCUGAAGACAAUAACCAAAGCAUAUGUUCUGUAGUUCGGAUCGUAGCCCUUCUCGACAGAGUUUGUCUUCGGGGGAUCUUCUUCUGGAGAUGAUGGAGAGCGAAACACCUCCCCAUGCCACCCCGCUUCAUGAGGCGGGCGACCACGAAGUGUCGUUGCGGAGGGUUUCUCCUGAUCCGCCAAGGCCAAAGGGUAAUCCUUCGGCCACUCGAAGUCCUCAGUAUUCGGAUCCUAAAGAGAGCAACAAAAAGAGUCCGGAACCAUCCGGUGUGUGAUCGGACACACUGAAGGAUCUUCUGGAGCAAGUAGCCAUCUCAGAAGCGCAUCGUACGCUAAUGGGUACGGUGAUUGAGAGGAUUUCAUCCGCCAAAAGCGGGUUGCAUGAAGCUUUUAUGAGUCUGCUGAAAGGCUUUGAGGUACGUGAAAUAGUGUAUGUUUUGACGGUACCACACACGUUAGGUGUACCCUAUGCAGAUACUAGCCCCUGAGACUCUGGUUGUUGUCGAGAGCGGAGGCAAACAGAAGAUCAUAGUCCCAGGAAUAAUCAGGCCACCUUCAUAUGCAGGUGGCGGAAGGUCCGGUGGCUAGCCGGACUGGUGAGGUGGCCGAGCUAAAGCGGCAACUUGAUGCGGCAGAUGCCGACAUCGUGCUUGUCAACAAGCAACUCGAUGAGGCACAGGGUAUGUGAUUUCUCUGGUGAUCAACACAUAGUAAGAGGAGCAUGAUGCUAGUAUCUUUAAUAUGUUAUGACUGCAGAUGGAGAUGCCGCCGUGGAGACCCUUCGGGAGGAACUUGCCCGAGCCAAGGAAUAGUGAUGGGGCCGCUCUAAAGGCAGUCGAAGAGCUGAGAGCCGAACAGGCUACGCAUUGCCAAAGCAAGGAAAAAAUAGGCAAGAUGGCUAUUGAGUUAAAAGAUGUCGCCGAUCAUUACCAGCUUCUUGAAAAAGAAAGCCGAGCGAAGGCGACGGACCUGGAGAAGGCCAUGGUAGCAGCCAAGGAAGCCCGCUCUAAAAUCAGGGCGGCAAAGGAGGAGCUGCGUCAAGCUGGAGAUAUCGUGGCUGGGAAGCCCUUUUUGUUGCGGACGAAGUUCGGAGAUCCAAAGUAUGCCCCUCUUGAUCAACUAUGGAGUUCUGCACAUGUGUACGUGGAUUUGGCAGCAAGUGUUGCUGAUGCGGCCGAGUACUUCAAGGAUCAAAAAGAUCGUGAAGUGGAAAAGAUGUUCUGGUCAUAGUUCCAUGUUCCAGUGCGUCCGCUAUUGCUGAAUGAGCGAAUGGCCGAAUGGGCCGAGCUCCAUAGGUUGUCCGGGCUUGCCAUGAGGUCUGUUGUGGAUCAUCUGUGGCCGGAAGGGCCAAUGCCGAAUAGUGCAACGGUUCCUUGGUGCUAUGCCGCAUAUCGAUGCUAUAAAGAGGUCGGCGUGCAUAGAGGGUGCGCGUAUGGCACUUGCCCGUGUCAAGACAUACUGGGCAGAGAUGGAGGCCACCGCUAUUGCAACCCAGAGUUCGGCCGUAGGCCGAGUAUCUGCCGAGCACUACUUUGAAGAAGUCCUUGAAGGCGCUCGUUCAAUAGAGGCUCAGUGCUCCAAGAAUAUUAUAUUCUAGUGACAUGUAUUCCCAUUGUAAAAACAAUGUUUUAUUGAAUUAUGUAGGCUGCGUUUAUACUUUUGCCUGAAAGUAUUAUGAUGCCUCUUGUGCGGCCGUUUAUGUAUAUAUGUAUAUAACCUGAAAGUUUACAGUCGUCGGCUUCAGCCCCCACGCAUAUAAUCCGGGGGUGUUCGUAAAAAAUGCGUAUUCACACUUGAUCCAACGUCUUGGUCCAUUAAGGAGGUGGUAGCGCAGCGAACGAGGCAAUCAGACUAUACUGCUUUAACACUUUCACUUAACCAAUGUCAGUGUCAAAACCAGCGGAUCUCGAGUAGGGGGUCCCGAACUGUGCGUCUAAGGCGGAUGGUAACAGGAGCCGGGGGACACGAUGUUUACCCAGGUUCGGGCCCUCUCGAUGGAGGUAAUACCCUACGUCCUUCUUGAUUGAUCUUGAUGAUACGAGUAUUACAAGAGUUGAUCUACCACAAGAUCGUAGAGGCUAAACCCUAGAAGCUAGCCUAUGGUAUGAUUGUCCUCGUCCUACGGACUAAACCCUCCGGUUUAUAUAGACACUGGAGGGGGCUAGGGUUACACAGAGUCGGUUACAAGGAAGGAGAUCUACAUAUCUGUAUUGCCAAGCUUGCCUUCCACGCCAAGGAGAGUCCCAUCCAGACACGGGACGAAGUCUUCAAUCUUGUAUCUUCAUAGUCCAACAGUCCGGCCAAAGGAUAUAGUCCGGCUGUCCGGAGACCCCCUAAUCCAGGACUCCCUCACUCGAGGUCCUCAAAUCCCUCCAUUAUUUCAUCCACCGUCACCCUAGCAUAUCCUUCUAGAAUUGGACGGCAGUGAAAAGUUGCAUCGGGUUCGGGAGGUCGAAUAGAGCCGACAGCCGCCUUGACUUUGAAGUUCUGCCAUUGCAUCAUAAGGUGGCAAUUUUGAGACUCCCUGAUAGCAUCCACGGGGUAGCUAGCAGGAGCCACGUUGCUUCUCCGCUGAGAUGGCUGGGUAGCUACGGGGGUAGCUUCGGCAGGUCGGUUGCUACGAACUUCUUCUCGUUCCUCUAUUGCUUGUACCCUUGCGUGCAGCGCCUGCCAUUGGGUAUGCUCUACUUUCUUCCUCCUCUCCUGGCAUUUGUAACCGCCUGCGUCCGGAAACCCAACCUUCAAUGGAACGGAGCCUGGCAUGCCUCAUGUCCGUCUAGGGUGCUCAGGAUUCCCGAGGGCCAUUGUGAGCUCGUCAUUCUCUCUAUCUGGAACAAACAUCUCGUCCUACGCUGCGGCGAUAUAGAACUUAAGCUUCGUGACGGGUAUUCACAUUUUCUCUUUCGUCCAAAUGCACGUCCCUUUUAUAGGGUCCAAGCUUUCGCCAACCCCGAAGAACCAAGUCUGGCAACGGUCUGGCCGGUGCAAUGUCUCUGGUUCUACCCCUUUAUCAAGCAGGUCAUUCUCAGUCUUGGCCCACAACGGCCGGGCUUUGAGGUAGCCACCUGACCCCGUGCGAUGGUGAUGCUCCUUCUUCGCAGCAUUUAUCUUCUUUCUCGCUGACAUCUGCUUACUCUUCUCCGAUGUCUUGUGGGCCACAAAUUCGUCCCAGUGAUCUCUGAUCUUCUCAUACCGGCCAGUGAAUUCUGGUGUCUCUUCUUUGUCGAUAAACGUUGUUUUCAGCUCAUUCUUCCACCUCCUGAAUAGUCUGCCAUCUUCUUAAGAGCAUGAGACUUGAUCAAUUGCUCUUUAACUGGCUUCUCCGGAUCCUCCUCUGAUGGUAGGGUGAAAUUUGCCUUCAGCGCGGUCCAAAGAUCAUCUUUCUGCAUAUCAUUGACAUAAGAGACCUCAGGGUCUUCCUUUUUAGGCUUCAACAUUGUUGGAUGCUGAUCGGGAUCUGGUCCCUAACUAGAACCCCGCACUGAGCAGCAAAUGCUUCCUUUGUCCGGAUGGGUUCAAUCGGUUGGCCAUCGUGCACGAUUGCUGUGAUCGUGAACCUUUCAUCUGGGCGCAACUUUUUCUUCGGGCCUCGUUUCUUUACCGAAGUUGUGCUCGAUCCGGAGGGCUAGAAAAAAGAAGAAAGACGAGAGUUAAUAUGUGUACAUACCAAAACAAUGAAUGCAUCAAUUAGCUAGUCAGCAUAGGCUUAAUAUAUACCUGGCCGGACUCUGUUCGGUCAACGGAGCCGUCAUCACGGUCUCCUUCUUGCACCGGCAUUCGGUCACCGGAGCCAUCAUAAUAAUGUAUUUCCUCCUCCAUUGUUCGAUCCCUGUAGCCUGCUUCUUCACCCUAUCCUUCCAGACCAUCAUUGUCGUUAAGAUACAACAUGACAUCACCUCCGGCUAAGAUUAUGCCCCCCAACACCUGUUCUGCUGCCUCGUCUCGUCCGUGCUCCAUUGUUUCUGGAAAUAUUACAACAUGGCAAUUAUUAUACAAACAUGAUAGCAGGUGGAAAUAUUAGUGUCAAACGUAGACCUAGCUACCUAAUCACAACAAGGAAUCAUAUUAGUGGCCUCGACGCUUCUCUAGUGUUUGGGGUGGCCUCAGCAACGCUUCUAGGGUUUGGGUCAACUUGUGCACAUCUAUAAUGGGGGCAUUCUUGAUAAAUCUGGACCCUCGACCCCUGGACGACCCCCGACCCUCGACCCCCUCAUGUCACCUUUGUCUAGUGUCAAAGGAUUCAACAAAACCAUGUCUUAAUCAUUAGGCGAAAGUAACAGGCGCAUGAUGGUAUGGAGUUCUGCAAAGUUGUUCUGGAACGGAGUCCCAUAUAGGUUAAUUCGCUUUUUCAUACAAAGUUCAGCAAGAGCCUUCCGAAUAUCGCUAUUUGGAAGGCCUUUGCUGAAAUUCAUACAAAAAGGCAAAUUAUUCUAUCAUGAACUCCGUUCCAAAACAACUUUGCACAACUUCGUAUCAUCAUGCCCCGGUUACUUCCGACUAAUGAUGAAGCCAUGGAUUUCUUCAAUACUUUGACACUAGGCAACCUCUCGACCCCUCGGUGACCCUCGAACCUCUACCCUAGUUCCCGACCCUUGCCCCUCGAACCCUCGGCGACCCCCCACCCACAUGUCAAAGUUAUUGGGGAGGGAUAUCGACCCCCCACCCUCAUGUAAGAAGAGGAAAAAGAUCGAAGAAGAAAAAAGAGGAGAAGUAGAAAGGAAUAGAGGAAAAGAUCAAAGAAAAAAAGAAUAAAAAAAAGAUGAGAAGAAGAAAGGAAUAGAGGAGAAGAAGAAAAAAUAUCUUCUUCUCCUCUAUUCCUUUCUUCUUCUCCUCUUUUUUUCUUCUUUUUUUCUCUUCUUAUUUUUUUCUCCUCCCCUCUUCUCCUCCUUUCUUCUUCUCCUUCUUCCUCUUCUUAUCUUUUUCUUAUUUUCCUUCUUCUUCUUUUUCAACUAUAAUGCACUAUAAAUCAACUAACCUAAAUCAACUAACUCAGCAUAUGAAGAAGGAAAUGUUAUCAGAGAGAAGGUAUAUCGAACCCCCCCCCCUCAUGUAUCCACAUACAUCCACCCAUCCAUCUAUGGAUCAUCAUUGGAAAAAAUGCAUACAUCCAUGGAUCAUCAUUUCUCAUAUAUAUCCAUCUAUAGCCACAUACAUAUAUAAAUAGAAAAAAUGCAAUAAAAAAUACAUUUUGGACAUCUAAAUUUCUUUUAUGAACAACUAAAAACAUCUGAAAACAACAUAUAAGAAAAUCUAAAAACAUAUAAACAAAUAGCAUAUAUAUAACAAAAAAAGGAAAGCUAGGGGUCGGCUGGGCAGAGGGGCAUGGCAGCGCCGGCGCCGGCGGGGCAGGGCAGGGGCGCGGGUGUGCGAGGCAGGGCAGUGGCGCGAGGCAGGUGCUCAUAGNNNNNNNNNNNNNNNNNNNNNNNNNNNNNNNNNNNNNNNNNNNNNNNNNNNNNNNNNNNNNNNNNNNNNNNNNNNNNNNNNNNNNNNNNNNNNNNNNNNNNNNNNNNNNNNNNNNNNNNNNNNNNNNNNNNNNNNNNNNNNNNNNNNNNNNNNNNNNNNNNNNNNNNNNNNNNNNNNNNNNNNNNNNNNNNNNNNNNNNNNNNNNNNNNNNNNNNNNNNNNNNNNNNNNNNNNNNNNNNNNNNNNNNNNNNNNNNNNNNNNNNNNNNNNNNNNNNNNNNNNNNNNNNNNNNNNNNNNNNNNNNNNNNNNNNNNNNNNNNNNNNNNNNNNNNGGGGCGGCGGGCGGCAUCGGGACGGCAUCGGGCGGCGUCGGCGACGGCAACGAGGAGCGGCCUGGCGGCGUCGGGGGAGAAUGGGAGCAGUUGGGCAAAAUUUUCUAAGUGUGGGCUUAUAUAGUAGAACCUUUUGUCCUGGUUGGUGGCACCAACCGGGACGAAUACACCCCUUUGGUCCCGGUUCGUGCCACCGACCGGGACCAAGGGUCUCUGUUUCACCAAAGGGGUGUAUCCGUCCCGGUUGGUGCGACGAACCGAGACCAAAGGAGGGUAUUCGUACCGGUUCGUCCCAUCAACCGGGACCAAAGGGUGGUACAACGGUGGUGUGGUGGGAGUUUAGUCCCACCUCGCUAGCUGAGAGAGCUCAUCACCUAUUUAUAAGCUACGUUGCGGCUCAGGUGCUGAGCUCCUCUCUAAUAUGUAGGCAAUACUUGCCUACCCUUGUCACUACCAUGUUGGGCCUAUUGGGCCUGCGGGCCUGCAUCCUGGCCCAUGUACAGAUGGGUUUCUAGUCGUAUGCAGGCCGUGUGGCCUAGUAGGCGGCAUUUUUUUUAUUUUUUCCAGUAAUUUUCUUUUUUUGAAUUAUUUAUUUUCUUUUGAUUUUGCUUUAUUUUUUUAUUCUUUUUGCUUUUAGGUUAGAAUAAUUAUAAACUUUCUAUUAGUGCCAUUAGUUUCCAAAUUUGAAUAGUUUAAAUUUGAAUUCUUUGAAAUUUGUGUGAAUCACUAGUUUGUGAAUAACUUCACUAUAAAAAUAUAUUUUGAGUGAUUCUUUUUCCUGCUAUUUAAUAUUUCUGCAUUUUAUCAUUAUAUUAAAAAACAGAUUUUGUUAUUUUAGUUUCUAUCAAAAAUAUUCUUUAUGAAAAUUCUUUUUGCUACUAAAGUUUCUAACAAAAAAUUCUUUAUGAUAAUUCUUUCUGCUUUUCAUGUUUUGAUAAUUCUUUCAUGCUUUUGGUUGCAUAAAUUUUAUAUAAGUUUAAAAAAUAUUAGAGGUUUAUAAAAGCUUUUUAGUUGAUUCCUUUUGCUAUUAGAGUUUUAUAAAAACUUUUUAGUUGAUUGUUUUUGCUAUUGAAGAAUAUUAUAGUUUUGUUUUAGUUGAUCAUAACAUAAUAUUUUAAUUGAUUAUUUUAAGUUCAUUAUUUUUGCUAUUAGUUCAUUAUUUUUGCACUAAAUGACCCUGAAAUUGAAAAGCACUACAAAUGAACUCUAAAAAGGUUGAAAGUUGGCAUGGUAUCAUAAUUUCACCCACAUAGCAUGUGCUAAAAAGUUGAGAGGGUUACGGCAAAAACUGGAUGCACGUCCUGUACAAAAUGGACAAUCUCUUUCGAAGUAUCAGGGUUUCGGACGAAAACUCAUCUGUUACAAAGGGAUUUUAUUUUUUUUGAACUUAUUUCAACUCCGGACUUUUUGUGUGUUCAAAAUGCACCAUUCAAAGACACAUGGAUAGAUAAGUGACCAAAUUAAUAGAAGUUCAUCAUCACAUUAUGUGUGUCAAAAACCAUUACAGAUUCAUAUGGAUAGAUAAGUGACCAAAUUAAUAGAAGUUCAUCUUCACAUUAAAAACAAAGUAUAUACAUAGUUCUCAUUGAACAACAUAUAGCUCUCCAGAGCAUCUUGUUAAAGCAUACAUUGAAACUAUGUAAAACCUUUCAAUGCAACAACAAAUGCGAUCAUAAUCACAACCAAGGUAAAAAUUAAUCCAACGGCAUAAUAAUACCAAGCCUCGGUAUGAAUGGCAUAUUUUCUAAUCUUUCUAAUCUUCAACCGCAUUGCAUCCGUCUUGAUCUUGUGUGUUGGGUUCUACGGUAGGGUGCGUCGACUACAAAUUAAAAUUUUCCUACGCGCAGAACAACCAAGAACAUGCUACGGGAGAUGGAUCACAGUUCGUUACCACUAGACGCGUAGUGCCGUGCAGCGGAAGAAGAGUUGGGCAGCGCGUCUGCGUGGAUCGUAUCCUCCUCUUCUGAUCUCCCUCGUACAGUUGGUAGUCGGUUCCCACGUACAGGUUCGCCGGAGCGGCGCAAGUGCACCGCCUCUAACAGUAUCCGCGCGUGCAGGAGGAACGUCGUGCGGCGGACUGCUAGGUCCGAUCACACAACCGGCGGCGAGUGGAGGUGUCUAUUCGCAACACAUGCAAACCCUAGUGACAGCGCCGAAGCGAUCAACCGCGUGAGUGUGUAGCACCUCCACUUCAUAUAGGCGUCCGUCGCGGGCUCAACACUUGGGCCUCGCACGGACCCUAAAGCCCAUAAGUCUACUCGGCCACAAUCCGAAUACAGCUCGGAUCACAUCCGACCAGUGUCCUCGGAUCCGACCUUGUAGGUUCCUUCCCUUAAGCUCGCGACCCUUUAGGUUCAAGUCGGCUUGGUCGUAGUUCGGAUCACCUCCGUACUACAUGGCUGGUAGCGGCCUGCUACCUCUUGAGCACUGCGUUGGUUUUCCCUUGAAGAGGAAAGGGUGAUGCAGCAAAGUAGCAUAAGUAUUUUCCUCAGUUUUUGAGAACCAAGGUAUCAAUCCAGUAGGAGGCUACGUGCGAGUCCCUCGCACCUACACAAAACAAAUAAAUCCUCGCAACCAACGCGAUAAGGGGCUGUCAAUCCCUACACGGUCACUUACGAGAGUGAGAUCUGAUAGAUAUAAUAAGAUAAUAUUUUUGGUAUUUUUAUGAUAAAGAUGCAAAGUAAAAUAAAAGGCAAUGAAAAUAAAUAAGUGUUGGAAGAUUAAUAUGAUGGAAUAUAGACCCAGGGGCCAUAUGUUUCACUAGUGGCUUCUCUCAAGAGCAUAAGUAUUUUACGGUGGGUGAACAAAUUACUGUUGAGCAAUUGACAGAAUUGAUCAUAGUUAUGAGAAUAUCUAGGUAUGAUCAUGUAUAUAGGCAUCACGUCCGAGACAAGUAGACCGACUCCUGCAUGCAUCUACUACUAUUACUCCACACAUCGACCGCUAUCCAACAUGCAUCUAGAGUAUUAAGUUCAUAAGAACAGAGUAACGCUUUAAGCAAGAUGACAUGAUGUAGAGGGAUAAAUUCAUGCAAUAUGAUAAAAAACCCAUCUUGUUAUCCUCGAUGGCAAUAAUACAAUACGUGCCUUGCUGCCCCUACUGUCACUGGGAAAGGACACCGCAAGAUUGAACCCAAAGCUAAGCACUUCUCCCAUUGCAAGAAAGAUCAAUCUAGUAGGCCAAAUCAAAUUGAUAAUUCGAAGAGACUUGCAAAGAUAACCAAUCAUACAUAAAAGAAUUCAGAGAAGAUUCAAAUAUUGUUCAUAGAUAAACUUGAUCAUAAACCCACAAUUCAUCGGUCUCAACAAACACACCGCAAAAGAAGAUUACAUCGAAUAGAUCUCCAUGAGAGAGGGGGAGAACAUUGUAUUGAGAUCCAAAAAGAGAGAAGCAGCCAUCUAGCUAAUAACUAUGGACCCGAAGGUCUGAGGUAAACUACUCACACUUCAUCGGAGGGGCUAUGGUGUUGAUGUAGAAGCCCUCCGUGAUCGAUGCCCCCUCCGGCGGAGCUCCGGAACAGGCCCCAAGAUGGGAUCUCGUGGGUACAGAAAGUUACAGUGGUGGAAUUAGGGUUUUGGCUCCAUUUCUGAUCGUUUGGGGGUACGUAGGUAUAUAUAGGAGGAAGGAGUACGUCGGUGGAGCAACAGGAGGCCCAUGAGGGUGGAGGGCGCGCCUGGGGGGUAGGCGCGCCCCCUACCUUGUGGCUUCCCUGUUGGUUGCUUGACGUAGGGUCCAAGUCUCCUGGAUCUUGUUCGUUCCAAAAAUCACGUUCCCGAAGGUUUCAUUCCGUUUGGACUCCGUUUGAUACUCUUUUUCUGCGAAACUCUGAAAUAGGCAAAAAACAGUAAUUCUGGGUUGGGCCUCCGGUUAAUAGGUUAGUCCCAAAAAUAAUAUAAAAGUGAAUAAUAAAGCCCAAUAAUGUCCAAAACAGAAGAUAAUAUAGCAUGGAGCAAUCAAAAAUUAUAGAUACGUUGGAGACGUAUCACGGCCUUUAGCAAGGCGUGUCGACCACCAAGCAGACGUUGAAGCUGAUUAGGCGGACCUGUACAUCACACUUCCAUUCCUUUUGCCACAUGAUAUAUGUUGUCGGGCUCAAGGCGAGUCUGUCAUCCUUGUGCUAGCCCGACCUCUUUCUCGUUCCAGUGAUGCCGACCACAAACCAGAUUAUCUCAUAAUCCUUGUCGCAUGGCCAUGCUUAUCCUGGUCGGAUCACACGAGGGGCCCAGAGUCUAUCUCUCCUGAUCGGAGGGGCAAAUCCCAUCUUGCUCGACCACGUCUCGCGGCAUGGUUCUGGAAAAACCUGAAACCUACCUUUAUAACUACCCAGUUACGGAGUAGCGUUUGGUUGGCCCAAAGCAAGUCUGUCACCAUCCUGAGUACAUGCGUCAGCUCAGGUCUUAGGACAUAGAACAUAUGUUGUACUAGAGACUCACAGAUGACAUAUCGCUGUGUCUCAUAGUUGGGUCUGUCCGACUCGGACCUUAUCUCGACUCGGAUCCGACUAUGUCGAAUCCGACCAGAUCCUUCCAAGUCCAUAUUAUCCGGUUAGCGUCCAAUGCUCCAUGGCUAGUGAGACCAAGCCAUCAACCGUGUCAUAUGCUAGUCUAGUUGGCUGCGCAUCCACACAGCCCUUUCGACUAGGGACCUUUUAGGACAAUCAUCAUACAAUGCAUAGUCCCACAAACAAGUCACGUACUUGCUGAUACACAUCAUUGAUAAUGUCCAAGGACUAUCUUUAUUCAUAAACACAUAGGAAAUAUCAUCAUACAUGAUUGCCUCUAGGGCAUACCUCCAACAUUAUGAUCAUCGACGACAUCCGCAACAUGCAACUCCAAUAUCAUCUUCUCCUCCUCAUUUUUUAUUUUUUCUUCAAGUAAUUGUUUUCUUCUUCAACUAAAUUUAACUCUCAACAAUAGGGUCGGUUGGAAUUUCCGGUUCAACUACCUCCUACAUAAAUAAAAUCUAUGUCACAUUGGUCGGCAUAAUUGUCAUAAACAAUAAAUGAACCAAAUAGUUAUAAAAAGAUAAUAUAUACCACAUCUGAAUCAUAGACAGGACGAGGGCCGAUGGGGGCGGAUACCAAAACCAUCGCACUAUAUAUUAACAAGCAAUAAUAAAAGUAAGAAAAUUAGACAAGUAUCUAUCUAAAGUAAGAAUUCUUUUCUUUUAGAAAGAAGAUAAGAACAAGAGGCUCACCACGGUGGUGCCGGCGAUGAGAUCGGCGCGGGCGAUCGACGAUAGUGAAGACGGGGACGGGACGUGACGGACCGCUAAACCUAUGCAAAUAUUGGGGAAUGGAGCUUGGAGGUCGAGCUUCGAGAGGAGAAAGCUUAACUAGUGUGGCUUGGGCAUUUCAUAGAACACCUUAUGCGCAUAGGAGGUGAGCUAGAGCACCCAAAUGCCUUCUCCUCGCCGGCCAGAAAAAACAAAGCACUGUGGAGUGCUCUGCUGCGGCGAUGGGGGUAUAUAUAGGCAACUCAUUUGUCCCGGUUCGUGGCUGGAACCGGGUCUAAAGCUCCCCCUUCUGUCCCGGUUCGAGCCACGAACUGAGACCAAUGUAUGUGGGCCAGGAGCGAGGCCCAUUGGUUCCGGUUCGUGCAAGGAACCGGGACAAAUGUGUCCAGACGAACCGGGACCAAUGCCCACGAGACACUACUAGAAAAAGGGCUGCUAGUGGCACACCUAUUUUCGCUACUAAUGGCGCACUACAGGUGCGCCACUAGCACCACGCCAUUAGAUUUUUUUUUACUAAUGGCGCACCACCGGUGCGCGAUUAGUAUCUGGUAUACUAAUGGCGCACCACAGGUGCGCCAUUAGUAUAGCCCAUGGUGCGUCAUUAGUAUCUGGUAUACUAAUGACGCACCACGCAGGAGUGCGCCAUUAGUAGUAAAAAAAAUUCAAUUUUUUUUCUUAAUCUCGGGUCACUAUGGCUUAAUCUCGGGUCAACUCUGCGGUCAAACUUCCCAGAAGAGCACGCUUAACUUCGUAGUUCUAUCCAACCCCAGCACCACCUCACUUCACAGGCACUUGUUGAUAUAUCUAUCAUAUCAAUCCUAUUAAACCUUGCUGAUGUCUAGGACUUAGUUCAUGAGUAUGAUGAAAUUUUGAAAAAAAUAUUUCAAACUUUCCGGUCAUAUUUCGAAAAAUAAUUCAAUUUUUUUUCGAAACCAAUUCUUUUUUCUGUUACUAGUGGCGCACCUAGCAUACGGUGCGCCCCUAGUAAGUUUGAUUUUUUUUGAUUUUUUUUGCCUCCGGAUCUUAAAAGCCCCGUAACUUUUUUCUGUUAGGUUUUUAGGGAUUUUGAAAAUGUUUAACCGGGUUCCCCCCGUUAUAUUUGGAUGUAACUUUUCGAGUAGAUGAUUUUUCAUAUAGAAAUUUUUUUAAUCCGAAUUCGUAUGCAAAAGUUAUGCCCAUUUUACAAAUUCCAGAGAGAUUUUGCAAAUAAAGUCAAAAUUCAUAUUUGUAAAUUUCCCAACAACUAGACCACAUAUCACAUAGGAAGCUUAUUUUCUUUUAUUUUUUUGAUACUUUCAUCAAUUUCUUUUAUUUUUUUUAAACUGAAAAGGCAGUCCACGCGGAGGGGGGUGCAUUCGGUGGAAGUUUUGGGCCAAGUUAGUAAUGGCGCACCGUGGGAGUGGUGCGCCAUUACUAGUAGUAAUGGUGCACCACUCCCACGAUGCGCCAUUACUAGUUUAAAAAAAACAAAUUUUGAAUUUUUUUUUGAAAAAACUUAGUAAUGGUGCACCAGUUGACAGUGCGCCAUUACUAGUAAUGGCGCACUGUCCACUGGUGCGCCAUAACUAGUUUUGAAAAAAUAAAUAAAUAAAUUUAAAAAAAAUUUACUAGUGGCGCACCGUGGAUGUGGUGCGCCAUUACUAGUUUAACUAGUAAUGGCGCAUUAUCCACUGGUGCGCUUUUACUAGUUUUGAAAAAAAUGAAAAAAAAUGUUACUAAUGGCGCACCAUGGAUGUGGUGCGCCAUUAGUAUUUGGACACUAAUGGCACACCUACACAUGGUGCGCCAUUAGUAUUAGUAUAUACUAAUGGCGCACCACAUGUCUUGUGUGCCAUUAGUGACCAUAUCAUCUAUAGCCAUUUUUCUAGUAGUAGCAUCGUCAGAGGGCGAGUGGAGGUGUGUCUCCAGCAGAUCCCCCGGGAUUCGGCCGGUGGUUGUCUUUGUUGGUUCUGCUUGGAUCCGGUCUUCGUUCAUCUAUGCUCAUCCUUCCGAAAUACGCUUCUAUUCAUCUGCGACGGUUGUUGUUUUGGUGCGGUGGUCCUAUUGAGCCUUAACAUGACGAUUUCCGACUGUCUACUACAACGAAAAAAAAUCCGGCUCCAACGAGAGCGAGGGGCCAUGACGGUGACAUGCCUUCGCUCACUUCAGUGCUUGUAGUCAUUGCUAGAUCGUUUACAGAUUUGGAUAUAAUUUUUAUUAUUUCGGGUGUUCGUCGUAAUGCCAAGUUUGAAGAUGAAUAGAUUAAAAGUUUUUUGGAAAAGAAAUUCAUGUACAUUUUUUUUGAUUAAAGAAAUUCAUGUAAUUUUUUUGAGUAACGAGAAAUUCAUGUAAUUAAAGACUAAAUAUGUUGCUGUCUCUUAAGUCAUUUUGGCCAUUUAUUUCACAACUAUUCCCCGCUUGGCUUGGCUUGGCUGGCCGUAUUUUCAAGACGAAAAAUGCGCAUGCUGUAUUUCAGAAUAGAGAAAAACAGAUAUGCAAAAGAGAAGCAUCCUAUUUUGGCCACGAACGGCCUGGCUUGGAAGCGUGCACCCGACGCUGCGUGAUUCCCCCACAAAACAAGGUGGGAUUCCAAGUUCGGAUGCCUCCUGCGAUCGCUCUUGUAGACGACUAGCAACACAGUCGGCGCUUUAUACUCUUGAUGACGAUCAUGGCCGGGUGCUUCUUUUGCAUCUCACUGCUGCCUCGAGCCUUGAUCGACGUGCCCCACUUUCGUCGACAAAGCUACUACUUGCUCUAUCAUGAAAGUUUCAAGCAGAAUACGGAAGAAAUUCACAUGCCGAAGGCGAUGGUUGGGUCGGGAUAAGAGAGCCAUCCGGUGAAACGGAGUUGGUAAAACUAUCAUCUUGUUCUGCCCAUCUUAUUUUCUGGCAGAAACUAGUAUGGUGCAUGCAAUCCCGCGUACCAAACUGAACACGUAGUCGCAACACUUUUUUUUUCAACCGGUCGGACUCCGACGAGGCCCCGUUUCUGAAGUUUGUGGGUUUCUCGAAGCAUCUGGGGCGCUCCUGCGUAUUGGCAGCGCGAAAGUGUCCACCGAGAUCAACGUUCGGCUGGUGCAGGUGAGGUAGGUGAACCUGCCGUGGUGUGCUAUCAAGUUUUCGAGGCAAACUUUUGUCCCUGUGGGAGUAAAAUCGGAAGUGGAUUGAACGGACGGCCACUGCUGGCGUCGCCAUGUGUGCACUGCCCUGCCAUUGUUGGGAAAGGGCACACCUUAAUUUCGGGCGUAGGGAAGAGUCCAGCAACUAUGUGAACUUUAUCUUGUUGUGUCGAUCUUGUUUGUUCCGAGGGCUUUGGCUAUUUUUGCUAGUAGUACGUGACUUGGUGAAGUGAACCAACCACUUCUUUGACCGAUUUAAAAGUGAUGCGUACUACUCUCUCCGCUUCAAAAUAGAUGACCCAACUUUGUACUAAUUAGUCAUCUAUUUUGAAACAGAGGGUGUAGUAUUUGUUGGCGGGGCUUGGCGCAGCAGGUAGGCCUGCUGUGAUAGAACUGGCUUGUCAAUAUGCGCACAUCCGCUCGUCGAAGGAUCAGUUGAAACCGUGUCUAUGUGUCCGUGUCACGAUAACGACAAGGCAUCGAUUUUGGCCAAGAUCAAUUCUUGACACGGACAGUAAGUAAAUUAUAAACACGGUUUACGAUAGGAAAACACACACACUCCCUCUCGUGACGGGUGGAAAGAAUAGGAUAAUCUCUCUCGAUGACCUGGUGCUUUAGGCGCGCGCGCACACACACGCGUGCACACACACACACACACGGUGCUUUUUUUUUGAGACAACACACACACGGUGCUUUCUUUAGGCAUGGUGCUUUGGCACUAGUUGGGCCGUUACUAGGCUUGUGGAGACCCAUAUUUGUAACAGGCCAAGGUUGUGGGAUUUGGCCCAGUUUGGUCCAGCAAAGUCUACGAUUUACUUUGCGAGUGAAAGUCUAUGCUUUACAAUUCUAUAAACAAAAAGAAAUGAGUUAUGUUAAGGAAAUAAUUACAGAGAUAUUUGUACAUGGACCACUAAAGAGAUUUUAGAUUCAAGAUGGCUAAGCCAGACGUUUUCUCCAAAUUUUGAUAUUUUUCUCUCGAAUGCUAUGAGGAUUUACCAGCAGACAACACAUGCAAUUAGGAGAUUCCGUAUGGUAAAUUUGAGCAAUGCUACAUCUACGUAAUCAAUCAUACGUAAUUAACAUAAUAGCCUACUUGGCAUCUUUUUGUUGGACAGAAUUAGAGAAGGGGACCCACCACUUNNNNNNNNNNNNNNNNNNNNNNNNNNNNNNNNNNNNNNNNNNNNNNNNNNNNNNNNNNNNNNNNNNNNNNNNNNNNNNNNNNNNNNNNNNNNNNNNNNNNNNNNNNNNNNNNNNNNNNNNNNNNNNNNNNNNNNNNNNNNNNNNNNNNNNNNNNNNNNNNNNNNNNNNNNNNNNNNNNNNNNNNNNNNNNNNNNNNNNNNNNNNNNNNNNNNNNNNNNNNNNNNNNNNNNNNNNNNNNNNNNNNNNNNNNNNNNNNNNNNNNNNNNNNNNNNNNNNNNNNNNNNNNNNNNNNNNNNNNNNNNAGUUUAAAAAGGAAGUUUACGUAAAAUAUUACUUACCAUUUUUGGGUAAAUUUUGGUGCGUGCCUGUCACUACUUCCGUGGGUGGUUUUCAUUGCAAUCUGUUCAAGUGUCCCGAUUUUUCCUCCGCUUACCACGACGCCAGUAUCGUCUAAUGGCCGCAAUUUCAUUGUUUUCUAUGUUGAACCAAACGCUCCAUCCUAAGCCGUCCUUGAAUUGACAGCAGCAGAUUAACACGGAGCGAUGCUUAGGCGUUAAGAAUUAGGACCAUGCAUUGAAGUAGUGCGUUGGGCGGCAUGACCUGGCGAUCUAGAAGCUCUCACUGAGUUGUCAAUGGCAUCAGCAAUUCAGAACCUACGUUGAGGUAUCGCCAAAAAUUGUAAACCUCCAUUUCUUCGCCUAGUCGUAGGUAGGUUGGACAGCUGACGCUUGCCCGGUACCAACGAUAACAGCAAGAAAAGGCUGAACAAGAAUGCAGGACGGUGGCUCUUGCAGGCAUAUAUUUGUUCAUUACAAACAUAAAUGUACAGUCAUACUCCCUCCAUUUUAUAAUGUAGUGUUUCCUUUAUCCCCGUGCUUCAACUUUAACCGUAAAUUUAACUAUCAAGACCGAUUGCGGCGGGAGUAAAAAUUAUAUCAGUGAAUUCGUAUUCGAAAGAAGUUUUCAAUUAUAUAAUUUUUUCUUCCGCCGCAGUUGGUCUCAUUGGUUAAAUUUAUGAUCAAAAUUGAACCUCGAGAAGCGCGGGCGCACUAUAUUUUGGAAUGAAGGGAGUACUACUACUUGUAAUUCUUUCGAAACUGCCAAAUGCAAACGAACUAAACUCUCUCUCACACAUAGACGGGAGAAGACACAUGCCCAUGGAUCAAGGUAGCGAUCCAGACGAAACUCAGAAGAUAACUUGCUAGACCGCCCUGCAGCUCAUCAACAUCCUGAAUUCUUUUCUCAGACCAAGAAGUGACCCGGUCUCGACCAAGUGGCACACUGACAUUGGGAUCGUCGCUGCAGUCCGGGUUUAUUCUCUCUACUGAACGCGCAGAAGUGCAGAAGCGGAUGACAGUAAGGUACACUCUCUGCAUGAGAAAGGCAAGGAAGCGAUGGCGAUCAGUGGACAUUUUCAGUACGGUCAAGGGUGAGUGCAAUGUGCCAAUGUCCUGAAGAUAGAGAGUAGCGUGGCUUACACCAGGGGACGAUCUUCCAGCGCUGGUUGUCGCCCUUGCACCACUCCCAGAGCACGACCUCGGUGCCGUCGUGGACGCCGCCGUGGUCCUUGUCGCCGUGGAGCGCGUCGAAGUUGAGGUAGAUGUUGUUCACCAUGCGCACGCAGCGGAAGCCCUUG